This 96520-nucleotide long non-coding RNA is filed under the name Coffea arabica (coffee). Its description in RNAcentral is "long non-coding RNA (CARA_LNC001355)". Lineage: Eukaryota; Viridiplantae; Streptophyta; Magnoliopsida; Gentianales; Rubiaceae. The record is from RNAcentral.
UUUUUUUUUUUUUUUUUUUUUUCUGUGCCUAAUCUACGAGGUUCCCAUUAGGAGGAAACCACUUGAAAGUGCUAGUUACAAUUAAGUGACCAGUAUAUGGUAAGAGAUCAAAAUUGAAUUCUUGACUUCCCACUCCAAUAGGACUUUAAAGUCUUGGUGAUGACCAACAAUCCAAGAGGUUGUUGGCUAAGUCCAAGUCCUACUAUGGCCAUGUUUGGCACUUGAGUUUUUUUGCCAAGUUUGUAUGCUACAAGUUUUUUAAAAAUUUUAGUUACAGUAAUCUCAAAAACUUUUCAAAAAUUUUAAACUAUACACUUCAAAAUAUUCAAAAAUUUACACACUCAAAAAUUUUUUUAAAAACUUCUACAGUAAGUUACAGUAAAGUUUUAGACAAAUAUUCAAAAAACUCACUAGCCAAACUGAUAUAUGUGAUUCUUGACUUUUAAUUCCUUAGAUAAUUGGAAACCAGAUGGUCUAUAUAUUUGUAAUAGUAGUCGUGGCGUAUGUGCUGAGAGUGAAAAGAAAUAAAGAAGUUGUUGCUCCUCCACUUCGUUUUUUGCUGUCGCGAGUUUUUUUUAUAUUUUCUGUUGCCAAGAUUAUCGAUUGUGUGAUUCAUUUGUAUUAUUUAUACUAUGGGUUAUUUUUCUUACAAAAUGGUAUUAGAGCUUUGCAUGAGAUCUUAAGAAAUUGAAACAUGGAUCCAAAUUAUUUGCAAAAUUAUCACGUUUUUAUCUUUGAUGGUAAAAAUGAUUUUGAAACUUGGAGGAUAAUGAUGGGGAAUUUUUUUCAAAACUAUUGGAAUUUAGGAUAUUGUCGAAAUGGGAUACACGGAACCGGCUGCAGGCACCAAAUCAUCAAGCGAUAUGGUUAAAGAAUUAGAGAGGAAUAGACAGUUGGAUUACAAGGCACUAUACUAUCUCAACACUCAAGUCCAAUUGCAUGUAGCCCAAAACUUCAUACAUGCAAAGUCAGCAAAAGAGGUUUGGACAAUUUUGGUGAACUCAAAUUGGAGCGCUACUAAUGUGAGAAAAAUUAGAUUGCAGGAACUCAGUAAACAGUUUGAGUUGGCCCAGAUGAAACUCACGGAAUCAGUUAAAGAUUUUAUUGGCACAAUUAAAGAAAUUGUCAAUGAUAUGGAGUCCAAUAGUGAGAAUUUGGAAGAAGUUGAAGUUGUUGAAAAAGUCUUAUGAUCUCCAACUGCCAAAUUUCAUACCAAGAAGAUGGUCAUUGAAGCCACAAAGGACUUUGAUAAAUUGUCACUUGCUGAAUUGGAGGUGAAUUGCUAACGUAUGAUAUGUUCCUGAAUCAGCAGCCAUCAGAUAUAUUAGAGGAGGUGUUAUAAGUCAAGGUGGAUCACCCAAAAGAAAAAGAGGAGAUGAAUCAUACGGACACAAAUCAAAGGGGUCAGAAUUUCAGAGGCAGAGGACGUAGGGGUAGAGGUAACUUUCAUGGUUGUGGUAGAGAUAAUUAUUCUGACCACCCCAAAAAUAAUUCUAAUAGGGAUCAACAAAAUAAUCAACAGUAGAAUCAAAGAAAUAAUUUUCAAAGGCAUAAUAGAUCUAAUAUCCAAUGUUAUAAUUGUGGUAAAGUUGAUCAUUAUCAGAAUGAAUAUUGGUCUAAUAAAGAGGUACAUGUUAAAUGGCUGAAAAUAGUGAUGAUAGAUAGGAUACUUUGUUGAUUUCUAGUUUUGCAACUGAAGAGUCUAGGAAGAAUGAUUGAUUUAUUGAUUCUGGCUAUAGUAAUUAUAUGUGUGAUAAUAUGGAGAUGUUUUCUAAUUUGGAUGAAUCCUUUCAUAUAUUUGUGAAAUUUGAAAAUAAUAAAGGGUGUCGAUUCUUGGAAAAGAGAAAAUUAGAAUUAUCUUGCAAGAUGGGUCUUCGAAUUAUAUAUCUGAUGUUUUCUACGUGCCAAGUUUAUAUUAUAAUUUAUUGAGUUUGGGAUAACUGUCUGAGAAAUGUUAUGAUCUGCAAUUUAAAUAUGGUGAUAGCACUAUAAGUGAUGAAAAAUUGGAAUUAAUUGCCAAGGUAAAAAUGAACCGUAGUCGUUUGUGACCUCUUUCUCUUAAUUGUGGUGAUUUACCUUGCUUUAAUUCCAUGACUUAUGAUGAUUCUUGGUUAUGACAUAUGCAGUUUAGACAUUUGAAUUUUAGGAGUUUGAAAGUUUUUGCAAGAAAGAAAUUGGUUAUUGGGCUACCAUGUAUUGAUUUUUUUGACAAGAAGUGUGAGUUUGUAUUUUGGGAAAGAAGUAUAGGGAUUGUUUUCCAAAAGGCAAAGCUUGGAGGGCAAAUCGACCAUUUGAACUAAUUCAUUCAAAUUUAUGCACAGUUGAAGUUCCUUCUAUUUGUAGUCAUAAGUAUUUUAUUAUUUUCAUUGAUGAUUUUAACAGGAAGACCUGGGUGUAUUUUUUGAGAAAUAAAUCUGAUGCAUGUGAUGUGUUUAAAAAGUCCAAGUAUUAUGUGGAGAAGCAAAAUGGUUACUUUAUUAAAAUUUUAAGAACUGACAGAGGUAUCGACUAUUUUGUUUGUGAUGAUUAUUUGGUAAAAAGUGAUAUAAAACACUAAUUGACAGCCCUAUAUUCACCUCAGUAGAAUGGUGUGACAUGAAGAAAAAAUGGGGCUGUGAUGGAUAUGGUGAGAUCUAUGAUGCACUCCAAAGGUAUUCUUAAAUUCUUUUGGACAGAAGCAGUAUCUUGUGCUAUUUAUAUUUUAAAUAGAUGUCCUACGAGAUGAAAUUUUAAGAAGACCUCACAAGAGAUUUGGACUGAUAUGCAAUCGAAUAUUUCUCACUUCAAAGUAUUUGAUUGUCUUGCGUAUGCACAUAUUCUAGAUCAUUUGAGGAAGAAAUUGGAUGACAAAGCAAAUAAGUGUAUUUUUAUUGGUUGUAGUCAUAAAACUAAGGGGUAUAAAUUGUUCAAUUCAGACACAGAAAAAGUGAUUGUUAGCAGGGAUAUGACUUUUAAUGAACAUAACACUUGAAAUUGGUCCAGAAAAUAUCUUGAAACAUUGUCAAAAUAUCUAUCUAUUUCUCCAGUUAUAGGAGUAAGUUCUAUUAAGCAACCUAUAGACACAGUUGUGUAGUCUCAUGGUGACCCCUCAACUUCUACUAUGCAGGUUAAGAUAUCUAGUCAACCACAGAGAGAACGCUGCAUGUCAGUUCGAUUUGAUUUUUAUAUUGUUAGUAAAAAUGAUGAUUUAUCUGAUGAAGAUAUUGUAAAUUUUACUCUUUUGGUAUAUUGUGAUCCUGUCUCAUUUAAUGAAACUGUCAAAGAUGAUCGUUGGAUUCGUGCAAUGGAUGAAGAAGGUCAUGCCAUUAAGAAAAAUGAUACACGGAAGUUUGACCACUAUCCCACCUGAAAGAAGCCAAUUGAAAUGAAAAUGGGUAUAUAAGUCCAAGUACAAGCCCACAGAAGAGAUGGAUCGCUCCAAAACGAAAUUAGUUGUCAAAGGUUAUAAGCAGAAAUAGGUAUUUGAUUAUUUUGAAAUUUUUGCUCCAGUUGCCAGACUUGAUACUGUUUGUAUGAUUGUUUCACUUGCUGCCAAUAAUUGCUGAGAAAUUCAUCAAGGGAUGUGAAAUCUGCUUUCUUAAAUGGUUUUCUUGAAGAAGGGGUAUAUAUUGAGCUACCUAUAGGUUAUGUUACAAAGGGUCAAGAAGACAAAAUUUAAAGAUUAAAGAACGCAUUAUAUGGGUUGAAAUAAACUUCUAGAGUUUGGUAUACUCACAUCGAUACUUACUUUGUUGAACAUGAUUUUCUGAAAUGUCCAUACAACAUACUUUGUACAUCAAAUUCAACCUUGGAGGAGAUGUUCUUAUUGUAUGUAUAUAUGUGGAUGACUUAAUAUUUACAAGCAACAAUUCCAAACUAAUUUCUGAAUUCUGGAAGGCCAUGAUCAGUCAGUUUAAAAUGAUAGAUUUGGGAUUAAUGUCUUAUUUUCUUGAUAUUGAGGUUCGUCAGUUGGAUGGUAAAAUUUUUAUUUUAAAAAGAAAAUAUGCAGGUGAUAUUUUGAAAAAAUUUAAGAUGGAUGUGGCUAAACCAAUGAUGACCCCAGUUGAAGAAGAGCUAAAAUUGACCAAAGAUGCGUUGGUGAUUUUGUUGAUGCUACCUAUUUCUAGAAAUUGGUAGAAAGUCUCAUAUACUUGAUUUUUACAAGGCCUGACAUCACUUAUGGAAUUGGUUUGGUUAGUAAAUUCAUGGAAUCUCCAUGCCGAUCCCACUUGCAAGCUGUUAAAAGGAUUUUGAGAUAUGUUCAAGGUAUGCAAUCUGAUUGUAUAUUUUACAAAUCUUCGCAUGGUGGCAACCUUAUUGGAUAUACUGACAGUGAUUGGGUUGGUGACACAAUACAAAGGAGGAACACUUCUGGUUAUACAUUUUAUUUGGGAUUUGGUGUAUUUUCUUGGUUUUCAAAGAAACAAAGGUGAUUGCUUUGUCCACAGCAGAAGCAGAAUACAUGGCGGCUGCGAGUAAUGCUACUCAAGCACUUUGGUUGAGGAGAAUGUGUGAGUACCUGAAAAUUUUCUUAUUUUAUCGAAUAUUAUUGGUUUAUUUAAAUAUUUAUUCACCUGUUUUCUCUGAAUAAUUCAUUUCAAUCAUUUUAAGUCCAUUUGUAUGGAACGAUAUCUCCCUUAUGUUUUUAAAACGUCCCGUUAGCAAAUUCAAUUUUUCGGAGGUUCGUUUAAGUGAGAAAUAACGAGUACACGUUUUUCAAAACUAUAUUUGAAUCGAGAAUGUAAUAAUUUUUGGAGAAUUACGAAUGAUUAAUAGUAGAUUAAGAAAAAUUAAUUGAAUAAUUAAAGGUGAAUGAGUUCUAAUUAAGCGCAUACCGCUCGCGCGUCGAUAGUUUUUCGAAAGACCCGCUGAUGCAAAUUAAUUGGAGAUUUGAGAAAGUAAUACUAGACUCAUGUGAGAACUCAUGUUUUUAUUACUAAAAUAGGUAAAUUUUAUGUCUAAUUACCCUAGUAUUAAUUAGUUAUAUCAUUGUUAUAAGAAUUUCUUAGAAAUUUCGCUUUAUCGCGCACAAGUCGGAAGUACACGUUUUCGCGCGCGCGAUUAAUUGAUGGACUUUGGACAUUUAUUUUUAGACUAUUAAGAGUAAAUAAUAAUAGUGUUAAUGGAAGUGCAUUAGAAGUUUAGUGCACAAGUGUAACUAACCCGAGAGGAAACGGGCACGAAACGCGCGUGUACGCGCACUAUUGGAGAGUUGACUUUUGUGCACCUUAGAGCCAACUACUAAGCUUACUCUAGAAGCUUUUGAUCAGCAAAACACUCUCUUUUUUCUCUCUCAAACAGCCGGCCACACCAAGGAGAAGAAGGAACCAAAACUUCUUCAUCAUCUCACUCAAUCUUUCACCAAAUCACUUCAAAUUCAUACCACAACUUGCAAACAACUUGGUGAUCAUCUUGGACUAGGAGAGGAGCUUCAUUCUCACAGUUUUCUUGGAGCUCUAAGGACCGAAAAUUCGGAGUUCAUCAUCUAAGAAGGUAGCAAACCAUCCAACCCUUGAAACUUGAUUAUUGUAAGUUAGAUUAGACUUAGAAACUUGUAGCUUCAUGUGGGUAGUUUUAGAUGGUUGAAAAUCAUUUGAGUGGGCUCUAUGAAAUCUCACAAUGGAUUUAAUGAUCUGAUUUGAUGAGUUUGGAUGUUAUUUGUGUUGAUUAAGUGUUAAUCUAGUAGAGAUAAGUGGAAAAAAUGAAAAGAAAGUCAAAGGAAGUGAUGCAUGAAGAAGGGCCGAAUCUGUCCUGUUCUUGUCAAACCUUUGGUGCGAUUUUUUUGUGGUUAAAUUGACUUGAUUUUGAUGUAGAUAUGUUGUAUAGGUUGUGUGAAAAGUUUUCACUAAAAAUCACUUGAUUUGAUUGAGUAAAUGUUUGGAUUUCGAAAUUUAUUCAUGGCUGGAAAACGUGUCCAGAGUUACUCUGGCAGUGAAUUUCAAAUGACCAUAACUCUUUACUCCGACGUUGAAAUCAAGAGCUGUUUGUGGCAUUAGAAACUAAACACUUCUAGUUUUUUAACGGUAUAAAAUGUAUCCCCUGAUUCCACUUGAGUUAACCGUACCAGCCUUUCAAAAUUACCUGUCCUGCUUCAUUGCUGUGUUAGAAAACCUGUUAUUUGCUGUGACUUGUUGCUCAAAUAUGAGCUAGUUAUGGACAGAAUUUCAAAAUGAUUUCUUCUGAGAAAUUGUAGCCCUAUGGACAGAAUUGUAGCCCUAGUUAUGAUUUCUUCCAAUGCCAUUAACCACGCCCAAUUUCAAAUUGAAUUGAGUGAGUUAUGGCCGAAUUACAGAACUGCAUCAGAGAAAGAAAACCCUAAUUUUGGGUUAGCCAAUAGCUUAUUUCGAAUUGGGACUUGUUAUUUUGAAACUUUUGAUGUUAAUCACCUACCAAAUAUAUUUUGGAUAUUUCUUAGACCUUGUCCUCAUAAAUGAACUGGAUUUGAGUUGAUUUCAUUGGCCAAAGGUUAGAAAAAGGAAAACGGAAGUACAAGGCAGAUUUGCCUUGGAAAUUCUUGGAACUUUAGUGGCUUUGUUAACUGACCUUCCGUACCAAUGUUUGCAUGAAAUUUGACAGAGAAAUAGCUCUUAUAUGGUAGGGUAAUACUACCAAAUUUGGUGCCAUUCCAAGUCCAUUUCGAUGCCCAACCAAAGUCUCAAAGUUCAUGUUUCAAAUCUGGAAAACUCUUGUUCAGUGAGAAAUUUUCAGCAAUUUUGAGCCGCUAUAUCUUGGUGCUCAAAACUCUGAUUCUUGUUUUGUUGAUUGUGUUUUAAACUUUGAUUAUAACUCUAAUUGAGUUCCAAAUUUCAGAGACUAGUUCGCAUUCUGUGAAUUUUGCCGAAUUUUUUAAGUUUGCCGAAAAUCAACUCCAAAUCUGUCCGGGGAGUCCAAAUCAGCAACUUUGAGCCAAAUUUUGAGUGUCUUCCAUUUUGAAUCAUGGAAAAGCAUCUUCCAGGAAUUUUUAGUACUUUGGAAGUAGUUUCCGAUGGUAUCAAUUUUCCAAUUUUGAACCUACAUAGAGUGAGAUACGAUUUUUCAAAGAUUGCUUGUCAAAUUUGAAAUUUUCGAACUUAAAGGAAAUUGAGUAUUUAGAACUCUCCAUUUUUCUUCGAUAUCGUUUGACCGUUUUACCCUUGAUUUCAAAGAUGAAAAUCAAAUUCUCCUUGUAUUACUAAACCCUAUUUUUAAGUCUCGAUUUACGAGUAAUUAAGACUCAUUUUUAUGAUAUCUUCUUAGAUUGUAUGUGAGUGCAAUCUUUCUUGAUAAUUAGGGGUUUUAACCGAUAGUGUGUAAUAGUUAAUUGUUAAUUGCUCAGGCACUCAAGAGGACCUUCAAAAGGAUCUCACGGUGGACGCCUGAACCCUCAAGCGGGCACACUUGUUUUUUUUUUUAUUGGUGAGUGUCAAGUGCAUGAAAUACGUGUUAAUUGUUAUUGAUAAUCAAAUAUUUUGAAAAUGCUGAGUCGAGUGUGUACUUUACCGCACUCAUUCUCAUUUGAAUGAAUCGUGAUUGAAUUGAUUGAAGUAUAUGGAAUGAAUUGAAUGAAAUGAAUGAUUGAAAUAUAUUGAAUGAAUGAAAUGGUAUGCUAUGGCUACAUACGUCGUUGGAGUGAAUCUCCUCGACUCAUAAAUGUUGAUUGGGGGACGCCCAAUUCUCACUGGCCAACCUUGGACUCAAGCCGGCAUGGGCUUGGUCGAGCUCCUUGGUGAACCAUGAGAAAACAUAAGCUUGCCCUAUUGAGAGGUCUUACUUGGCAUACUCGACUAGUAUCGCCUCAAACAAGCGCCAGGCGAGUCCGGUACAGGGGUAUGUAAUGGUGAAUGGGAACAUGAUAAGUGAAGUUCUACGGACUAUAGCCUACCCGAUUGACUGAGUGUCAAUCGUGGAGGUUUUUGAUCGUGCAAGUGGAAAAAUAGCUCAUGAGAGCUCCUAUAUCCUUGAAUUGUUUCUGUUUACUUUUCUAGUUCGAAUUGUUAAUUACUUAAAUAUUAUUGUUUACUCGUUAAAUGGGAUUGUUACUUGAACAACGUGCUUGCAUGUGUGUUUUCUUGGCUUCACGAGCAAUUGCUCACCCCGUAGAUUUGUUUUCCUUAACAGGAAUGGACAUGGAAUGAAAUUUGGAGAAACCUCUUUUGAUGUACUUUUGUAUUAAGGUUUCAAAUGUAAAUGACUAGACAUUUUGGCUGUUGUAUAUUUUGGGAAUUAAUGUAUCUUUUAGAUACUUGAUGUAAGAAUUGGAUAGCUGAUAUAUUUUGAACUCGUGGUGUAAGACUUGGAUAUUCAAUUAUGGAAGCGACUUUUCUUUAUUUGGCUUGUAAUAAUCAUUAUGUAUUAUUAAGCGUGAAUCGAAUUGUCUUGAGUCCUGGCGAGAGUUGGGCAGGCAUCUCGCAGAUAUUCUUUGAUUCGCCUUAAGGAGAAGUAGGGGCGUCAUAGAAUGCUUGGGUUUUUACAACACAAGCAAAAUGGUCCUACCAAAAUAUUUUGUGAUAGCAUGUCUGCUAUUGAGUUAACAAAAAAUCUAGCUUUUCAUGAGUGCAGCAAACAUAUUGACAUCAAGUAUCAUUUUGUUCAUGAGUUGGUUCAAGAUCAAGAGAUUGUCAUUGAUUAUUGUAGAAGUGAAGAUUAAGUAGCUGACAUUCUGACAAAACCACUCAAGUUGGAGAUGUUCAUGAGGUUGAAAAAGAUGCUUGGCAUGAUGAAGUUUGAAGACCUUAAUUUAAGGGAGGCAAUGUAGGAUGUUAAACCAAGCUCUUAUUCUUAAUUGGUUUCCGUUAGUUUAAAGGUUUCUUUAUAAGUGUUAGGCUUGUCCAAGUUUCAGAGUCCAAGUCCUACUAUCUAUGUGAUUAAGAGUGGAAAAGAAAUAAAGAAGUUGUUGCCUCCUCCACUUCGUUUCUUGCUCUGUCGCAAGUUUUUUUUAUUUUCUGCUGCCAAGACUAUCAGUUGCAUGGUUCGCUUGUAUUCUUUAUCCUAUGGGUUAUUUUCUUACAACCCUCCUUUAUCUUCCAUUUGGAGUCUAAUUGCUCCUGCUCCUUUACAUAUGUUUGUUCUUAUAAUCAUGGCAAAAGCAAUUUCGAGUUUUGAGAGACUGCUUGUGGGGGCUGACCUCAAUAUAUUAUGGGUUUCUAACAGAAUUCUGGGCACGUAUAGUUGCUUUAGGAUCAGUUGUCUAGAGGAAAAUAUUGCACCAUUGAAGGUUUUAUUCAGUACAGGUGGGUGAACAAUUAUCGGUUAGACUAUGUUAGAACCUACUGCCAUAAUUACCUAAUGGUUUAACUUAACCAACACCCCUUGUAAAUAUUGAAAAUUUUGAUUUAACAGUUUAGCUUUAUAUUGUAUUCUUUUCUCUGUAACUCUCCCAUAUUAGUUAAACCAGAGUCUGGUUAUAAGCUCCAACUAGCGAAUCAGCAGACAUAGUCGAAUAAACUACUUUCAACUCAAUUAUACCAGCUCAGAGCAGUUUUUAGUCACUAAUUACUAUUUUUCAGUCACAAACUACACCUUUUAUUAAGAUAAGCAAAAGGAAAUUACAAAUAGAGGUAAUCCAUUGUAGUACAGAACUGCAAACAAGCAGUAAUCCUAACACAGGUAGCUAGACACUUUCACCUAUUUAUCAAACACAACAAACGGCAAACACUACUGCAGGACAAGUUCUCAUGAUUCCUUUGGAUACCUUUUCGAGUAGCACAAGCCCCUUGUACUGUUGCACAUCCUUCACAAUGGCCUUACUUACAUACACAACAUGAUUCACAAAGAUUUGCUAAUGGAUUGAUUUGUUCCUUCCUUUCUAUACAUGUAAACAAAGGCAGCUAAGGCCAACCUAGUCCUACAAACUUGUGCUACAUUCCAUGAACAAGAUACAGUUCAAACUCUAGCAACCUUGAAAAUAUGUUAUAAGCUCUGAGACUAAUGAAAUAGGAAAGCAAAAAGAAAAAAAAAAGGAAAAUGACUAGCUGACACCUCAACUAGAUGACACAAAACAUAACCCUAAUUAGUAGCAAUUAAGGCUCUAUUUCCUCAAAUCUUCCCUUGUAUGUCGUUAUUCCAUUUAGAAAAUUAUAACUUAAAAGAAGAUUUCAAAAUCAAAAGCAAAUAAAAAACAAUUCCAACGAAAAUACAUAGUUGUUUUCAGCACAACUAUGUGGAAUUUCUUUUAGUCUUUGUUCAACUAUAAACAACCUUCUUACUAUUUUGAUAGCUAAUAGUGUAUUAUUGAAUUAUUUAUGCUGUUCAUACAUAAAAUCAACAGGUUUCUUUUAAGACGACUUUUAUACAUCUUCGGUGGGAUGGUCAAUCUUGGAAAGGUACAUCCUAGUUAGUGACCAAACUCAUGAUGGUUACGAUAUAGGAACAAAGGGAGCAAAUCAGAUGAAGCAUCAAUCACCUUGGACCAUAAGGCCAAGAAAAUAGGGUCACAAAUUUUGACCUUCCCUGGUCUUGUUGAACAACAAUUAUGCAUCUAUUCAUAGAACUAGAAUUCGUAACAUCCUUGCCUACAAAGAGGGACCUAAUGUUCUCAAUUAAGGGUUCUGUCAAUUCAAGCCGCUCGCGAGUAGCUCGCGAGCGGUUUGGUAAAAAGCUUGACUCGAGCUCGGUAAAAUCGAGCUCGAGCUCGAGCUUGAGCUACUCGUUACAUUUAACGAGUUGAGUUCAAGCUCCUAAAAUAACUACUCGAGUGCUCGAUGAGCCUAAUCGAGUUUUCGUAUAAUAUAUAUAUUAUAUAUAUAUUAAGUAUGGAAUGACUAUUAUGGGUAUGUGUUUUAAUAAAUUUACAUGAAAUAAUGUUUAGUUAAAAAAAGUGAUGGAUGGUAAAAUGGUAAUGUGAUAAAUCUAAAAUGUAAAAAAUUAAAAACAAGAAAAAAAAAAUCACUCUCGUUUACCUUAUUGUCUGAACCCUAAACAAGAAUGCACUCUCACAAUCUCACUUUUAAAGUUCAAACCUUUAGUACUUCAUCGCAGCUCGCAGGUGAGCAAAAACCAACAUCGCCGUCGUGCUUUGCUUCUCCUUUUGGUUUCAACUUCACAAAUCACAACAUGGUCCCGCUGAUUUUCUCCUCUGCACUUGUAGCAUGACUAGCGGCGAAAUGUCACUCAAUUGUAAAGCACCUUGCAGCCGGCAGUUAAUGCAGCUCAUUUGAGGUAAUAAACGACUGGCCUUGGUAUUUGGGUGUGAAUUUUUGAGUCUAAGUUCCCAUUCUGCUUCAGAAAAUGAAAACCUAAUUUUGGGUCUUUGGUAAAAAUUGUGGGUUUUGUUGACAGUGAAUAGAAGCUAUUAAAUAAGCAAUUUGCGGCUUAAAUUUAAGGUGGAAUCAAAAUGGAGUAAAAGCUAUUGUAAAUUUUUGGAGAAAAAAUGCAAAGUGACACUGGCCCUUCUACUGGUGGUUCAAGAUUAGCUGCUGUACCUCAGGGACUAGGUAACCUACUGAUUCAUUUUGCACUUUGUCUCUGUUCUUUCUCCACGAGUCUCAGGGACUAAGAGUAAAAAAAAGAGAUAGGAAAGAAGCUUUCUUGAAACUGAUUUCAUUUCCCCCGUGGAUAUAAUCUUUGUUUUUUUAUUGUCAAGCAUUAUAUAGUGUGCUUUACUUUACUAGUGAUAGUGGAUUGUGCACUACUAGCAGAGGGACCACACUUCACCUAAAAGCAUUUUGCUAUAUCCCGUAUGAAUUCCUGAAAGCAUUUUGCUGUCCUUGGCAUUUUGCUUUACUUUACUAGUGAUAGUGGAUUGUGCACUACUAGCAGAGGGACCACACUUCACCUAAAAGCAUUUUGCUAUAUCCCGUAUGAAUUGCUGAAAGCAUUUUGUUGUUCUUGGCAUUGAAUUAGUGGCCCCCAACAAAAGAUUUGUGCAAAAGACUAAGUUGACUGCUUAGAUUUUGGCUCAUUGUUUGGUUUUGAAUGGACCUUGCCCCUAUGCAAUUGGCUAAACCGACAUGUAAUGUAAUUUGGCAUGUUCUUGGUUGAUGAAAAACCAACAUGUAAUCCUUGUAGUUUAGGACUUAAUGAUUCCUGUGAGAUUAAUGUACUAAUAGUUUAAGACUUAAUCAAGUUUAUGAUUUUUUUUUUUUUGGCAAAUUGAAGGUGGAUGGAGUCCACCUGAGAUUCCUUCUAUCCCUCAGCUAUCAAAUGCUGGUUCAUCCUCUCCAAUAUUGCUCGAUAGUCCUAUUUUUGUUAGCAACAACACAACUCCAAAUCCAGAAAUACAUGUGACUGAUCAAGGAACUGAAAAAACUCCAGUUGAGAAUGAAGGAAUACAAGUGAAUGCUAUGGAGAAAAAUGUAACAGAAGGAGAGCAAGAUAAAGGUGAUGAUGAAUUUCAUAUUCCAAAAAGAAGUAAAACAUCACAAGUUUGGGAUGACUUUGAAGAAAUUGAAGAAAAUGGCACUUUCUAUGCCACGUGCGUCCAUUGUAGGAAAAAACUUUCAAGGGGCAAAUCUAAGCAAACUUCAAGCAUGUUAAGGCAUAGGAUUUCAUGUUCAACUAGAAAAGUGCAUCUUAGAAUGGUAGCACAACAAACAAAACUAAAUUUUCAGCCAGCUGAUGAGAUAUUUUCGACUUUACCGGCAUUACAUACUGGUAAGUUUGAUAUGGAGGCAAUGAGAGAGGCUGCUGCACAUUGGGUGUUAAUGCAUGAGCAUCCAUUCACUAUCUUGGAGGAAGAAGGUUUUAACAUCAUCAUGAGACGGGGAAUGCCAGAGUGGCAAAAGAUCUCCCGAGGAACAGCAAAAAAUGAUUGCGUGACAGUCUAUGAAGUUGAAAAGAAGAAGUUGAAGAACAAGUUGAAGCAUGUGCAAAAAGUGAGCAUCACAACCGACCUUUGGAAAUCUAAAAAUCAGAAAAUAGAGUAUAUGGUCAUCACUGGACAUUGGAUUGACUCAAAUUGGAAGCUUCAGAAGAGAAUUCUCAAUUUUGUUCACAUACCACCACCUCGACGUGGGGUGGAGAUUGCUGCUGCAAUUUUUAAGUGCGUGAAGGAAUGGGAAAUUGAUCACAAGAUACAUACUAUAUCAGUCGAUAAUGUCUCCAAUAACGAUGUUGCUAUCCGACUUUUGAAGGAUGACUUCUCUAGAUCAAAAAAGCUGCUAUGUGGAGGCAAACUUUUUCAUGUUCGAUGUUGUGCACACAUCUUGAACCUUGUGGUUCAAGAUGGCCUUUCCAAGAUGGUGGACAUCACCAACAAUAUUAGGGAAAGUGUGGAAUUUGUCAAUCGCUCCGAGGGAAGAGCUUUGCUGUUUGCUGAAAUUGCCCAACAGCUCCGAAUACCUGGAAAAAAAUUGCUUUAUGAUUGUCGGACUAGAUGGAAUGCCACAUUCGAGAUGCUGAAUUGUGCCAUCAAAUUUAGAGAUGUUUUUCGCCGCUUUCAAGAUAGAGAUCCACUUUAUGAUUUUUGCCCAUCUCCUGAUGAUUGGGAUAAAGUAGAAAAGGUUUGCUCUAUCUUGGAGAAAUUUUGGACAGCCACACAUAUUAUGUUUGGGACUGAUUAUCCUACAAGCAACUUGUUCCUUCAAGAGGUGGCAAAAAUUAAGAAAGUUUUAGAUGCUCAAGUCAACAAUGAAGACGACUUCAUCCGGGCCAUGGUAACAAAGAUGAAAUCCAAGUUUGAUAAAUAUUGGACUGUAAUUUGCUAAUGGCAAUUGCUGCCAUUUUAGAUCCGAGACAGAAAAUGCGAGUUGUAGAGUUCUCAUACCCUCAAAUGUAUCCUCCUUUCCAAGCUCAAGAGCAUAUUUCAAAUGUUCGAAAAGUCCUAUUUGAUCUUUAUGAGGAAUAUGUUGCUUUAAUGGCAAGUAUAGAAGGAACAGCAAUGGAAGAUUGUUCUUUAGAAGGGCGGCGAAAAAAUGCACCAGUUUCUUCUUCUUGGGAUGAUUUCGAUGUCUAUUGUGAUGAAGUUGAGACUAACGAACCCCUUAAGUCGGAACUGGUUGAUUAUUUAGAUAAGCCUCGCCAAAAGACUGGAGCAGACCUGAAAGCAUUUGAUUGCUUGGAAUGGUGGAAAAUAAACCGAAUUUCCUAUCCAGUGUUGUCUCAAAUGGCUUGUGAUAUCUUGGCCAUUCCAGUAAGUACAGUGGCAUCUGAGGCAACGUUUAGUGCCGGAACUCGAGUAAUAGACUCCUAUCGAGCUUCACUUCACCCGAAAACUGUUCAAGUAUUGCUGUGUGCCGGAGACUGGUGUAGAAAUCUCCAUGGAAUCAAAAAGAAAAUGAAGGUAAUAUUCAGUAUUUUAGUAUUCGAGACCACUAUUUGUGCAUAAGUUACUCAAUUUAUUAUUUUCUAAAUUAUUUCUAACUUUUAAUGUUUUGUUUUCUUUCUCUUUCUUCUAAUAUGCAGCAAGUUAAGAUAAUUAAAGAAGUUGAGUUGCCGAAAGUAUGAAGAUGUCUCUCAAACAGCCAGGUUUAGUAGUAUGGUCCUUAUGGAAUCUUGUAGUUCUUAAUUGUUUUUUUCUUACUUUUGUCCUUUAAAUUGAUACAACUGCAUUCUUGAUAGGACUGCAAUUUUUGAAUCUUGGGUUGGCUUCUGAUGCGUACUAGGAUGCCAAGCAGACUAGCACCUUUCUUUUGUUAAACAAGCUGUGGUUGCACUUGUCCUUUUGAAUCUUGAUGCAUACUGGAAUCUUGUGUGCUUGUCUUGCGGUGUUGUUCAUUUUUUGAUAUCUUGAUGGACUGAUCAGUGGUAGUUCAAGCUGACUUGUUACUUUUGUAUUUUGUAAUGCUCGAAACUUUUGACACUAAUUUGGGAUGUUAACUGAUCAGUGGUGGUUCAAGUCUAUUUCGACAUCUUGUUAACUUUUAUUUGUGAGGAUGUUAACUGAUAUUAUCUGUACUUUGAGAUGAAUUUGAAAAGGCAAACCUGUUUCAUUAUAUACACUUGUUAGUCAUGGUUUAUAUUCGAAGUCUGGAAAUCUGGAAUUCUGGUUUAUAUUGGAAAGGCAAACCUGUUAACAUGAAUCUGGAAUUUGAAUUUUGAGAAAAUAGGAACUCGAGCUCGAGCUCGAUCUCGAGUAGCUUAGGCUUGAUAUUUACUCGAGCCCAGACGAGUCGAGCUCGAGUUUAGUUUUCAUUUUAUCGAGUCGAGCUCGAGCUCAAAUUUAUGUACUCGUUCGAGCUUGAGUUCGAGUAAUAUUGCUUGAGAUCGAGUUCGAGCUCUAGUAUGGUGUUGCUCGAGCUCGACUUGGCUCGAUAGUAGCCCUAUUCUCAAUCUCAACACGUACACCUCGAUAACCAAUUGAUAAAUCCAUUAUUUGCAUACAUUUACGUUAUGAUUUGCUUAGCUUUUGUUGUGGAUUUGUCAACUUAUGUAUUUUCUAUGGUCUUCAUGAAAACAAGUUGAAAGAUUGAGUUGAAGAUUGAAUUGAGAAGAUAUUGAGACAAUUUGAGGAUACUAUUGCGGAAGUUAUCAAGAUAUGAUUGGAUAUAUCAUUGGGCACUUAUCACGUGAUUACACCUUGGCCAAUCAAACAAGAUCCCAUUUACAAUCCAACUUAACUUUGAAACGAAAUUUGGUGUGAAUUGGAGAGAUUUUCUUAAUCAAAUAUCUUAUCUCCUAAGUUUUAACCUCGAAUUUGAGCAGUAUCGUUCGUUAUUUGUAAUUCCUUUAUAUUCAAUUAUUUAUUUCUUGUUUGUUCAAUUCUAAUGCAAUUGAUCAUUAUUUCUCGCUUAUUGAAGCAGUUGUGAUCAGAUUGUAGACAUGCUUUCUAGCUUCUAAUCGAUAAUUGUUGUUAGGGAUUAGAACAAGAAACAGAGUGAAUUAAUUUGAUUGUAAGGCAAGUUAAAUAAUUAUUUAGACUUUUGAGUGGUGCAUGGAUUAAAUUUACAAUAUCUAAUGAUAUUAUUGAAUGAAUAAGAAUUGCUUUUCAACAUUGAAUUUGCUUGGUAAUAAAAAAAUUGACCAGAAGCUUUUUCUAUGUAAUUUGACUAUUGAAUGUCUCAAUUUUCCUUAGUUUUAAGGACAAUCAAAUUUAUUUACUUGAAUUGAAAGGAUGUCAACUAAGUCUAUGGAGCGGAUGUUUAACUUUUGAACUAAAUUAUUAAAUUGUUUAGUUUCUUUAAUUUUUUAGAACUUGUUUAUUAAAUUUUUAAUUCAAAUCCCCCCUUUUCUUUUCUGAUUACAAUUUCUUGUAAGACAUUUAAAGUUAAAUUUUUCUUCAGUUCCACCUGGAUUUCGUCUUCGUAUCACAAAAUUUUCUUUGUUGUGAUUGAGGAGUCAAUAUUAUUUUUGGAGGUUUUGACAGUCGACCACCAACCUAUUAUACUGAUUCAAAUACUAAAGGUGAGAGUCCAAAAUCAAUUGAGAACUGAUUCAAAUACUAGAGGAUGAGAGUCCAAAAUCAAUUGAGAACGACUUGUUGGAUAAACUUGAUUUGUUAGAAAUUGCUUCAAACCUCUAAAGAAGUUCUUGAAAUUUAGAUUUGUUUUGAAAUUGAUAAUAACGGCAAUCUUAUAGUAUCUAUUAGAAAUAAAUUUAUAGGAUGGACCACCGUAAGUAAUCUUGUGAAAAGGUUGAAAUGGAAGAAAUUUACAAUCACACAAAAGGAGGUUGAGCAGUGAGGCCACGGAUGCAAUUUCCAAAAAUAAUAGAUGUUUUUGAAGGAAAUUUUAUAAAUAAUUUUGGAAGGAAGGACGUGUCUUGGUUCCAUGUUUGCCACACAAUCCUCAGCAAAUUAUGCGUAUGCAAGAAGAUUAAUUUGCUCUAUCACUUUCCAAUUCAAUUGAUCAAAAAUUAGAUAUCAUAGUGACUUCAAUAUUUUGCUACGUUGGUAUUUGAUAACCUUAGAGUACGUGAACUGUUUAGAGCAAUUGGCAUAAUUUAUGGCUCACUUGUAUCCAUAGUUCAAAGUCGUGGUCUUGGUCAUAGUUGUGGUCGUCACUAUUCCAUGUCAAUUGCAGUGGAAUCAUCACAAUCGUGGCGAGAUGCAUAUUUAGUAUAAAACUAUUUGCAAAAAAUACAUAUAUUAUAUCUUACACAAUCAUUCUUUAUUGUUAAAUAAGAAAUAUAUUUUUAACUCAUUUUAGAGCAUAUGGAUGUCCAAUACUUAAAUAUUUUUGUGGGUCUCCGAAAUAUCACCAAAUAAGGAAUUGUCAGAAGUUUUGAAUUUUUCUCCCUUAUUAUUAACUCUACAAUGUUAAUUUGAUAUUUUAAUAAUUAUUAUGAAUCUCAAACCACUUUAAUUGUUGAGUAAGUAUAUUAUUAUAUGUGCCAUGUAGAUGUAAUCAAAAUUGCAAGAGAAACUCAUAAAUAUAUUUUAAAACAUUUAAGUGUCAUGACACAACAUUUAAAAAGUUUUAGUUUUCGUAGUCAAUUCUUUGGUAUAUCUUGCUUCUAUUCUAAUUAAGUUAUUGCUUUUUCAUAGAUAUUCUACUUUAAUUAUGGGGGAUUCAAAAAUUCAAUUAAUUCAAAUAUUGACACGGUACUAUGUGAAAUAAAAAAUGAUAUUAACGUAACAUUUAAUUUUAUUUAUGUUUAACCCUGUAUAUCUCUAAUCUUUAUAGCAUUCACCACAUUUAACAUCCAUUUAUCAAUAAAUAAUCCAAUUAUGCAUUGUAAUACAUUUUGAUUUUUAAGUUUUUUUUAACAUAUUUCAUCUUUAAUUCAACAUUUUUUUCUUUUUUGCGAUUAUGUAAAAAAUUAUAUUAAAUAUCUUAAAGCAUGGAAGAGUCAUGAACAGUGGUGGAGGAGAUCAAGAAGCCCAUAAUAUUUGUCAUGCUCAUGGCUAGGAUUGCAAACGAGAUAAGUCGAGUCAAGUUUUGGUUUAAAUGAGUUGAGUCAAGUUUUAAUCUAAUCGAACGGAACCUUAACUUAGGUUUAUGAAACUCGAUGAGCUCAAAAUGUAAAAUUCGAACUCGAGUUCGACUCAAAUUAACUUAAAAAAAUAAAAAAUGAUUAUUUUAUUUUUUAAAAAUGAGUAAAAUAAUAAUUUUUCUUGACAAAUAAUAAAAUAUUAGGGAUAUAUAUGUAAUUUCAUUAUUAAAAUAAUAUAUAUAUAUAUAUAUAUAUAAUCAAGUUAGCUCGCGAGCUACUAAGCUGAAUAUUUUUAACUCGAGUCCAAGUUUGAGUUCGAAUUGGUCAGCUUGAAUUUGACUCGAACUUGAUCAACAUCGAACUCGAGUCGAGUUCGGAUUUGAGCAGCUCGCGAGCAGCUCGAUUCGUUUGCAGUCCUACGCAUGUCAUUGAAGACUGCAGAUGUAGGUUUGAAGCCCAGUUGGAAUGUGAAAUUCUCAUCCUCGUCCACGACUCUUCCUGAAGUAAAUCUGGAAUUAAUGGUCAUCCCCCUGUACCAUUUGGGAGACCACUAUCUCCAACUCAGAGCCCUUUUGUUUUGAUUAAUGGUGUUGUGUAUGUAUUGAUGUGAUGCCACGUUUAUGAUCCUACAAUUUUGAUUUCGUUUGAUCUCAGCAAGGAGGAGUUCCGGUCUGGUCAAUCAAACCAUCCCAGGAUCCCUUGGUUUUGCGCAACCAGCUUGAUUGGGUACUCGCUUACAAUUCAUGGGAUGCUCAGGGCUGUCAGGUCCUACUAUAACUGGUGUUCCUUGAAACAUUCUGUUUUAUGCACUAGAAGAUGAUGAUGGCGAUUCCUGGAGGAGCUAUGCUCUUUCCUUGCCCAUUCCGCCUGAGGAGGAUCAGCCCCACGUUGGGUGGCAUUCCCAGCUGGCAAUCUCCGCACUGGCUGGAUACUAUUGCCCUCCUUAUCCUGCAUAUGGAGUCUAAUGGCUUCUUUACACGUUUAUUCUUAUUAUCAUUGCAAAAGCAGUGUUGAGAGACUGCUCGGAGGGGGUGACCUCAACAUGUUAUCGGGUUCUGACAGAAUUCUGGGCAUGUGUAGUUGCCUUAGGAUCACCAGUCUAGAGCAUGGUUCAAAGUCGCGGUCGUGAUUGCGGUCGUGGCUUGGACCGUUCCACAUCGGUCUCGGCAUAUCGGUCGUUGUCUCCACGAGACGCGAAUUUGUGAAAUAUUUAAUAUUCUAAAAAUUGUAAAAAAUAUGAUAAACAAAAGUAAUUGAAAAAUAAUAAAAAUUCAAGUUGAUUCGGGAUGACUCGAAGUGACUCGGUGUGAUUCGACCGUUUCAACCCUUCACGGUGACGUCUUGGCCUGUCACGUAUCUCGGAAACGUUUCAUCGCGGGCCGAGUCGUCUCCGUCUCGACCGAGUCUUCGAACCAUGGUCUAGAGGAAAAUAUUGCACCAUUGGAGGCUUUAUUCAGUACAGGUGGAUGAACAAUUAUUGUUAGUACCUCCUGCCAUAGUUAUCUGAUUGUUGUAACUUAACUAAAGCCUCUGUAAAUAUUGAAAAUUUUGAUUUAACACUUUGGCUUUAUACUGCAUUCUUUUCACUGUAUCUCUCCCAAAUUAGUUAAAGCAGAGUUUGGCUAUAAGCUCAAACUUGCAAAUCAGCAGAUAUAGUCUAAUAAACUACUGUCAGCUCAAUUAUACCGGUUCAGAGCGGUUUUGAGUCACUAAUUACGUUUUGUUUCAUCGCAAACAACAAGUUUUAUUAAGAGAAGCAAGAGGAAAUUACAAAUAGAGGUAAUCCAUAGUAAUACAAAACUGCAAACGUGCAGGAAUCCGACAUAGCACAGCUAGCUACACACAUUCACCUAUUUAUCAUCACAGCAAACGGCAAACUCUACUGCAGGACCAUAGACAAGUUCUCAUGAUUCCUUCGGAUACUUUUCUGAUCGAGCAGCGCAAGCCCCAUCUACUGUUGUUCAUCCUUCACAUUGGCCUUACAUACACAACAUUUAUUCAUCCUUCACCAAGAUUUGCUAAUGGAUUUAUUUUUUCCUUCCUUUCCAAACACGUUAAACUGAAGCACCUAAGGCCAACCUCGUCCUGUAAACUUCUGCUGCAUUCCACAAACAAGAUGUCAUUCAAACUUUAGCAACCUCGAAAAUAUGCUAUAAGCUCUGAAUCUUCUCCCAAAAGACUGACGAAAUGGACAAGCAAAAAAAAAAAAAAAAGGAAAUGAUUAGCUGACCCCUCGACUAGAUGACGCAGCGCAUGUCCCAAAUUAGUAGCAAUUGAGGCCCCGUUUGCUCAAAUCUUUCCUAGUAUGUCGUUAUUCCAUUCAGAAAACUAGAACUUAAAGAAGACUUCAUGACGGAGCAAAUAAAAAACAACUCCGACGAAAAUACGGAGUUGUUUUUGGCAGAACUAUGUGAAAUUUUUUUUAGUCUUUGUUCAACUAUAAAUAAUCUUCUUAUUAUUCUGAAAGCUAAUAGUGUAUUAUUGUAUAUGUGAUUCUUGUUCUUAUGUAAAAUCAACAGGUUUCUUUUAAGACGACUUUUAUGCGUCCGCGGUGGAAUGGUCAAUCUUGGGAAGCUACAUCCUAUUUAGUGACCAAACUGAUAAUGGUUAGGAUUUAGGAAGAAAGGGAACAAAUCACAGGAAGCAUCAAUUAUCAAUUACCUUGGAACGUAUGGUCAAGAAAAUAGGGUUGCAAUUUCUGACCUUCCCUGGUCUUGUUAAACAACAAUUAUGUAUCUAUUCAUCAUUAUCAUUAUCAUUACUACUCCCUCCCUUUUUUUAUAACUGACGUUUAAGGUUUUGCACACCAAUUAAGAAAAAAUUUUCAUUGCUUAAAUCUGUACACUACUUUUCUUUUGUACCCUCAUUAAUUGUCCAAUUCACCCAUGUUUUCUCUCACUAGAGUAUUAAAUGGUGCUGUUUUAUUAGGCCAAAAGCAAUACAAACUAACUCCCACCAAACUAGGAGUAGUAAUUAAGAACCCUGUAUUGGAAAAGAGAGAUAAAAGGGUAAAAUUGUGAAAAAAUAAUUAAUACGGUAUGGGGAUAAUAAAACGACAGAUAAAAGUACACUAGAGCAAAUUUCUUAAACGUCAAUUAUAAAAAAAAGGAAGGAGUAUAUAAAAAGCAUGAUGAGUCUUGGCAAUAAGGAGUGUGAGUAUAAGCAUAUUUUGAUUUUAGUUUUUGUUAUGCCUAAAUUACCUUCAUGUCUUUUAAUUAAAGUUAUUGCAUUUCAAUCAUGACACUGACAAGAAAAAUGAAAUGUUUCAAUAAAUUGCAUCUCAAAAAUGUUGGUAAUUAAAAUAAAAAACGACCCACUUACAACUAUAUUCACCAAUCAUUUUCUUCAUCUUCAAUUAUUGUAUGUGUUAAAAUUAUCUUCAAUCAUUAUAUUCUUAUGUGUGGUAAUUAAAGCUAACCAUAUUUUAUACACAUAUUGGUUUAGAAGAAAGUCACAAUUAAUAAGAAGACAAAAAGUUAUAAACAGUUAAUGAUCAAACUAAAAUGUUAAACUGAUGAUUAAAUUCGCUAUAUUAUAUCAUAUUGACUAAUAAAACUUCAAAAAAAUUGUCGAUAAUUAUAAAAACAUAACAGAAAAGAUUUACAAUGACUUGAUAAAAAUUUGAAAAUGUUGGUAAUUAAAAUUAAAAAUUGCUCGCUUACAACUAUAUUCACCAGUCACUUUCUUUAUCUCCAAUUAUUGUAUAUGUUAAACUUAUCUCUAAUUAUUAUAUUCUUGUGUGUGAUAAUUAAAGCUAACUGUAUUUUAUAUACAUAUUGAUUUAGAAGAAAAUCACAAUUAAUAAGAAGAUAAAAGGUUAUAAACAAUUAAAAAGGUUAAAUUGAUGAUGAAAUUCACCAUAUUAUGUCAUAUUGUCUAAGAAAAUUUCAAAAAAAUUUAAUAAUUAUAAAAAAAAUAUAUAAUAGAAAAGGAUUACAACUAUUGAAAUUGAUAAAAAUUUGUUAUAUCCAAAUCAUAAUGUUUUAGUAUGUAUUUUGCCCAGGUUUUGUUUUAUGCACUGGUUUGACACAACAUAGAAAAUCUUCUCUUCUUAUUGUCACAACCCAAGUAAAAUAUGCAAUAACUUAGUUUCUUCUUAUUGUGUUUCUCCUGGACCACCACUGCUUCAUGAACGCCGGAAUCCAUCUUCUCCCAAAAAUCCAACCCUCAAAACUCCUUCUCCACCUCAUUCUUCCACCUCAAUUUCAUCUCUUUCUCGGAGGUAAUUUCCAAUUGAAUCUUUGUAUCAUCUUCAACCAUCACAAAAUUCCUUCAAUUCCAAACCUUAUAUUUUCAGCGGUAUCAGCCCCAAGUAAACCUCAUCUCCAGCAAAAUCAGCAGGUGAAUGCAAACUAUCCAUCUCCAGCAUCAAAUACCGGAGCACUUGAAGCAGAAGAUCCAAACACAACGUGCACUACAUGAAGAAAGAAAUUGCUUGUGGCGGAGGAGUCAAGAAGGGAUGGGUACAGAAUGGUGUGAAAAUGGGAUUUUAUUUUCUCUUGAAACUCUUGAACUCCAUGCAUAUGGCAAAUAAGCUGUACAAAUAGCUUGUGGUAUCAAUAGAGGCAUAAACAGGAGCUGGCUAAUGUAAGAAUCAAGGUAGAGAGUGGAUAAGAAACUCUUAGUUCAACUGGGCUAUAAUGUUAGAAUCAAGGUAAACGGUGUAUGGUCGGAAACUGUUGAUUCAACUUGAAGCUCUGCUGAAAAGUAAUAGCUUGCUUAAAUAUUUCACUUCUUUCCGCUGUAAAGCUGUAUUUAUGCACCCAGAAGUUACAAUAAUGCAGUCAAGUUCUUAAUUAUUCAUUAAAAAAAAAUUGAUAAUCUUUCAUCUUCAGAGUUCAAUAAACUGUUAAUUGUUUUGUAUCUAAUAAACAUUUUCUACAACCAACAAUUGCGUAAUUUUGUUUAUUAUAUGGCUUCUUAGUCACUUCCAUCUUCAGAGUUUUUAUAAUUGUAGAAUGCACAAUAAAAUUUUAAUUGCUUUGUACACAAUAAACAUUUUGUACAAUUACCAAUUACUUAAUUUUGUUCGUUAUAUAGUUUUUAGUUUAUAUUAUGCCCAUAAUCAAAGUUUGGUACAAAAAUUUAAUAUAUUAAAGAUUUUAUAUCUUGAAAAAAAAUAUAUUCACAUGCAAAUCACGUGAGUUAUUUACUAGUAGAACUAGAAUUCGUAAUAUCCUUCGCUCAUUAGUGACUAAAGUGUCUACAAAAUUGCAAAAUAUAGCCAAUAUUUCCAAACUAUGUUUUAGUAACAUAUCGAACCAACCAAGACCUGACUUCUAUAUAGCUGUCAGGUUUAAUAUUCCAACAAACAUUCCCACCAUCUGUGGGGUAUACAAUCUGGGUUAUCCACUUCUUCACAGUUCAAACCCCGCGCGCUGAAGAAUAAAAUGCAAAGGAAUAAGAAGAGAAAUCAAAAGGCGCUUUUCAUUACACGAGCCCGCAGGGUAAUUGCCCACCAUAAACUCCACAUAACUUUGGAAGAGAGGUAUAAUAAUUGCCAGUGCAAUCAAGUCUAGAAUUCUAGAAUGCGGUGCACAAUCUUUUAAACAGGUUCUAAUAUAUUGACAGUAAAUAACUUGAAUAAUUUUGUUAUAGGGAUGUAAUUUUUAAUUACUGCUCUCAUGGGUUGUGUCAAAAUUACGUAUAGAAGACAUUGGUCUCUACCCUUGUCCAAUAACACUCCUAAACACCUACCAACAUCAGUUGGUUCAAUUGGUAAGAACAAGACACUUUCCAACAAUAGGUCGUGUGUUCGCAUUUCACUAUCGAUGUGAGAACUGUAUCAGUGGACGAUCUGUAAGAACUUCUUUAGGCGAUCUAUAGUUUCAAAUAAGGUAUGCCCUAACCCAUAAUAGUAAUUGGAUGCAAACCCAUUCAAUCCUAAACACCUUUGACUUGCCAUCUAAAUUUUUUGUCCGCCAUUGUAUUGUCUGGAAGAACCGAGUAUGUUUAUGAGGCACAGGCAUUGAGCUGAUUCAUACAUUUCUUGCAUUUGAAAACUUUUUAAAGUUGUACUCUUUUAUGCAUAAUUUUGGAUGCAUUUGUCUUCUGGUCUCCACACACUUGGAACACAAUAUGCAUGGUUAAGAAUAAAAGUAGAAACCCACUUUCGAAGAAAAUAUCUACUGAUAAUACUUGAAUUGUUACGUAAAUACUGGGGCUCAUUAUAAAUAUGAAAAGUUUAAUACUGAGUGUUGUUUGCUAAUCCAAAUACAAGCAUAGAGGGAUGAAGAUAUGCAUAUCACCUUUUAAACUAAGUUUAUUUUAAAAAAAAUUUAAGAAAACUACCAAGGGAAAGAAUUAUGAAUUUUAGAAGCUUGAUAAGAGGGUACAGUGAGCAGCUAACAGUCUUAUUGAAAAAACAUUAAUACUUAUAAGAAUUAAAUAAAUUGAUCGCAUUUAUAGACCCUAUUUUUGGGUCCAAGACCAUACCCAUGCUUUCCCUAAUCUUUAUGUCUACGAAAAAUCUAGGAACAAUAAUAUCAUAGUAGAUGAGUUUUUCUGCACAAUAUCAUGUGAUGCAACUAUUAGUAGAUAUUUUCUCACAAUCUAUAAGCAUUCUAGUAUAGAUUAACGGUCCAUGGCUCAAUUCCUGAAUCUUGUGAUCAAAAUAAGAGUACUCACAUGAGUUAGGUGAUACAUGUUGAUUUAAGAGGGUAAUUAAGAUAAUUCUUGCAACCUAAUUGAUUACAGGAGUGGUGAAAUUCUUGUGACUUAAUCGAUUACAUAUUGAAUUAUUGACUACUUUGCAUUUCUGUUUAUUGGUAAUUACUAAUUAGGCUACGAAAAACCGAUAUAUACCAGCUGAAUUUUACCAUCACGAAGUCAAUGUAAGAUCAUCUAUUUUUUGUACUACAUUAUAUUACACAUAGUAUCUAUGUUUAGUUUUCUUCAAUUACUAAUAACAAAACCACAUCCAAUUUCGUCAUAAGCCAUCAAGUUUCCUUUGAAAAAAUGGAUUGAAAUGAUUUGAGAAAAAAAAUAAUUUGCUUCAAAAAUUCCAAUUAUCUUUUUAUCUUCCCAAUCAUUUUUUGUCUCACAUAUAUCACACCACAAAAAGGUGCUACAGUAAUUAUUUUAAAUCAAUUAUUCAAAUAAAUUCUUAUCCAAACAAACUCACUAUAACUCAUGAACCGUUUAUCUGUGGCAUUAGCAUUUGGCUUCACAACUCGCAUAGCUCAGUUCGAAUUCUCGAUAUCACUAUCUAAUACUAAAUUCAAUGUCAAUUCCAUUUAUCAUAUAAAAGUAAAGAAAACUUGAGUUAAACUAAACUAAUUCGAUUUAUUAAAAAAUUAAAGAGCACAUGAAAAAUUAAAUAAACAUAAUACUUGACAUAAAAAUAAAAAUGAGAUUAAAUUGCCACCAAAAAAUGACAUCGAAAAUCUCUAUCUAUGUGCUCAUAGCCUGGUUAUUGCAAAUGCAGGAAAUGUGGUUCGAACAUCGAUAGACUUGGAGUUGACUGGUUUCACCCUAGAAUUUUCUGAUGUUUUCGGGUCAUGUGUUCACAUUAAACAGCAAUGGAUAGGGUUUGGAUAAGAUUAACAUCGAACACAUGACGCCAAACCAGUGACGUUUCUUCCAUCGGGCAAAGGCUUUGCCCAAUUUUUUCCAAAUUCUGUGUGCCAAUGCGAUAUGCUUUGACUUAAGACUUUGACUGACACUUUUCCGACCGGAAUUUGACCCUACAAAUGUGAGAGUAACUCCUUUGACGGGACACGGGGACAGCACUAUCGUUCUUAUUCUCAUCAAGAAACAGUGGCGGAGUUAUGGGAGAAAAAGUUUCGGUGGAUGUAUAAUUAAAAAUAAAGGCCUGCUUGCCACUUGAAUUUUUUAUCAAGUUUAUCUGUUAUAAAUUUUUUAAAAAUUUUAAUUACAAUAACUUUAAAAUAUUUUUAAAAAUUUUUAAAUUAUAUAUUUUAAAAUAUUCAAAAAUUUACACACUUAAAAAAAAAUUUUAAAAACUUUUACAGUAAAUUACUGUAAAGUUUUAGAUAAAGACCCGAAGAACUCACUGGCCAAACAGGGUCAAAGUUCUCCGGUUUGAUAAACAUUACUGUCAAUAAUUAAACAAAUAGUGAAUAAUAUCAAGUAGUUACACAAAUAAAAUUAGUGAGACAACAUUGAUAAAUUAGUGAGAUCUUUUAAAAAUUCUAUGCCUAAAAAUAGAUCUGCCACUACUACUACCAUCAUUUUUACGUCAAGGUGCAUACUUUCCCAUUGACGAAUGAAUAGAUCUGCCACUACUAGCACUUUUUUUUAUGGUAAGAAAUAAUUUGGAUGCGUUUGGCUCCGAUUAUCGUCAUGAGUCAAGGCAUAGUUUCAAAAUCAUAGGUGACGAGGUUUUUACAAAUCGUCCACCAAUACAACUCUCACAUCGACAGUAAAAUUUAAACACAUAAUUUUUUGUGAGCAAGUGACUCAUUCUUGCUAACUAAGUCAACUUGUAUUGGCGCGACUACUAGUACCUCACAAGCAAAAGUUAAAGAAACCCCAAAGCAAGAGCCACCACCCCAACAAGACACCAUCUGCAUAGAGAUCCACUCAUAAAAAUCAAAACUGAGAAAGGUUUUGUUUACUUAGUCCCGUUAUAAUAAAGUUAGCUUCAUGCACAUCUUUCUUCCACAGGGAAAGCUAACCAUAUAAAGUGAAAAUUGUCACCCAAGCAAAUAAACAACAAUUGAAAGGAAAUUUCGUUGCACCGAUUGCUUGUUUGAAGCACAACUAGCCAGACUUCUGAGCUGGUCUUUUUCUAUUCAGAAUAUACGAAUAACACGUUCUGGAGAAAAUUAUGCAUGUGUAAUGCCACUUUCAAUUCAAAAAUGGUUUUCUUCUCCAAUCAAACUUAGAAAAAGAGCAGACUUCUAUGUGGCUACUUAAAUUUGGAAUUCCAGUGCAAAUAGCGUAAUUUACCUGCUAUAUUCAAUUUUGGUCAUUAACUUGCAAACCCUUUUCAGACGAUACCUUGAAUCUGCAGAUAUCUUUAUGACAUGAUUAACUGCGUACCGCAGCUAUUAUGCUUUUAAGUAAGUAAUUAUACUCCGCCAUUAGCCGGCUAAAAAGAACUUAGAAGGUGAAUAGACAAACAUAAAAGUACUUUUAAACUUAAGUAAUAAAAGUAAUACAAGCUUUGGAAAAAUGAUGGUAACACUAAUAUAAUAAGGUACGUGGAAGCAAUAUGGUAGUCACCAACGAUGAUAACCAAUAAGACAAGGCUUUCGAGAAAUUAAUUUCAACAACAGCUACAUGUGUUAGAAAAGGGUUUAUUUUUAGUUUUUUACCAGUACUUGUGUUAAUGUAGGAGAGAAAUAAGACUAGAUUAUAGUACGACUAUAGCAUUCAAACGACAUCUAAAGGCAGUAAUAUUCAGGUAAAAUUAAAGCAAAAUUUUAGAAGCCUAGGAAUGCAACUCUUCCAAUAAGAACAGCUCCACGUAUAACUAUUGCAGGGAAAAAUAACCAGCCACUUGAUAAGAAUAAGUCGUUCUUUCGAAUAUCUUUCAAACCUCGGGUUUUAGCUUCGAAUUUUUUUGGAUUAUUUGGAAUUAGAAAAUUGUUCUAGAUUUUUGUUACACUUGAUGUUGUUGUAUAAUGUUCAUUAUCGUAGUAAAGGGUAAAUAGCAAUGCUGUAUUUUUGGCUCACAUUGGUUAGCGUAGUUGUUAACCUUUAACUUCAGGUCCAAGAUUAAGUUCUUGGGAAAAACAAUUAUUUACACAAAAAUCAGAAACAAAUUGAAGAACCCUACAGCACCAUGACUGCUAUCCACUUAAAAUACAUAACGUCCGCCCACUAAAUUCAAAGUUUUCUAAGGUUCUGUUCGAUAAAACUGAAUCUGAAUUCCGAAGUCUGAAUACUGAAAUAAUUAAUUUGUUGAAUUUUAAACACUGAAAAAAAUUAUAUAAAUGUCUGAAUUUUAAUGCUAAACCUAUUUAUACUGUUUGAUAAAUAUUUAUAACUGAUGCUUAAUUAAUUUAAUUUGACAAUUUUACCCUUAUAUCCUUUCAUUCAAAAAAGAAGUAGAAUCUAUGAUUUAAUUAGUUUAAAAUGGUUAGGUAUGAAAAUGACAAUAUUUAUUUUUAAAUCAAAUUAAUAUAAAAGAUGAAAUAUAUUAUAUGAGGAGUAUGGAAAAGAUGUGAAAGUCAUUAAAAAUGGAGAAAAGAGAAACUAAAAACCGUUAGAUAGAGAAUAUUAGGUUGUUUAAUUAGAUAAGAAUUUUGAACAUAAUUAACAAACAAGGGUAGAUUUUUUGUAGAUAGGAUAAGGUAGUUGAAAUAGUUCUAUUGAUUCUUAUCAAAAUUAAGCAUUCAGUUAGGAUUCUUGUGUUGAAAAAAAUACACACAGGUUCAACACUGCUUAACAAGUUCAGCAGAUAGAUUUUCAUUUAUCAAACACUCAAAAUAUCUGAAUGUCUGAAAUGGUUCAGUUUCAGUAUUUUUUUAUAUUAUCAAACAGACCCUAAGUAUAGUAUAAAAUAUCGGAGUUAUAUUACUUAUAUAUAUAUAUAUAUAUAUAUAUAUAUAUAUAUUCAACCCCCAAAAAAUGCAAAGAGUUCCAGCUCCCUAGUCAACAUUUUUUGUGUCUUACAUUUUUCUAGCGUUUGGAAAACCUUGAAGUAGUACUCAUACCAUACUUUUAGAUGCAUUUGUGUUGUCCUCUCCACACUCAUGGGUUAGAAUAUGAACUGGUAAGGAAUAAAAGUAGAAGCACAAUUUCAAAUAAGUUUUCCAUCUAUGGAACUUGAAUUGUAAUGUAAAUACUGGGUCUUAUCCUAAAUAUGAAAAGUUCACUGUUAAGUAUUGUUUGCUGAUCCACACACUAGUAUAGGGAGAUGAAGGUCUGCAUAUGACACCUUAGAAAAACAAAUAAAUGCACAUAUCUAAGUCAUGAUCAACCGACAUUAAAGUUAAGAAUUGAGGGAGGAAAAGUACGAAUUACAGAAGCUUGAUAAGAGGCUAGUCGUAGUACAAUGAGUGUUACUGAAAAACAUUAAUCAUAAUAAGAAUUAAAUAAAUUGUUCACAUUUGUUAGGCUACGAAAAAGUGACAAAAAGUGGAUAAAUUUACCUCCGCGAAAUCAAUACAAGCUCCAUUCCGUUGUUGAACCAUAUUUUAUUGCACAUAUUGUAUUCUAUCUAUCCAGCAUCAAGACUUCCUUUGUUAGUUGGAAAGUCAAAUAAAACAACCAUGUCUAGCUUACAAAAAGAAAAACAAAAAGAAAAAAAAUACCACCCCUUAAUUUUAUCAUAAGCCACCAAGUUUCCUGCAAAAGAAAAAAAAAAAAAAAACUAUCUAUAACUCAUGAACCCUUUCUCUGGCUCGCAAAACUUUUGAUUAUCGCCAGUGCAGAAGUGGUUUGGACAUCGUUAGACUUGUAGUUCUUGGGAAUUUCCGAUGUUUACUGGUCAUAUACCCGCGUUAUACAGCAAUGGAUGACAUUAUCAAGACUACUGAAGAUAUGACGUGAACUCAAUGACGUUUUCAAAAUUUGGGCAUAGGCCAGUUUUUCCAAAUUCGAUAUUGCCAUUCAAAAAGCAGCUUUGAAUGAAGCUUUUCAAAAAACAUAUUGACUGCUUUCAGAGACAGAGGAGGUUUUGUUUGCACGGUCCUUAUACUAAAGUUAGCUUCAUGCACAUCUUUCUUCCGUAUGAAAAAAUCAUCGCACUAGAUAGUAAAUUAUGUGAGAUAAUUUAAUCAAAAAAUAUUACUGUAAUAUUUUUUUGAUUUAAUGUACGUGAGAAAAAAAGAUGAUUGAAAAAUAUAUUGAUGAUAUAAUUAAUUUAAUGUGUGUAAAUAAGGUGAAAAUAAUGUGUAAUUCAAACACACCCUAUAUUUUUUUACGGACUCCUAAAAAUAGCAAUCCAAACCGGAUUGUAAAGCUAUCAUCAUCGUCACUUGAGAAAAUAAACAACAACUUGAACGAAAUUUCCACAACAAUGCUUUUGGAAUCACUUCUUGUCUGAAGCACAACUUGUCUGAAUUUUCUGUUUGUCUUGUCCAAUCACAAUACCUGAAUAACGUUCUCGCAUGUAUAUAUAUGUUACGCGUGUGGCUUUGUAUUGACGGUUUGACAGGUUCCAUAUCUUGACGGUUCUCUCUUUGAUCAUGGAAAGCUAAUAAUAGAUAAUGACCAAACUCUGUCGUCUUUUUUUUUUGGAUACAAUAAACGACUGGGCGUUCAUGAUCACAUCGGUUUUAUAGAAUGAACAAGUCAAAAACAAUACACAUGAAUAUGACGAGAUUUUGAGAAUACAAUAACAAGAAUCACUGCUGAUGUUAGCCCUGUGACGUCCAUGAGAUUGCCAAAGCAGUCAAAAUUUCAAACUUUGUGUUUUCUUCUCCAAUUAACUCAGGAAAAAACUUUUCCUAAACUUCUAUAUCAAAUUGUGAAAUUCCAAUUCACAAGCUUUUACAAAAUGGUACAAACAAGGUAUGCAAAAGCAAACGCGUCCACCGUGGAAGUCACCAACGAGUGUAACCACUUACACUGGUCAGAUUAGGGAUUUGGGUCGUCUCCGAUGGCUUUUCUCUUCAUAUUUUAUAAUGCACGUUUAAAUGAAUAAUAUGUGUUUUCAUUUCAUUUAUUAGAAAGGGAUAUAAUCAUUUUAAAUUUGACUAAUUCUAACCCAUAUUAAUAAAUAAAAAUAUUUAUGUGUCGUGCAUCUAGGUGUCCACUACCGAGAAUGGAGAGAGAAUCAACCGCAGAGGAGCCAAAUCCUCAUAUUAGCUUUAACCUUUUAACUUCAAGUUCUAGAUUAAGUUGUUGUGAGAAAUUGUUUCUCUUAAAUUUAGUUUUUUAACACAAGAAGUCAUAAAUGAAUUGAGGUGUUGUGGAUCUCGAUUUGGACGCUACUUUUGUCUAACAUUUGUCUAACUCCAAACUCAAUUCAACAGAAUGAAUCAUCAUGAAAAUCUGUAUCCUUACCUUCACGACACUCCACAAGACUUUUACCACAUCAAACUACUCUUACAUGACUUGCUAACUCACAGAAAUUUCAUCAUCCUAAUUCGCUUCUGCCUGGUACUAACAAGCUUAAAAAGAGCUCCCUCCAUAAGGCUUAGAAAUUAAUAUUGAGGUCAGAAUUACACAUUAGGGAUUUGAAGCUGGAAUCCCAGGCUUGAAGUCAAAUUUUGCAAAAUAGAAUAGAUGUUACCAAAAUAUAUUACGUGAGUGUCAAUAAAAAGCUUAGUUAGUCCACAAUACUAAUGCCAUACCCUCAGAAUCUACCAAUAAAAGGCAAUUCUAAAUCACAACACGUUUAAAUGAUAAAUACAAAUAUGAAAUCCUCUCUAAAAUCAAGAAAGUGGAUUAUUCAUUAAUUUGUUUGUGUCUCGCUUAAAUCACAUGUCGUCUAGUAUAGAAUUUUUCUUUCACAAAAUUAGUUUAUUAAUCCCGCGUCUAAGCAAACAUCUUCCAUCGAUAUUCCUUGAAAACUCCAACCAAUUACGGAAUUGGUCAUUAAAUUAGUCUUUUAGUAGUAUUAGAACUAGUAAUCGUAUUCUUCUAAUUAUAUAUUAGGAUGAAGAAGCAAUUAAUUGGUUGUUUAACAAGAAGACCAAGACCUGGCAACCAUGCAAUGCCUUCAACGCAAUUGCAGGCCAAUAAUUUCACGAACCAAUUCAAACAUCGAACAACCAACUUCUGACUUCUGCAGGGCUAGCUACCAGGUUCGAAACUGCAAGGAACAUAUCCCAUUAUCCACUUCUUCAAACCCUACAAGCCCCACCCUAAAAUAUACAGAGGAACGAGAAAGAGAAAGCCAAUUUCCAAAUGGCGUUAUCUCAUUAUAUAAAUUAAACACAUUACCUUCUUCUCCACGUAUCUCAUUGAACAACUUUGACUUGACUGCUGACUCCCCAACAUAUAUCAACUUUUUUUUCCCAUCCAAUCCAAUUGCCCGAAACCGAGUACUGGUCUUAUUUAUGCUUUUCGAUGCAUUUGGCUCGUGGCCUCCACACUCCUCUUGGAGUACAAUAUGAAUGGGAAAGGAAGAAAAGUAGAAGCAGAACAUGAUGCUUGACUUGUAAAUGUAACGUCGAUAAUGGGGUCUUGUCGUAAAUACCAACUGUUUAAUAUUUGGUAGGGUUUGAUGAAUGUGACACAAAUAUGAGUACAGGGGGGACGAAUAUAUGUGCAAAAGAAAAUUACUAAGCUGGAAAAGGAUGACUUUUAGAAGCUCGAGAGGAGGCCAGCUGUACUAACCUGCCAAAGCACCUCUAAGUCUUAUUAGAUACACAUUAUUAAUAACGAGAAGAUGGAGCUAAUUAACAAAUUGAUGGCAUAUUUUAUAGCCAAUUUUUGGGUGCAAAUAAACAAUAAGAAAGAAGAUUUUUCUAACAAAUACUCAGUGACCACUCGUUAGUACAUCUAAAUUAUAUUUAACUGAAAUUCACAUAAUCACGGUUAUUACAUUUCUACAUUUAAAUAUUUUUCCAAAUGACUAGUUGCAAAUUUUUGUUAGUGCAAAUGAUGGUUGCAAAUUUUUUUUUUUUAUAUAUUUUCACCAUUAUAUAUAUAACAAAUAAUUCAAAUUUGAAUGUGAAACUCAAAUUUUACAUAUGUGUCGUAUAUCCAGCCGUAAUAGUGUAUAUGAGAUUUAAUCUAAUGUUAAUAUUGUGUCAAAAAUUGCUUUGGCAAGAAAUUUUCUACUCUGACAAUAUCACCACACGAAAUACAUAUAUAACCCAAGUAAUGGACUUAUAAUUACAAGAUAUUAAGGAUUUCGGUGACAAGAUAUUCAUAUAUUAAUAAUAGCAUAUUAUCUUAAUAAUAAAUUUAGCUUUAUAAUUGAAGCAAAUAAACAACAACUCGAACGAAAUUUCUAUUGCAAUUACCAGUUCUUGUUUAAAGCACAACUUGUCUGAAUUUUCUGAUAGUCUUUCCCACUCAAAAUGUAUAUCAUAUUGCUUUACGUACAUGCAAUUGGGCAGGUUUCAUUCAUGUGACCAAACUUUUAUAAUCAUCAAUGGCUUUAUCUUGCAAAGUUAACCAUAAAUAAUGAUCAAACUCUUGUCUUGUGUUUUUUGGUACAAUACAAUGCAACGACCAGACUUAUAUCGUCUUUAAAGAAAUGGAAUCUUUUGUAAUUGAUUUGUUGACUUGUAUCAAAAGUAGCAAAUGAUACCCUGUCCUUCUCCCAUCAAACAUUUUAUGAGAAUAUGAGAUCAUAUGAAAAAGAAUUGCUGAUGUCAACCUGAUGACGUUCGUAUGAUUGCAAAAGCAUCCAAUACGUCUAAAUUAAAGAGUCAUUUCUGUGUUUCAACUUUUCAAAAAUCCACCCCCUUCAGACAGACAGACUUCCCUAUCACUAUCAAAAUUUGGAAUUCCAAUGCCCAUAGCGUAUUUUGUCUGCUAUAUUUGAUUUCGGACCGCUAUGUGGACUUGCUUUAGGGAAGUAAACUCCACCAUUAUUAGCCCCCCUAAAAAGUUGAAAUGAGUAGACGAGCAUAAAAGCUUUUUAAUUAAGAUUAAUUAAUAAAGCUAACAGCAAGCUUUUACAAAAAUAAUGGUAGUACAGUACUAAUUAUAAUAAGGUUCGUGAAAGCAAAAAAAGGCUACCAACAUGGGAGUCACGAGAGACAAUGACCACUUAAUUAUACGACAACGCAAUAGGGAAAUUUCGACGAAUGAAAACCACAUGCAUGCAUGCAUGCAGGGCCUUUCACUAUACCUAAAGUUUAGGCACAUGCAAAGAGAAUAAGCAAGUAGUACAGUAAAGCCUCCAUAAAUUGAUAAACUCUAUCAAAUAAUAACUUUUCUCGGUCCUGACUUGGGCUAACAAGUUAAUUCAAUAAGAUGGAUAAGAUAAUAAUAUUUUUUGAAAACCUUAAAUAACUAUUUGGUGCCCGUCACAGUGUAAAUUAAUAAUUCACUAAAAUUACACGUCAUAUUUUCCUAAAAUAUGAGUCUACUAUUAAUUUGUGAAUGCCUUUCAGAUGGGAAGCCAUCGUUUAACAGUGAGACAAGAGAGAGAACUUUAUGUUUAUUUGUUAUAAAAAGAGUUCCUUGUCAUUUAUGUAGUGCAUUUAAUAAAAUGGCAGUGGGCAUCUAUCAUUUAGUAUUCCUCCUCUUGAUAACAGAAAAAUGAUAUUAGUUACGUUCGUACAUUAAUUGAAGAUAUUAAUAAAAUUAAAUUGUACUUGUAAAUCAAGUAGAUAUAUAUGGAUUGGUUUUUAUUUCUUAGAUUUUUAGACUCUUUUUGUUAAUAGAACAUUAGUUGAUUAAAUGAGUAUUUUUUGAAUUGUAAGUAUAUUCAAUAAAUUAAUAAUUAAUUUAUCGAUUAAUUAUUACCUCCUUAAAUUAAUAGAGUUUGUAUAGUCCAAGGUUAUUAAUUUAUAGAGAUUUUACUGUACUUUAACCGUAUUAAAUUACAACAAAUGAUUAAGAAUAGAGUGUGGGGAUAAACAAUAGCCUGUUAAGGACAAUUCAUGAGUCAUGAUACUCAAAUUUUGUGAAGAUAGAAGAGGGUAUUAGUAAAAAAUAACGAAUAAAUGUCAAGAAAUAUAUAGGUGUUAAAUUCAGCUCGGACAUCAACCUGGCAAGGCCAAUUAUUUAACAAGUUAGUAGUCCAGUCGUGGAUUCAUCAGUUGAAUCGAUGGCUAAAUAAUACAAUAAAAUAUAUAUCCAAAUUUAAAAAAUAUAUUUAUAAUUACAGAAUUGGGGUAAAAAUGGUGGUUGAUUUUUUUUUCGGAGACGAUAACAGUUGUAUAAUCUAAUCUAUUCUACGCUAUGGGGGAGGGGGUGGACCUAAGGAGGCACAGGAAUAAUUCGGAGGGAACUGAACCACCAUCGGACCGAACGGGUGCACAACACAUCCGUCUGAAUUUUUUGAAGUAAAACACUUAAAUGUGACAUUUUUGUGGGAGAUAAGGUUUGAUUUGAACCUUGCCUCCCACCCCCAUCAAGUUAGGUGGUGGCUGGGUAAAAAUGGUAGCUGGAUUGACCCAUUUUUAAGAUUUUAUCGAUUGAACCGAUAGGCCAUUCAACAAGUUACUUUUUUAUUCCGUCCAACUACUAACCUAGCCUGACUGCGUAGCUAAUUUAUUUAUGGUAUUAACCGGUUAAACUCCCUAGUUAGAACGGGUUUAUAAUAAAUAUGAAGAAAAACUUUAACAAGUUAGUCCAGGUCAAAGUAGAUAUGGUUCCUUCCCCCACUAAAUUCAAAAUCUUCUAAUACAUAACUACUGCCAUAACAUGAAUGCUAGAACGCUAUUUGCUCAACAUGGAUAAGUUCCACCCACAAAAUUAAAAAUCAACAUGACAUACUAUUGAGAAUGAGGAAAAUGGGUUCUUUCGCUUUCCAUGUUGCCACAGUUCAAGCUCGAAUCGAAACCGAACUAGAAUUAGACCAAUCUUUUGUUGAAUCAGAAUAAUAACCGAAUGUAGAGAACCGAAAUUAUUACUAAAACCUUGGUUAAAUGUUCUCGUUUAGGUUCUUAAAAAAUGUGAAAAUCAUAACUUAUGUAUCGUAACACAAUAGAAGUUAAUCGUCACAUUAUAUUACCUAUGAUUCAUAUAGCUAAUAUUUGACAAAUAAAUCACUAAUAAAAGUUGAUUGCCACAUUAUUUAUGAUCCGUAUGGCCAAUAUCUGACGGAUAAACCACAAAAUUUCAUAGUGCUUAAGUGCAUGGAAAGAAAAAAUAAAAUAAAAUAAAAUUGACGUACACUUGGCAACUUCAACAUGCUGUGGGAUCGAAAAUAUUCAAAUCCCGCAUGAAUAAAUUAGUUAAUUAAAUCUGCGUCUGGUCUGGUGGGCAGUGACCAAACUUGUUCUUCAAGAUUUCGCAAGCGCCAACCGUAAUGAUUUCUUUCUAGGGUCGAGAGAAUGCGUGGAAAUACAGAAUUGGUCACGAGUCACCGCCUUAAAUAUAAUUAGUUUAAAUAUUUGAAAACGCAAUUGCAAAUGUUUCAAAAAAGGGGCAAUUGCCCGGAAAUUCACUCAAUCAACGCGCGAGGGCUAAAAGAACUGACUGGAUAAUGGGGUUGAGCUCUAUAUAUAUCUCAGACGAUCGUGAUGAUUUCUGAUUCUUUGAUGGGAGUGAAGGGAGGAAGGUAGGGAGGGAGAAAGAAGGAGAGUUACUGGGAAAUUGUUUGUCUGUUAGUUUGUUAGACAAGCAGAGAAGCAAUGGGGGGAUGCUUUUCUGAUGUGAAAGGAGGGCAACAAGCUGUCGGAGGAGGCGGAAUUGUGGGCCACCCAGGGGCCCAGGGCAUCCGUGGUGCUGGAAGCGCCGCCGGGGGCGCCGCCUCUGGGCUCAAUGAUGCUGUGGAAUUUUUCUUCCGGACUAAAGGUGACCAAGCCCUUAGCACGCAACUCGAGGUCUGUCUUGUACAAUUAAUCUAAAAAAAAAAAAGUGGUCAACAUAGGACCAAUAAACCAAACCCUUGUUCAGAAUUGAAUUGUCUCUGUUAAACGUCGUACUUACACGAAUUGUUUAUGCUGUCUGACUUUUCAAAGUGUCUACAGUAUUUAUAUAUUGGUCUUUUAUUUUUUUGUUUUCAUUUGUUUCUAAUAUUUGAGUUUUUCUUUAUGGUAUGCAUACUUUGUUUUAGAAUUCUUUUCAAGAAUUUUGAAUUAUGCUGACUAGUAAGUAAGGUACACUUUAAUUUCAAGGAUUCAAGAUGAGAAAAAAGAUUAUAAAAAAAGGGGGUUUCAAGAAUGAGUAUGAUUUUCGAGAUACAAGUAAGCACUUGUUAAAAGUGAAGAUUCUCGCAUUCAAUAGACUAAUGUGAAAGAGAAAACUAAGAUCUAACUGAUAUUUGAAAUGGAAAGUAAGACGGAGGAUGAUAAGUCGAUUAUUAGUGAGCUAGAAAAUCAUGAUACAAAUUUGAGAGAGAAAGAUAUGAUAGUCAUGAGAGUUUACUUUUAACUUUUUUAACUUGUUGAAAGCGAAAAAUUUUGUGUGCAAUAGACUAAUGUGAUUAAGGAAAUCUAUCUGUGGAAAACAACAAUGGCCUCCAUCAAAGGGCAUAGUAAAAAACGUUUGCUGCCCUAAUUUAAUUCCAUUAUUGUGUGCUAGUAGGAGGAUGCCUUGUGAAUGCUCCAACUGAAUUGUAGUGCUAUAAGUUGAUUACUCACUCCAUCCUCAUCAAAUCCUUAGAAGUUUAACUUGAGGUUUAUUGGAAGAGUUUACCUUUUGUUUGAUUCUGGUGACAAAUUGUAAAAUAUUUUGGUAUAUUAACUUGUUCCUUAAUUGUCUUGAAGAAAGGCCACCAGAACAGGAGUUUCUUUUGUUCUUGUGUGCUGAAAAAUCAAGGGUAAACUUAAGUCUUCAACUUCUUUAUAAAUUGUGCUGAAAACAAAGCUAAAAAGUGGAUUAAGAUCAUAAUUGUUGAUUUUAUACUGCUGUUCAGCCAUACAUAAGGACAAAAGAAGAAUAUGGUGUAUUCCAUAUCAUGCUAAGUUGUUUUCUUAGUUAUGUAUUUUGUCAGCAGUAUCUUCUUCAUAUUUGUGCAACCCGACAGUGAUUUCUGGUAGUAAAUCUGAUUUUUGAUCUUUUAUCAUGUUUCAAAAAAUUAUAGUAUUGCCUUUAUAAAUAUGCAAAAAUGGAAUGGGAUGGAAUCUGUUGGAUUUUCAUCUAGAGUACAUGAGAAUGUAGGAAACUGUUCCCUGUUUAUCCUUUAGAGUUAAGGAUAUUACCGUAUGGUGGGAUAUAUGAAGGGUUAAUCAUAUAUUGGGCUAUAUUGGACACUUUCAUGUGAUAAGUUUACCUGCCGAUGGUUCAAUUGAUAUUGACAUCUUGUUUUGACAUGCAUAUUACCACCAGCAAUUUACUUGUCGACAGUUGAAGUAUCACAAUAAGUCACCUUCAGUAUUCAUAAUUUAGUUGAGUAUGGACUGCUAGUAAUUAUUGUCAUUGCUUCCUUAAAUGCAACCAAAUAUGUUUCUCUUCCUUCCGUAAAAUGAAACAAAGGGAGACAAAGGGGUAGUGAUUCUUGAGUUUUUAUGGUGAUUAGAAAAUUUGUCAAGAGUACCAUGGCGGGCAUCCACUUCUCAGCUAAAUGCGGCCCAUGUUCCGCUGUUGACUUAUAUGGCAUACUUAGGCAUUGUUCUAAGGCCUUGUCUGGCACUGUGGAUUGGCCUGGAAUUGAUCAAUAAUGUAUUUUGAUCUAAAGUUAGGUUAUUCACCUAAAAGGAGUGGAUUGUUUAGUCCUGAAAAGAUGGUGAUUAUUUUGACUUUGAAGUUGUCCAACGAUUGAAAAGUGUCUUAAUCUAUAAGAACUAGCAUAUAUCUGGCGAGGAAACAUUAUAAAUCUGAUUCCCGAUUGGUUAAUGCAAUUUGAAUCCAUAAAAAUGGUAAUUUUGCAAAUUAUUAAUACACAAUGCUCUAUUUGUACAUGUGGUAAUCAUUGAAAAACUGCUGCCUUAACAUCGUUGAUACCGACUAAUUCUGAAUAUUUUGUUGGAAAUAGGUUUUGCUUUGAAUUUGAUAUGUAAAGUGAUAUUUAGAUCUUGCUAUAUAUGUUGCAUACUUUAAAUUAUUUAGUUAUGAAAUUUCUAGUACUCAUUGAAAAAGGGUAAAAGUCAAGUCACUCUAGAUUGACAAAAAGUUUUACAAGUCACUAGAAAAUGGAAUAGGAAUUAUCUUUCGCAUAACGUUUGGUGAAACUUAUCCAGGGUCUUGUUCCUUUUUCCAUUCCUGUGAACCAUGUGACACUGGAGGUUUUGCUGGAGAUGAUUAUUGGAUUUUUGAAAUAAUGGGUCAAUUUAGUUAAUUUUCCCCUUCUUAAGCAGUUGCAGAAAGUUAUCUCAUACUGGAUUUCCAGUUGGGCCAAUGUCUGUCUUGCUGACAGUAGAAAAAGAAUGCUUACCAAAAAUAUAUUCUUGUUUGCACUGGUUUCAGUAUGUAGAAAUGUAUGUCUUGCAGUGGAAACCUUAUUUUUUCUGAAGAGACAUGCUAUUAUCAUAAAAACUAAUAUUCCUUAGAAAGUGGCCAUAGAACUGAUGGUGGUCCUUAUGUUGUGGGGCCAUAAAUCAUGCAACGUUGAUGACCAUCUAUCGUACGAAGCGGUUUCUUCCAGCAUUAUUAUCAUAAAAGUUGCGUGUUUCUGAAAACUCAUCCUUUUUCUAGCAUGGUUCAACAUUAAAAGUAGUUUUCCUUCGGAAAAGACAGAACAUCUACCUUUUAUAUAAUCUGGAAAAGUAGUGCAGUUACUAGUACUUGGUAGUUAAGCAAUGGACUCAUGAAAAAAUUAUAGGGGUUUAUAAUGCAUGGGUUUGAAAGGUGACUACAAUUUUUAGACUGUUGAAAAUACAACAAAUUCAGAUGAUCAAUGUAUUUUUCUGAAUUUGGAAUGCGUCUGCUGACAAUAGGAAAAAUACAACAGUUGGAAGUUGAUUUUUGUAUAGAUUUCUACGCAAACAUAUCUGAACCAGUUCUCUCUCCAUAUAAAUAUCAUUCUUGUUUGUAUUUAAGUUUUGUUUAUAGAAGGAUCCUAUUUGAUUUUGUUGUCCAUCACGUAGACUGUGGUUUAACUGAGAGUUUUCACCUGCAGUUAUCUUUGUCAGCUUCAAAGUUGCGUGAUCGUGAUAUUUUCUCAAAGGUUCGUACAUCAUAUUGAGUUUGGCCAUCUAAAUCUCUCUCUCUCUCUUUCUCUGUACAUGUGUUUGUCCGUUGUCUGUUUGCAUGGUGUACAUGUACACAUAUGUAAAUGUAUUUCGUUGGUCAUCAAUUUUCCUCUGGGUCUAAAUAAUCAAGAGGCCAUUAUUUGUAUACCCACCUAAACUGUAGAGUGACAAGUAAUUAGUCUGGUUAUACAUUUAAAUUUGGUCUCAUGUUUUAUGGAUUUCUAUGAAAGUCCAUUUAUUGCUUUGGCUUUUCUGGGUUUAAAAUUUGAGACUGACUGUUGAAGAUAAAAGAGUUUGGGAAGUUUUCUUAUCAAGUACUUCUCUGGCUAUGUAAAUAGUUUUCCUCGGAAGUUACUGAAACCCGCUCUACUUCUUGUCAUGUGGAAGUUUUAUAAAAUAGGGAAAGAGUCUGGAUUUAGGAAUUUCAAACUUUGGGAUUUUAGAGUUGCAACAUUACCAUUUUCUCGAGUUAGUUUCAAGAUCUUUGUGUUUUCAAGGCCUUCAUUUCAUUCUGCUCCAUCACUAAUAAGUCAGUAUUUGCAGUCAGCGUUCAUACCUUAUUGGCAUCUUAGCUGGUGCUCUAGUACUGUAAUCUUGAUUAGUUGGCUGUCAAAAUCUUGGUCUUGCAAACUUAAGGAUCUUACAAGUGAAUGUUGUUUUCUACCUGGCAACAGAGCGAUCCAAUGGCCGUGGUUUAUGCAAAGAAAAGGAAUGGAACCCUUGAAGAACUUGGUCGAACAGAAGUGAUUAUGAAUAAUCUGGAACCUGCUUGGAUUCAAAAAAUCAGUGUCAAUUAUCAAUUUGAGAUUGCUCAGCCAUUGAUGUAAGCUUUUGUACAACCUCUUAUUUGCUUCCUUUUGUGCUCAUAGCAUCUUGACUAUCUUUUGUCACCCCUUGCAGCUUUCAUGUUUAUGACAUUGAUUCGCAAUACCACAAUUUACCUGUGAAGGUAUGCUAUGCUGUACUAUCUGCUCUUGAUGCAGUUCUUCUACAAUUUUUUUUUUGGGUUGGGACUCAUCAUUUACCAUAUUUGCAAUACACAGAGAUGAUAUUUUGUGCUCAAUAAAUGUCUCGAGUUGUAGUCAUUGAACCUUGAUUUUUAUUUGUUAAUUGUUGAGUUAGUUUUUGGAUUGUACAGCUACCCCUAAAAGAUUGGUAAAGCUAAUGAUUUUGAAGAAAUUAUGCAGUUCCGAUACUCCACUUACUGUGAGAUUUUCACCAUACUGAAAAAAUGUGGGAUUUUUCUGAAUCACUGAUACUGUUUGAUCACUAGUAAAGAACAGAAUAGUUCAACUUUUCAUCUAAUCAAUAAGUAGUGUCCAAUGCUGUACAUCAAGCUUAAGGAUUGAACGUGUUUGAAUGAUGCUUCUUUAGAUUGAGAUAGCAUUUGAUUUGGUUCAUGAAAUUUUGGAGCUUUUAAGCUUCAGAUCUGUAUGGAAGCUUAUGCGAAUCUUUGUCGUUGCAAACUUGCAGAACUUGAACUUGAAGGAUCAAGAUUUUCUUGGUGAAGCUAGUUGUGUUCUCUCUGAGGUGAGUUACUUGCAUUUUGUUGACAACUGUAACACAUUAGUGUUGCUGCAGACAUAGUUAAUGUGGUAGUCUAUUUUGGGUUGGUGAAUUGUGUUAGUACCUGGAAAUAAGUGUCUUUUACUGUUGUGCUUGGGAAUGAUGCAGUCUUUACCCUUCUCCGAGGCAACAUUAAGGUGGGUGCCGGGGAAUGGGUGGAGUGGCCUGUGUGCACACUAUAAGUCAUAACUGUUAGAAAUUCUCGUAGACUUGAUGCUGAUUUUGAGUUUUAUGCUGAGUUUCUACUUUUGAAUUUUUGCCAUCCAUAGUCUUAUUCUAAACUGUUCGGUUCCAAGUUUAAGGAUUGGUAAUCUAUAUAGUUGGUAAAUUCUCCUUUAAAUCUCCAUUCUUAAUAUUUUUUCUGAUUAGUCCUAUUAGAGACCUCCAUUUUUGGAAUGUUAGCCAUAAGUUAAGAUUAUGGGGAAUUAGCUAGCAUAAAAAGUAUUGGAAACAAAAGAGAUGAAGAUUGAAGUAUCCACAAAUAUACACAAAAAGUCUGAAGAUAGUAGAUUGCAUUAUUUUCUUGCUUAUAAUGAAGAUAGUAGAUUGGAUUAUUUUCUUGCUUUAAUACAUUAUGAAGUUUUUAUCUGUUACUCCAAUGUGCCAUGUAUUAGCGAACUUGAAAUGGAGAUGGCAUUGACUUUUUCUGAUAAGAGACAUUAUGAAAUUGAAUUGCUUCAUCAUUUUCGUUGUUGAUACAGUCUAUAAUGUUGGGUUUUUAUGGUUCCGGAUAGUAGAUUGGAUUAUUUUCUUGAUUUUAUAUGUUAUGAAGUCUUUUUAUUGUUGCUCCAAUGCUUCAUAUAUCAGCAAACUUGAAAUGGAGAUGGCAUUGUCUUUUUCUGAUAAUGGACGCUAUGAAAUUGGAUUGCUUCAUCCUUUUCAUUAACGAUACAGUCUAUAAUGUUGAGUUUUUGUGGUUUCAGAUUGUUACUAAAAGAAACAGAACUUUGACCUUGAAUCUUCACAAUCAAGAUGGUCAUGGCUUGAAAAACUUGGGUACUCUUACUGUCCAAGCAGAAGAAACUGUAGCUUCAAGGAAUGCUGUGGAGAUGACUUUUCGUUGUUAUCAUCUUGAUAACAAGGAUCUGUUUUCUAAAAGUGUAUGGAUUUUGUAAAUAUCAAUUGUGAUGAACUUGAAGCUAUUUCAACUUUAUUUUUACCUCAACCUUAUUUUACUGUUUUCAGGAUCCUUUUCUUAGAAUCUCUAGGAUUGCUGAGAGUGGGGUUUCCAUUCCAAUUUGCAAGACAGAAGUCAUAAACAACAACUUGAAUCCAGUCUGGAAACCGCUGUGUCUAACCAUGCAACAAUACAUGAGCAAGGUAGUUUCCUGCUUGCUGUUUGCCGAAUCAAGGGUCCGUUUGUUUGCCUAUAGAAUGUUUUCCCCUAGAAAAUAUGAUUGCUGAAAUCAUUUUCUUGACAAUAUUUGAUUUUUCCAAUAUUUUAUAAUGUGUGGUUGACUUUUGAUAAUAAUUUCCUGACAACUAGUGAUAUGCCAGUACUAUUACCACCACUUUUUAACCACUACCAGCCAAAAGACAAUCGAAAUUAUUUUUGUAUGCAUUCAUAAUCAUAGAAGGCCCAGGAAUGAUUCUAAGAAGUAUUGAAUAAGAUAUGUACCCAACAAGAUGCCACCAAUUGAUCCAAGCAAAUUCAAUGCCUUACUGGAGUUCCCUCCCUCAAAUCCAUGUCAUGGAUUUCUUUGUCUCCACCUAUAUGUAAGAAGAGAGAGGAAGAGGAAUAAGUAAAUGUGUGUUAGAGAUGAGAGAGGAAAAGGAAGCGAUGAAUUAGUGUGUUUGAGAGAGGAUGAAUAAUUAAAGAGGAAGAGCCACUUAGAAGGUAAGCUUUUUGUUUUGGAAGAGGAAUUAGUGUUGGUCUGGAAACUUCUUCAGUGAAAGCUUUAUGUAAUUGUUUUUAUCUGAUUGGAAAACCUUUUUCUUUCGGGAAAAAUUUCCUGACAUAUCAUGCAGCCUAAUACCCAAAUAAAGGGAAAAUAUUUCCUGGGAAAUGUUUUCCAGCAAAACAAACUUGAGAUUAAAUAGAGGGAAAAGAAAAAUCAGGGAGGAGGUUACAAGAAUGAUAAAUUAGGAAGAUAUAUGAAGCUAGAAUUGGAGAAAAUGGACCCAGGCUAGAUUGGAGAAGUCAUAGACACAGGAAUAAAUGAAGUUACAGCAUGGAUAACCCCCAUAUUUAACAUUUGCAUGCACUCUAUAUAUAUUAAUAAAGAUCUGCAUUGCAGGAUAACCCGGUGAUCAUUGAGUGUUUUGAUUUCAACAGCAGUGGCAAUCAUGUCCUCAUUGGGUAAUUUCACUUUUCUCAUUCCACUUUUUUGGUACUCUAUUUUAUGAUUUCUAAUGUUCCAUUAUUUUAUCCUCAAUGGUUCUGCUUAAUGUUCAAUGUUCAUUUUUCCUCCUUCCACCUGUUCCUCUUGAGUCAUAACUAUUGACAUAACUUCAAAUCUUAACAGGAAACUGCAAAAAACAGUGGCAGAGCUGGAACACCUUCACAAAACUAGAUCUGGUGUAAAUCUUGUUUUACCCCCAUCUCAUUUGCGGCGAGUUGAAAAGGUUUAAUUAUCUCCUCUAUGCAUGAGUUAUCGGUGCUUUAUGGAUCUGUUUCCAUUAGCCAAUGGAUAUGACCUUUGUCUUGUGUGUAUGUCUCCGUCAUACAUCAUCUGAUGCAUGUUUUUUAUAUCCAAUCUUCUUGCAUUACCUAUUUGUAGAUUACUGAAGGUCAGCUCUUUGUGGAUGGGUAUAUUGAGAAGCAACUAUACAGUUUCCUUGAUUACAUUUCGAGUGGGUUUGAGCUUAAUUUCAUGGUUGCAGUUGACUUUACUGGUAAGUAAUCUUAAACCCUUUUUGGGCCUUUAACAAUUUGGUUAUAUCUUUCUUAUUUGGUCAAUCUCCACAUAUUUCUAUUUAAGUAUCCUGUUCCUCUUUUAACUUCCAUUUUAUUCAGCUUCAAAUGGAAUUCCUCACAAUUCAGACUCCUUGCAUUAUAUUGAUCCUUCAGGGCACCUGAAUGCUUACCAGCAGGUAAAGUUGGUCUUGCCUCUCUCUUAACUUCCUUAUACAUUUCCGGUCAUCUCUUCUGUUGUGCUUUUUAGAAUAUCUGAAAUUUUCUAAAUUAACCAUAUACUUAAAAACUUCACUUGUAUUAAGUAGAUGGAUGAUGACAUAAAUUGGAUGUAUAUAUUGGCCAUAAUUUUCUAGAACUUAUUAUAUUGUUGCCAGGAAUUUAAUUGGAUCAGUUCACAAAGCUAACAUAAUGCCCUUAGUUUCCUGUGUCUGCAUUUAUGACUUAUCUGGAAGUAGCUGAAAAUUUUAUGAAAUGCAAUCCUCUUUUUCUUGUACUUCAGAUGUUAAAAGCUUAUAGUUGAAUUAUUAACUGAAAAUCAUUACAGGCUAUAAUGGAGGUUGGGGAAGUUAUACAGUUUUACGACUCUGAUAGACGCUUUCCAGCUUGGGGUUUUGGUGCAAGAACAUUUGAUGGUUCAGUGUCCCAUUGUUUCAACUUGAACGGAAUCCCUACUGACUCUGUGGUAGCAAUCUCUUUUAUAGUUACUAUUUAUCUGAAAACAUCUUGUGCGUUAUCCAUAUCACUUGAUUCCAUUUGCAGUGCUUCCUGCAUUCAGUUAUCUUUAUCUUGGAUUGGCUGAUAAGCAACAGAAAAUUAUUUUAUGCUAGCGUUUGAUUAUUUAGUUUCAAAAGGCCCUCACAAUUAUGUGAUCUUAGAUGGUACAAUUCACUUUCAAGUUACAAGAGAGACAGAUAACUUUGAUUGUAUUCCUGAUGUUCUAUUUGAUGAUGGUCCCAUGACCCGCAAUCACUUUUUGUAGACACAUAUUUUGGCUAAGACCAAUGAUACAGGCCUUAGGAAUGGGUUACAGACAUUAGUACGUAUCUGAAACUCCUUAACAAUGAUUACUGAUGAGCAUAUUCAUGGUUUAUUUCUUUUUGACUAUCAAAAGAUGGAUGAGAGAUAAUGUCUAUUAUUAAAAUGUCAAUAUAUUUUGUCAGCGCAAUUUGCUCUCACACAGUGUUGAUAUUUUGGGGAAGUCAUAACCCUGGAACUUUAAAUGUUAUAAAUUUCAGGGUCUAGAAUGUUGGUAUUAUUAGUCGCUUCUUCAGCAUAUCCACCUAUGCCAGGACAAAUAAGCUCAAGCAAGAAGUAAUAUAAUUUCUUUUGCCAAAUUAAUCAAAUAAGUUAUGAAAGCAGCCGAGGGAAUUAAAUAUUAGUUUAAAAAUUCUCCCAUGUUAUGAUGUUUUGCCAUUCUAAUUUGGGUAACAAAAUUCACUUCUCUCUCACAUCAAUUUCUCCAUUGCACGUGAGCUGGAACGUUGGUUAGAUUGAAAAAAAUGUUUGAUUCAAACAGGGACACUAGCAGAGUAAAAUUGUAGUAGCUUGAGGAUUUUUUUCCCGCUUAUUUAAGAGUAUCAGAAUUAAAUGAGAUCCCCUAUUGCACUUAAUCCUUGUCGUUGUAUUGUUGGGUAUACCACUUAACCAAUUGAGAAGUCAAGGAGAUGCCAUUGAAAUUGACUAUAUUUAUGCCAACUUUGCAUAUGUUUUGUCCAUCUAUUAAUAUUAAAACAUGAAUUUUUUGUUAAUUAAAUUUUGAAUUCUGUGACAGUGGUUUCAUUUGAUUGGUAUUCUUUAUUGUAGGUUACUGGUAUAGAAGGCAUUAUGGCUGCUUAUUCAAGUACGCUGUAUAAUGUCACCCUUUCUGGGCCCACAUUGUUUGGUCCAGUUAUUAACAAGGCUGCAGAAAUUGCUGGUGGCUCCCUCUCUGUCAACCAGAACAAGUAUUUCAUCUUGCUAAUUAUAACGGUAUGCAAAGUAAAUACUUGAAUUUUAUUGUCUUUGCAGCGUAUUUUUACUCUUUGCUCCUGAAAUCUGGCAAAUUUUGCUUUCUUGUAGGAUGGAGUCGUAAGUGACAUCCAAGAAACUAAAAAUGCUUUGGUCAGGGCAUCUGACCUGCCACUUUCCAUCCUUAUUGUUGGAGUUGGCGGAGCAGAUUUUACGCAAAUGGAGGUACAUUCUUACUGUAAUAAUUUUAUAACUUUUUUAGCUGGAAUUUGACUAGGUCCAUGUAACGAGUUUGCAUGUGAAAAACAUUUGGCAGGUCCUUGAUGCUGAUGAUGGACACCGAUUAGAGAGUUCAACUGGAAGGGUAGCUACCCGCGACAUAGUUCAGUUUGUUCCUAUGCGUGAAGUACACCGUAAGUGCUUGUUCACUUGCUUUAUAUUAGGAUAUGGUUCUUUUCUAAUAGAAAGACCACUUGUUAUGUAAAUAUACCUAUUCUUCUUCUGGCGGUAAUUUUAGUGGUUAUUUUGCAUCUUUUGGUAGGUAUUCAACACCUUGAAUUUCUAGCUUUUAUAUUAACAAUUUAGUUGACAUAGGACAAUUGCGAUGGAACUAGAACUACCCUAUUACAAGAUAUCUUGUUAUUGCCUGUUAUAACUGGCCAAGCUUUUAUAGGCAUCUAGUCACUUGGCUGUUGUUAAUUAGCUCGUGGAUUUCAUUUCAUUGAAUGUUGAACCUUUUACUCUGCAUGGUUCCUUUCUUCAGUUACUGUGUUUUUCGCUUCAGUUUUUUUUGGGUUUGGGGGGGGGGGAGGUUGGCGGUGUUUGUGACAGCCUAUCAAUAGACUGUGAACUGUUGGUGUGAUCCAAGUCUCCAGAUUGUGAGAAACGAGUUAUCUUUUACUCGCUUUCAGUAUUUAGUUAGUGGAUUCAAAAGGCACUAAGAUCUUGAACUUGGUGGAGAAUUUUGUAGUUGGAUUUGGUGGAGACUUUUGUAGUUGGAUCAUGCUCAAGUUGUUUAAGCUAAUUGAAGUGGUACGGUUUAUAAGUGCUUUACUUAAGACACUGAGAACUUAUUAAGAAACGAGAUGCAUGGUAGCAAAGGAAAGUUAUAACCAUCUUGAGGCUAUACUUGGUCCUUAGUCUGAAGUUCUGGUUUUGGCUUGAUAAAUGGAUUGGAUGCAAGAUGAGUUAAGAUUGAAUAUGGGUUCUGAUGCCUGAAGACUGACUGAAAAGUAUAUGUACACUAAGAGGAAUAAAGGAUAUUGAAAGAGGCACAAUAUUUUUGGUACUUGGAGAACUUGAAUCAUUUCACAAAUUAAUCAUUUUCGUACUGUGUCUAGUACUUACAGUGAAACUAUUCUAAUUCUCCAUUCUCAUUGUCUGCAGAAGUAAUUCUAACCUUUGAAAUGUUAACGACUACCGUGUAAUAUAUGAUCACAGAUUUAUUCAAAGUUACUAGUAGAAUCUUGACCAAUAAUUAAGUUGUUGGACUAAAUACCUAAUUGCAAUUAUUGCCUUAAAUACUUACUAAACACAAUGCGAUCAGGAGUGUAAACUAUGGUCGCGACUAUAGUUAUAGGUGCCUUGAAGGUUUUGUUGUAAAAUCCAAUCCCCUUGAUUAGUUCCAUUGCCCUCUUCAAGUUCUUGAACAUCUUUAAGGAACCUUCUCUGAAGCUAGAGCCUGUUUUUGAAGAUUCUUCUCUUAUUUACUCUUCCUGGACCUCUGACUGGUUCACAGUUGGCAUUGCAUUGACUGUCAUCACUAACCAUGAAGCUAUUUAAAUUUCUAUUUAUGAAAUUAUAUAUUAAGUAGAAGACAGGCUGUAGAAAUAAUCAACUUCCAGCAAGAUUGUCUCGUGUCAUGAAUGGAUUUUUGGUAGUUAAGUUGCUAAGUGUUAAUGAGAAUUACAACCAACGUUAAUAUAAAUUGUGUGGAAGAUCUUGGAGAUGGACCGGUGGAGUGCAUGUUGUUUAAAAUGGCAAAUGCAAUGCUUUUAUAGAGCAGCAUAGGUCUCUGAUUAAAUUCUCCUUUAAGAAGUUACUUUUAAGUUGUUGGCAGCUUCAGCACAAUUUAAAAUCUCUUUGCUUGUCAAUCUUUCCUUGUGUUUUUCCCCCCUUCACUUGCUUUCCUCUACCUAAUGUAUGACCUGAUAUUUGGCUAACUUUGUGAAGGUGGAGAGAUAUCAGUUGUUCAGGCUCUCCUGGAAGAACUACCUGGACAGUUCCUGAGUUACAUGCGUAGCAGGGAUAUCAAACCUCACUUUCCUGAUAUUGUUCAUGCUUCAGGCCAGGGAACCCUUUAUGGGGUUUGAACUAUUAAAAUGCUCAAAAGUUGCUUAACAUGUAAUCUUCUAGGAUUUUAAUCUAACAGAAAUUUCAGAAUGUAAAUAUCUAGGGAGAAAUAGCAGAGCAAAAAUAGAUGUUUUUUUCGGAGGCAGAAAUAUGUCAAUUCUUUGAUUCUGUUGGUCUUCCUCAAGUACAUAUGAGUAGGUAGUAGAGUAUGGAUGUCUGUCCCCAUCUAAAUUUGUUUUCAAGCAAGUGCAAUGUCUUAUAGCACAAACCUUUCUACAUUGCUUAUUGGUUUUGAGACAUGAAUAUAACAUGUAAAGAACUUAAAAUGCUGCUGGGAAAGGAGUUUGCAAGUUGAGCCCUGGAGCUAGAUCAUUAUCCUGCAUGGUGUCUUCGUCAGAACCUGAUUCCUGAUAUGCUUUGGUCUAGGUACCUAUCUGUUGUCAUUCACUUUAAUUUGAGGACACAGGUAUUAUCCCAAUAAGAUCAGAAGAGAGAGGUUUUUUAGCGUGAACUUCGCUGGAUCAUUGAUGUCUGCCAUGCUAUCUGUUCUACCAUUUUAAAGGAUCACAGAGACACUUGAACAAACGGAUAACAGUAGAUGAACAUUACAUCAAUAUUUUCUGCAUUUCUAGGGGUUGGGAUGAUGCAAGAGGGCAGGAAAUGUAAUUUCUGGUGUGUGUGUGUGUGUUUUUUUUUCGUUCUGUUUGCAGCAUGAACUAUCUUUCCAAGUUAAUUAAAAUUAUGCAAUGUUUUCCCUUAGAAAUAAGACUUAUGGAAUAUGUUCACAGAUUCUUCUCCGAUCGAGUUGUUAACGCAAGGAUGAUAGCAAAAUGAUCAUCGAAAGUAAGAUCCAAAAUACCUAAUUGGAUGACAUUACCAAACUUUUCAGGCAUCUUCUUUCUGGCGUUUCCGAACUUCUGCACUGCAGAAAGUAACUGAUAGUUUAGAGAUAGAGACUACCACAAAUUCGUACGUUAAUUGCUGCUGAACAUUUUGCUAAGUCGUUGGUUGAAUCUGGAACACGAAACAACUCGAUACAGUGUAAAUGUUUUGCAGAUUCAUUCCACCUUAGAUGGUAGACAUGCUAUACGAUUUGCUGACCAAAGUACCGUAGUUGAUGUCUUUUACUGCUGCUAAUCAAUUCUUCGAAAACAUAAAUGUCUUGAAAACAAUGUGAAGUAUGAAGUAGGGUUUUUCCCAAUGAUAUUUGUAAAACAAGUUUCCGAUAAAAUUGAGCCCAAUCGAAACAAUGAACGGAAAGUGAUAAAAUACUUUUUGCCUUUUCUUUUUGGUAUUUGCUUGGACCUGCAGAGUCCUAAACUGCACUUCCUGGUUUAGCCAAAAAGAAUAAACACUGUCCUGGCAAUAUGAUGUUGAUAUGCGGUCGAUUAAGGAAUUGAAUUUUCACACUUUCCUCGUGGAUUUUCUCUGUAACAAGGAAAAGCAUUUGCAGAUCAAUAUGGGUGACGGCAAUAUUCUCAAAUAUGCGGCUCAGUUGAAUCAGAUCAUAUUUAAUAUAGUUUGCAGUAAUAUCUUAAAUCUCUAGUCCAAACAAGCCAAAUUCUGAACUUGUAAUCUGAAAUUGUUCAUUGUGAGACAUUUUACCCCCCUCCUCCCCCCGUGACAAAGAUUACAGUGACCAUUUUAAGUUUCCCUAUGCAAGAAAAGUCAGCUCUUUACAUUCUUUUUGCCGUUCAGGCAUCAACAAACCUGAUACUGCAGAAUUCAGUAACAGAAAUGCAGCUCGCAUCACAAUGCAGCAUAAUCCUAUCAAUGAUGCCUGCGGCGAUCCUUCUCCCUCGAUGAAUAAGAACUGUGGUACUCGCGAUCUACAACAGAUGAAACGUAACUCAAAAAAGGUCUAUUAUAGCAACAGUUUGCCCAAGAAAAAUCAUCAGAUAACUGAUUUACUUACCUCGAGAAGAGUGAUGUUUCGAUUUCUCCCCAUGCCCUGAAGUGUGAGCGAAAAAUAUCAAAUGACGAGUCGUUCAUUUUCACUAAGACAGAAAAGUUGCAAAGAGCUUGCGAAUCUGCAAAUAUACUAAAACAUACUUACCUUUGUCCCUUGAGCGAUGACUCCUGUCCUUAAUUUUAUCCCUGUCUCUCUCAUUGUCCUGUCUUUCCCUUUCUCUUUCCCGUUCCCGUUCUCGUUCCCGAUCAGAUUCCCUUCCCCUAUCACGGUCCCGGGAUUUCACUCUCUCCUUCUCCUUGCUGCGAUCCCUGUCCCUUUCAUUCUUGUCCCUUUCCUCGCUUGCCUCUGUUUUAUGCUCAGACAUUGAUUUUGAAAGAGGUUCUUCUCUUGAGUCUCCAUCGGUAGGCAAGCUUCUAGAUUCUCCAUCACUUUUCUUCGAGUCGUUUAAUUUGUCUGAAGCAGCUUUGGAUUGUGCAUCCUUGCCUGAUUCUUGAUUGGCUCCAGUAGAUGUCCCCCUGGGGCUGGUAUUAUUAUCAUUUGCAGGUGGGACACUCAAGGAUCCUUCCUGCAUUUAACAAAGAAUAAAUCAAUUCAUACAUUUAUAAUGCUACACGAUACACAUUUGACCGAUUGAACCACAGUAAAAACUAAAAUUUAAAAACACCAAACAUGCAUGCCUAAGCAUAGCAAAACAGAGAAAACUAACCCUUGGUGGCUGAGGCGAUAAAUCCCAUGAUUUGUUAGAUGUUGUAAAUGACCCUCCAUCCUUGCAUACAGGAAUGUACUGUGCCUUGGGAAGGCUAUACAAGUGGGCAAGUACUCUGCAAACCUCAUCUAUCCCAGAUUUGUCUGCAUCAAAUGCCUUCCACCAAGGAGGAUUCUCAGGUAGGGGUACCUGAAACCUACGAGCUGCUGCAUAAACAACUCCACAAGCCACGACUUCACUUUUGAAUCUCACACACAAAGUAGUUCGCAAGCUGCUCAAAGAUGCAUAAGCAAUGCAGGAAACUAUCAGAAGAGAAAGAUGCACAGAAAACCAUGAAGUCAUAUCCCAUACAAAGCAAGUGAACCCAACUUCUAGUUCUUUAGAAAGUAAAUAGAAUACUGAGAUAAAUUCAAUAUUCACUAUUCAACCAAGACAUCAAGCUUUUAAAUUUUCAUAAGGAAAUGCAAUAGCUAAAAGUGGUGCUAGAAAAUGGCAAAUGUCAUCAAGGCAAUUGAUGUAAACUUCUGAAUACCAUUGAAUUUAUAUUCCUUAGUGAAAAUUUCUGAAUCCUUGCUAGCACACUUGAAUGUAGAACUUGGAAAUAUUGCAGUUAUUUGGGCCAAAUCUGUCUUAUCUUACAGCUUGAUACCUAUCCCAACCCAAUUUAUGUAUGCAAGGACCAAAUAUGUCUUAAAGUCUCUCAAAGUCCUAGACCACGUCCAGGUCCAAGAUAAGGCUCAGGUUUCAAGCCCAUAUCCAUGCCCACGAGACAUUUAUUGCUGAUACUCACAAAUAUCUGAUAUAAUGUUUGACAAAGUUCAACUUAAUGACUGAUAAAACCCCAUAACUAAUAAUGAGAUGAAUGAGAAACUCAUGUCACCUUAAACUAGAUAUCUCUGUAAAAUUUUAAUAAAUCUGCAGGAGAAGACGGUUUGAGAUCUGCCUGCAAUAGAGGUUGUCUUAAAAGAUGUUGAAGCACCUAAUUCCUGAACUGGUCUUUUGCUAUUAUCUUUAAGUGAUAUCCCAUCAGUAGGUCAUUUAACUUACCCUUCUACUUCUGUCACUGACACAUCUUUUGAGCGCUGUUCUAGUCUUUUUCCUCCUUAUGCUGUGGUAAGUACUUAAGCUUUCUACAUUAUAUUAUCCAAAAUCUUCUACAGCUAGAUGGCGGCCCUAGUGAAAAACAACAUAUAAUAAUUCCUGCAGAGAAAUUCCAAAAUUACUCAAACCCCCCUAUUUGUGCUUCCAAGUUUCACCCCCCCCCAACCCUCCAUUGAUUUGUUCAUCCUUUGUUUAUUUUACAAAAUCUACAUCAUCUAUCCCAUGUGCUGCAUCCCAGAUCUACAAGCAGAAACAAAUGAAAAUUCAGUAAUUAAAUGUCAAUCUUAAACUUUAAGAACUAAAGUUUUACUUGCCGCAUGAAUUUCUUAAUUGCAGAUUUACUGGCCAAUUGAGAAACACAGAAAAUCCAAGUGCUUGACAUAAAGGUCACAUGAACAAGCAUAUUGGAGACCAAAACUACCAUACUUUAGCAACAACUCAACUGUACGAGGGAAGACAUCAACUUAAUCACUUCCUUUCUCAAUAAAAUGUACUGUGCAAAGAAUCUGUUCAUCAAGAGGAAAAUGUUGUUUUUCGAAAGCUGAAAAAUUCAAGCUCUAGUCUUGGAAUCACUCUUUCAAAUUCCCUGCAUCUAAGAAUGAAAUGACAAAAGACAUACUCGCAAAAAGCUUGAUGUUUAGCUCCAUUGAUAAAGAUCAAACAUGUUUCCAAAUAUGAAGACCCCCCUUAUGUUCAAUAUGAAGCUAUAGCUUAAUGCUUUUCUGAGAUUAGAGAUAAUUCUUUUUUGCUAUUAUUUCUAUUGACACUUUCAGGUUUAGAGAAUGAAUACUAUACACAUUGAAACACUUCUGCAUUUUUUAAGUUCAUGAAGCUUGCAAGAUCAGAAAAUUGCACACCUCCUAAGACUAUAGUUCAGUUAAAAUUCAGAAGACCAUGUGGCAACAAACACACACACACACACACAAAAUGGCAGAGCUGAAUGUUUCUAAGAAUUCAGAGACAUCCAAGCUAUUGGAAAAAGCAUCUAGUUGGUAUCAAAAUCGUCGUUAAGGGAUGUAAGUGGGCUAAUGAGCUGCCAAAUUUUGUCAUUUUGCUACACUAAAUUAUAAAAGUCACCACCUUCAAAUUUCAACCAACAACACAGCAUAUCAGUGCAUUAGGUAACCCUUUUUUUCAACAUUGGUUAGACUUGUCUUGAAUUACGAAGUAGAUUGGCCUUACAAAGUAAUACCAGUUAGCAACAGGAAUUAAUUUCAGGUUGAUCUUUACCUAUCAUUUGCCAGAUUCCAAGCUUCUUGACUCAGUUCAGGUGUUUCAAGCACCCGUAGGUAAUUCGAUAUGAAUUUGUGUGGAUGCUCCACGUGGCAGAUGAAGCCCAUCUCCUUCAAAAGAUGUCUUUCUGUUCUAACCAAAUCUGCCUUCAACUCCACAUAUUUCUGUCCUCCAUAAAAGAAAAAAAGAGACCCAAGAAAGUAUGAAUAAGAAAGGGAACUUUGUUUAAUGGACAUCACCAAUAUCCUUAAAGAUGAGUCAAAUUCACAAUCACCAUGUAAAAGAACUAAUUAGUCAAAAAAGUGUUCUAACCUUCAAAGACGUAUCCAGAUGCUCAAUUGGCAGGUUCUCCCUUCUACAUUCCAUACGAUGAAAAACAACAAGGACUUGUCUCGCUUUCCUAGGGCUUUCCUCAAGCUUUGAAGCAAGCCAGACGCAGCUCGCAGCAACCCUCUGACAAUUCACAAAUAAAGCCAUUGUAUCAUCAUAAACAAACAUUGCUGCCCAUCUAGAUAAACUUAAGAAAGUAAAAUAUGAAGAACCGAAGUUGGAUGGGAUAAGAAGAAGGAAAAAUACCUUCACGUUGAAACGAGCAAAUGAUUUUUUACAAUAAAACCGGUGGAAUAAAACUUGGCCAGUUGCCAUGACAGCCUGAGGUCUGGAAACAACCAAAUGAAGGAAAACCAAAAAUCCAAAAGCAACAAGAAAGAACCUCAAAAAAAAAAAAAACUUUAUCAGAACCAAGAAUUUUCCAAAAACUAUAUCUAGGAGAUCCAUAGUAGUUUACCAUCCACAUUCUCAUAUUUGAACAGAACCAAAUAAAAGCAGCAUAGCAUUAAAAUGAAUUAAAACUGAAAGAAAAAAGAUAAAAAAAAAAGAGGCAAAGAAAGGAUACAAUCUGAGCAAAAUCCCGCUCUCCUGGAUGAGAUCACAACCAUAGAUUCGUAAUGUAGUUUCGGUAGCUAUAUCGAUCCCAUCCUUCCUAGAAGGCAAAUUUUCUAGUUGCUCAUCAGUUAAGUAAAAUGUGUCGAUGGCUGUGUAAAUCAUGGCUGAUCAACACCUUCAGGAAAAACCCUUAACAACCUGCUGCAGCGAACCCAAUUGAAUGCUUCAUAUUUCAAUCAUAAACUAUUCUCUCUAGUAAAGAACCAACAUUUCCAUCGACCCCUACACAAAAGUACUUGUAUAUAUCAACCAUGAAAUCGACUUCUGGUCCCACCCCUACAAAAUUGGCAAUCCUACACUACUCCAAAAAGUUAAUCAAAAUGCAAUAAUUCAACAAAUUAACUAAAUUAAGCAUACCCAACUUCCUACUUAAUUAAGCAAUAACUCUAAAAAAUAAUCAAAAAGCAAUAAUUCAACAAAUUCAUUAAAUUAAGCAUAUCCUAGAUAACUGAAAAGAAAAUUUUAAAAAAUUAAAAAAAAGGAGAGGAAGAGAUGAAAGUUACUAGUAAGCAAACUGGAACGGCCGCGGAGGAGUGGAACCAGUGGCCACGUUAAUACGAGAAGAACGACGUCGGAUGGGUGUCAUGGAGUGCAGAAGUCUUUCCAGUUCAGCUUAAAGAAAGGUGAAGGCGUGGUCUACGGCAAAAGGAUGGCGCGAUUGAUCAAACCGAAGAAAGGGAAGGCGUGAUUCAGGAAACACGUUUUUCUUGGCUCCAAACAGAAUUAUGCUUCUGUUAUGAACAAGUGGGACGGAUCAUUCUAGAAUCCACCUGGCCUCAGCUCAUUGGUUAGUUUAGAAGUUAGUUAGCCGGGAAAACCAUAAAAGCAGAAGAAAUCUUAGUGAUAGGUAGCAUUUUGUCAUUUGUCCAAUUACUUGUAAAGAAAGAUUGGCUCUGCCAAUCUCCCUCCCUCCCUCUCACGUUUCAUUCCUUCACUCUUUUCCCCCUUCUAUCUCUGAAUCCAUUGUUUCCAGUCUGUAUUCAUUCAUAUUAAGAAAUUGAAUUACCAAAUCAUUUUCAAUACCAAUUCUACUCCAUUUCUAUUGAGCAAUAGUUUACUGCUUUCUGCAACAAAUCUGUCACCAUUGCCUCCAACUGGUUCUGUACCAUUACAGUGGUAUCAGAGCUCAGCUACGAGCCAUUGGGAUGGCUAAGUCACAAGAUGAAGCAUUGAAGAAGGAUCUGUCUGAGCUAGGAAGUGUGGUCAAGGUACUAGAACACAGGCAAGAAGGUACGGAAAGGACCCUCAAAAAUCUGGACCAAAAGUAUGAGAGCAUGAUGUCUAUGAUGGCUCAGAUGAUGGCCAAGUUGAAUGGCAAGGAUAAGGAUACAGAAAGUAGCAGUUCGAUAGUAGGCCCCAGGAAAGGAGAAACACAAGGGGAAGGUCAGGGCAGAUCAGAUUGGAAGGAGAGCAGAUCUUACACCAGGGUGCCUAAGAUGGAGCUGCCUAACUUUACAGGAGAUAAUCCAAGGGAGUGGAUCCGCAAAGCUAACAAGUAUUUUAAGAUCAAUGGAGUGGAAGAAAACAUGAAGUCUGAGAUUGCUGAGCUGUACCUAAGAGACAGGGCUGAUACCUGGUUCCAUGGAGUAUUCAGUGGCAGGGGAGUCAUUCCAUGGGCUGAAUUUGCCACUGCAUUAUGUGCGAGAUUUGGUGAAGGCACGCCAGAGGAGGCCAUUGAAGAAUUCAACAAACUCAAUCAGGAGGGAUCUGUUGCUGACUACCUGGAAAAGUUUGAGCUGCUCAAAGCACUGGUAAUGCCUUCACUCCCUCAUUUGGCUGACUCUUACUAUAAAACAUGUUUUCUAAGUGGCUUGAAGGAAGAAAUAGUUAACAUGGUAAAAAUGGCCAAGCCCCUAACUCUGGCUGAUGCAAUAGAAGCAGCUAAGUUACAAGAAAAAAAUUUAAAAGCCAUGCAGAAAAUACAUAAAGGCCUACCCAGCACUAUUCAUACACACAAAGCCCCAUUCCACACCCCAAGCCAUAACCAGGGGAGCUCUGCUGCUCCCAGAACGUCAGACAAACACCCCAUCAAAAACCAUAAAUAUCCAAACAGCAACCAGAACCAAUUCAGGAGGAUCACCCCUAGUGAGUACAACCUCAGAAGAGAGAAGGGACUAUGCUAUAAGUGUGCUGAACCCUACACACUUGGCCAUGUGUGUAAGCAAUCCCACAUUCACUUUUUGCUAGUCACUGAUGAAAAGGGGGACUCUGCAUCCACUGAGGAGGAAAAGGAGACUGACCCUGAAGUAUUCUGUGACUGCAUUGAGGGUCGACUGGAGGAUGAACACAUAGAGGUUUCUGUGCAUGCAUUGGCUGGGGGUGGGGAGCAUAGAACAAUUAAACUGAGGGGGACCAUAAAAGGGAGAACUGUCACUGCAUUGAUUGACAGUGGAAGUACUCACUGUUUUUUGGAUGAACAACUGGCCAAAAGCCUAGGCCUAAUCAGCAGUGGACCCUCCCUAAUGGUCAGGGUAGCUAAUGGAGAGAAGAUUCAGUCCAGGGGCCUAGUUAAGCCAGUGGUCUGGAAAAUGCAGGGAUAUGAGUUUCAACACCAGUUCAAUACCUUGAAGUUGGGGGGUUGUGAUAUGGUAUUAGGGGUAGACUGGCUGGCCAGGUUCAGUCCCAUGGAAUUUGACUUCCAAGGGCUGAGGGUGAGGUUCAAAAAAGGGAAACAACAAGUGGAGUUGAAGGGGGAGGGUCACCAGGUGCAAUUAAAGCUGAUAAAAGGUAGUAGACUGCACAAGUGGGCUAGGAAACAAACCUAUGGGAUCCUGGCUCAGUUAAAAGCAGUAACUGAGGAGGUACCAGAAACUGAAGCCAUACCCCCAGAAAUGGGGAGGGUACUGCAGGAGUUUGAGGAUGUGUUCAGGGAACCUCAGGGACUACCCCCUGAAAGGAGUCAUGACCAUUCUAUCACCUUGAAAGAGGGAUCCAAGCCCUUCCAGAUAAGACCUUACAGAUGCCCCUACGUCCAGAAGUCUGAAAUUGAGAAACUAGUGCAGGAGAUGCUGGGAAAUGGCAUCAUCCAGCUUAGUAACAGCCCCUUUGCAUCCCCUGUACUACUAGUUAAAAAGAAGGAUGGCACCUGGAGGUUUUGUGUAGACUAUAGACAAUUGAAUGAGCUUACAGUGAAGAGCAAAUACCCAAUACCCCUUAUUGAUGAGCUCCUGGAUGAGUUGAAUGGAUCCAGGUACUUCACCAAGAUUGACCUGAGAGCAGGGUACUUCCAAAUCAGGGUCAAGACUGAAGACAUACCCAAGACUGCAUUCAGAACCCAUCAGGGACUCUAUGAGUUCAAGGUGAUGCCAUUUGGGCUAACCAAUGCCCCUGCUACUUUCCAAGGCUUAAUGAAUGAUGUGUUCCAAAAACAGCUGAGGAAAUCAGUACUGGUAUUUUUUGAUGACAUCUUAAUAUAUAGCUCAAGUUUACAGGAGCAUCUGAAGCAUGUGGCAGAGGUUCUGGAUAUCCUCAGGAGGCACCAGCUGUACGCCAAAAGGAGCAAAUGUGCUUUUGCUCAGGCACAGGUGGAGUACUUGGGGCACAUCAUCACAGAGGAGGGGGUGAAGGCUGACCCUGGGAAGAUAGAGGGAAUGGUGAAAUGGCCUAGACCAGAGAAUGUUAAACAACUGAGGGGAUUCCUAGGCCUAACUGGAUAUUAUAGGAGGUUUGUCAAGGGGUAUGGCAGCAUAGCCAAGCCUUUGACUGCACUGCUCAAGAAGGACAGCUUCCAGUGGGGAGGAGAAGCUGAGGAAGCUUUUCAGAAGCUCAAAGGGGCCAUGAGUGACACUCCUGUUCUGGCCUUACCUGAUUUCAACCAACCUUUUGUGGUAGAGACUGAUGCCUGCUACAAGGGCAUAGGGGCAGUCCUCAUGCAGAACAAGAGACCAAUAGCUUACAUCAGUCAGGGGUUGGGACCAAAGAAUAUGGGGUUAUCCAUCUACGAGAAGGAGCUACUGGCUCUUGUCACAGCAGUCACCAAGUGGAGACACUAUUUGGAGGGUCAACACUUCAUCAUCAACACAGAUCAUCAGAGUUUGAAGUACCUAUUAGAGCAAAGAAUUACCACCCCCCUGCAGCAAAAAUGGCUAACUAAACUCAUGGGGCUGAGCUAUGAGAUCCACUACAGGAAGGGUAAAGAGAAUGUAGUGGCAGAUGCUUUGUCUAGGAGAGGUGAUCAAGGAAUGGACUGUACUGCAAUAUCAACUGUAGUGCCAGAAUGGAUCAAAGAAGUGAUUAGCAGCUACCAAGGGGAUGAUUGGGCACAAGAUAGCAUCAGGGAGGUGUUGCUGAAACCAGAUCAAGUCCCUAACCUCAGCUACCAUAAUGAUGUUCUGAAGUUCAAAGGAAGAAUAGCUGUGGGAUCUGGGGGAGAGAUAAGAAAGAAACUGAUCAGCACUCUACAUGGCUCACAGUUAGGGGGACAUUCUGGCAUACAAGCUAGCUUUCUGAGGGCUAAACAGCUGUUCUACUGGCCAGGUAUGCACAGGGACAUUAAGACAGCUAUUUUGGAAUGUGAUGUCUGCAAGAAAUGUAAGGAUGAGCAUGUGUCAUAUCCAGGGUUACUGCAGCCACUGCCAGUCCCACAGUCUCCCUGGAGCCAUGUCACCAUGGAUUUCAUUGAAGGGUUACCUAACUCAGAGGGAAAAGACACCAUCAUGGUAGUAGUAGAUAGGUACACCAAGUAUGCUCACUUCCUGAGUAUAUCGCACCCCUUUGAUGCCCCAAAAAUUGCUAGAAUAUUCUUGGAUGGGAUAGUCAGGUUACAUGGAAUACCCCAAAGCAUGCUAUCAGACAGGGAUAGAAUCUUCACCAGUCUGUUUUGGAGUGAGAUAUUUACACUACUGGGAGCUACACUGGACCUCAGCACAGCUUAUCACCCACAAUCUGAUGGCCAGACAGAAAGAGUGAAUCAGGUACUGGAAAUGUACCUCAGAUGUUUCUCCCAUCUAGAACCAAAGAAGUGGAACCACUGGUUGGCCAUGGCAGAAUGGUGGUAUAAUACCAGUCACCACACAGCUAUUCAAAUGACACCCUUUGAAGCUCUGUAUGGGCAGGCGCCUCCACAGAUGGCCCUGGGACCCUACACUCAGGCCAAGGUGGCUGUAGUUGGAGACUAUCUAAGGGAAAGGCAUAAGGUCGACAUUGCACUAAAACAGAAUCUAGCACAGGCUCAGGAAAGGAUGAAAAGGUAUGCAGAUGAAAGGAGGAGUGAAAGGAGAUUUGAAAUUGGAGACUGGGUAUACUUAAGACUACAACCUUACAGGCAAAAUUCUGUAGCUAUGAGGAGCAACACCAAGCUAUCAGCACGUUACUAUGGGCCCUUUGAAGUAAUAAAAAAGAUUGGAGAGGUUGCUUACAUGCUGAAGCUGCCAACAGGGUCCAAAAUACAUCCUGUUUUUCAUGUCUCACUACUGAAGAAAAAAGUUGGAGAACAGACUACACCUAUUUUACAGCUACCGGAAGUCGAUGGAAAAGGGCACUUGAGGGUAGAGCCCGUAGCAGUGCUGGAUAGGAGAAUAGUCAAGAAAGGGAAUGCUGCUGCAGUACAAUGGCUGAUUCACUGGUGGGGAACAGAUCCAGCAGAGGCAACAUGGGAAUUCGCAGAGGAUAUUGAGAAGCAGUUUCCCCAGUUUCAAUCUUGAGGACAAGAUAUUUGUGAAGGAGGGGGUACUGUCAUGGAGUGCAGAAGUCUUUCCAGUUCAGCUUAAAGAAAGGUGAAGGCGUGGUCUACGGCAAAAGGAUGGCGCGAUUGAUCAAACCGAAGAAAGGGAAGGCGUGAUUCAGGAAACACGUUUUUCUUGGCUCCAAACAGAAUUAUGCUUCUGUUAUGAACAAGUGGGACGGAUCAUUCUAGAAUCCACCUGGCCUCAGCUCAUUGGUUAGUUUAGAAGUUAGUUAGCCGGGAAAACCAUAAAAGCAGAAGAAAUCUUAGUGAUAGGUAGCAUUUUGUCAUUUGUCCAAUUACUUGUAAAGAAAGAUUGGCUCUGCCAAUCUCCCUCCCUCCCUCUCACGUUUCAUUCCUUCACUCUUUUCCCCCUUCUAUCUCUGAAUCCAUUGUUUCCAGUCUGUAUUCAUUCAUAUUAAGAAAUUGAAUUACCAAAUCAUUUUCAAUACCAAUUCUACUCCAUUUCUAUUGAGCAAUAGUUUACUGCUUUCUGCAACAAAUCUGUCACCAUUGCCUCCAACUGGUUCUGUACCAUUACAAUGGGACACUUGGAGAAGAGGGGUUUCUGGUGCCGUCGAGGGAUUUAGAAAUUUUGGAGCAUCGGACAUUGAAACCGUUUUCUUCUUGUUUCAGACCGGCCACAGACUACCCGGCCAUCCAACUAUUAGGCAAACCAACCCGACCCGUGUAAGGGAAAAAAAAAUUAAUAUGUACACGUGUAGUUUUGACUUUGAGGGGGGAAAAGAAAGCUAGAUAUCCACUUAUUAGUGCAUUUUGUGGAGAAUUCUUUCUUGUAUUAGUAGAGUUCAUAUUGAUCUAGGCCAUUUGAACAUGAAUUUUUAAAUUGAUAAGAUAUUUUGUGACUAUUUAAAAAAAAAUUGCCAAAGGAAGAAUAUGUAGAAAGGUAGGUAAGCAAUUGAUUGUGUAUUAAUAGAUUAUUUGCAAAACAAAAUUAACUAAUAUAGCAAAAGAGUAAGAAUAUAGAGGUAGAGACCAAAGAGUGCAAACCUUUCUAUAUGGUAUGGAUAAAAUUAAUUAUAAAAUAUAGAGUAAAUUGUUUAGUCGACCCUAAACUAUUACUUUUGUACACUUUUGGUUUCUAAACUAUAAUAUACAACUUCUAAAUGUUUAAAUAUGGGUGUAAACAAAUAUAAUCAAAUCGAACACCUUAGUGUUCAAACUUUUUUUAUUAUUUUAACGAGUUUGAAAUUUUGUUCAAAUUUGGCUUGUUUAUUUACUAAAUUGAGUUUGAACAAGUUUUUUUUAUCCAACUUGAAUGUUAUCGAACACAAAACUCUAUUCAAAUUUGGGUUUGCUAAUUGGGAAAUGAAGUUCGAACAAGCUCUUACCAAGCUGAGUUCGAUUCGAGUAUCGAAUAGUUUGGUUCAUUUUUCAAUGUUUAAAUGUUAAACAAGAAAAAUGUAUAAAUUUAAAAAAAAAAAAGGAAGAAAAAAAAAAGUUAAUGUGCAAAUGAUAAUAAUGAAACUACAUGUAGUCCCUUGUAUUCUACAUUCUCGAAAAGCACAUUGAGUUAGCCAUGUAGAUAAUAGGGCAUUCCCAUAUACGAGGCCAGACAAAGUAAUCUGCUCCAAGUUGGACAUAGAUCCUCUAGAAAUCAACCUUCAAUGAGAAUUUGAAUGCCAUCCCAUAAAUGUGAAUCAUCUGAUAGAAGUCAAUCCAUGUAUAGACAAGAAAGGGUACAUUCCCACUAGAAGGAAAGAAUAAAAGUAGAUUUUCAAGAAGAAGUUAUGGCCAAAAGAUAAGGUCUCUAGUAAAUAUAUCAGAGAGGACGUAUACAACAAAAAACGCAAUUAGUCAUAAGAGUCUAACAAGUAUAAGAAGCAGUCAAGCAGAGGCACCUAGUCAAGAAUUCAUGAAGUAUCUCCUUGUAAAACUGAGUUGCUGUCAGAUAACUAGGAGGACAAACUAAAGUAUUGCAUGCCAAAAAUUGGACAACUACAUUAUUAGCAGAGCAAGUGCUAUCUUGUUGCAUGGGAACGCAGAUGUGCUAUGAAUACCUUUUUUCCAAAUGCUCAAUCCAUAUCAUCAUUCUUUUUACCUUAAAGUGAGCUGUCAAAGCUGCAAUAGGACAUUGAGUACCAUGUAGCAAAAGGGACCUAUUUUACACCAUGACAGAUCGCAUAGACAAGGUAAAACCCCAUAUGACCUUGCAUUUAGAUUGUUAUCCAGGAGUAAAGGUCAUCCAGUAAGCAUAAGAGCUAAGAAUAGCUCGCAAGCCACCUCCACCAGGAGUUGAAGGGAUUACUAGCGCAACUUUGAUUUCUUUUACGAAAAUGACUUUCUUGUUGAAUAAGGAAAAGUUAUCUGACAUGCAUUGUGGAAGAAGCCUUUAUCAUAUAUGUUAUUCUGAAGAGCCUCCACUUCUUCUAGGCAAGAUCUCCUGAAUAUGGCCUCCCAUUUGCUCUGCGGAAGCUUCUUUUCAAGGCUGAGUUCACUAAACUUUCUUUACGGGCCGCCUCGCUUGCCUUCGCCUCAAGUAGCUUCCUCCACCAGUAUAAGUGCUCUUGCCACUCAAAAGAGAAGAAAAUUUAAUAGUUCUUGAUUGAGAAUAUUUGAAUUGUUUGUUCACUGUUCAAUAAUCCUUGUUUAGAUACAUAGCUCAUAACAUACAUAUGCAUAGUGUUCUGAUCUACGAUUUAAAUUCUUCCAUCUUAUAGUAGUUGUUAAAUAAUAAAAAAAAAAAAAACUCCAAUAGAGAUCCAACAGGACAAGCAUCAUACCGCAAGCGCGUACCCAAUUUCACAUGGUUUAUGAAGCUGCCUAAGUUGUAAAAUUUUUCUCCAGCACCAGUAAGCGGCAUUUGGAAUUUUAACUGCCCACUUUGAUCAAUUCAUUAUGAAUCAGGUGGUAUCCAAGGAAUCCUUGUUUUAACAAAGUGACGAUUGAUUAAACCCCGAAGAAAGAGGUUUCAAAUAUAAGAUAACUAGUGUUGUAUUUACAUUAAUCUUUCUGUGCUACAACAAUCUGAGAUCUAGAUAAUAUCGAUUCACGCAAGCAAACACGUAGAUUAUUGAUCCCUGAAAGCGAAUUUGCAAAAGGAUAAUCCGAAAUACACGCAGUGGAAGAUAUACAGUAGGUAGCUGGGAGGGAUCGUGCUGCAGUAAUGACAAGUCACCUCACGAAAUACUAAACUAAUGUUAGUUAAAAGUGGUUGUCUAAGUUAUUCACCUUUAGCGACAAUUUUGGUCUUUUCUGAUUCCAUUAAAAUAAUGAUUAUAAAUUUUGUGUAUUUUUUGUUAAACUAAAAUGGUAAGUUUGUUCACUAAACUAGGAACUUUAAUCAUUCAUCAAAUUUACCAAUUUAUUUGUAAAACUUACCAUUUUUAACAAAAGCUUACCAUUUUUUUGAAUUAAACUUACUAAUUAUAAUUAUUGUAACUUUCUUAAGUAAAAUGGUAAGUUUGUGAAAGAAAGUAGUAAGUUUGGACAAUUCAUCAAUUUACCAUUUUAUUUGUAAAACUUACCGUCAUGUUAAUUAAACUUACUAAUUAUAAUUGUUGUAACUUAAGUAAAAUGAUAAGUUUGUGAAAUAAAGUAGUAAGUUUGUACAAUUCACUAAUUUACCAUUUUAUUUGUAAAACUUACCAUUUUUUAACAAAAAACUUACCAUUAGUUGAAUUAAACUUACUAAUUGUAAUUGUUGUAACUUUCUUCAGUAAAAUGGUAAGUUUGUGAAAUAUGGUAAGUUUGAACAAUUCACCAAUUUAUCAUUUUACUUGUAAAACUUACCGUUUUUCAACAAAAAUUUACUAUGAUUUGAAUUAAACUUACUAAUUAUAAAGUAGUAAGUUUCGUUGGAGAAGUAGUAACGUUCGAUAUUUAAAGAGUAAACUUCAUAUCACACUUAUAAUUUACCAACUUUAUUACCAAAGUUACCAUAUUACUACCUGAUGUUACUUUGAAUAUUAGAAAUCUGAAUGAACAGUAGUGUAAUUGUCAUUAAAGAUACCAAUCUAGGAUGUGAGGACCACUAUUAACCGGUUGUACUAAUAUUUUAAUGUAAAAUAUUCACAAGUUACUGUUGGGUUAACCGGACAAAUUACUCUUUAAAAAAAAUAGUAUAAAAUGAAUAACUCAAUGUUAAUUUAUCAUUUUCAUACGAGGACAAAAGUACAUCUGCAAACCUAGCUAAUCCGAAUAUUUCCCGCUUGGUUUACAUGUAAUAAUGCAGUAAUUAUUUGGAAUGAAUACGACAGAGGAGGACCAAGAAGCUAGCAGAAGAUCGCAUUAGGGAGGACUGUGUCAGGCUCGUAGGCUAAUUUGGGGAAGUUUGGGGAAGAAUUAGAGGAAGGGAAGAAAGGAAAAUUGGGAACAGCAAGAAAGAGGGAGAGAUAACAGAAAAGAGAGAGAGAAAGAAAUGAAUCUUGUUGUAAUAACCAAUGUCAGUUCGUAAUUCGGUUACAGGGGCUAUUUAUGCAAUUAGCCCAUUAAUGUGUUCAACUGUAUUUGAAAUUGCAAUCACCGCCCUUAUUUUAAUGCAACGGUGUCGUCUUAUUGCUCUCUACUAAAACGCACAACCUCCUACACCAAACGACCUGCACUUAGCUUCUUUGGUCCUGACAGUCCCUUCCCCUUAACAAAAAGCUUGUCCUCAAGCUUUGAAAUCUGGGAAUUGCCUAUCUAUGAAGUGCCUGUCUUCCCAGGAAGCUUCGGAUUCUGGCAGGUUAUUCCACUUCACCAAGUACUGGAUGACAGCCUGAGCAGCCCUCAUGAUGACCCGCCUCUGUAACACCUUCUCUGGCCUUAAUAAGCACUGAUCUGCUGCGUCCAGUUCAGGUAGAGUAGAUUCCACGGCCUGUGUCACUCCCCCCCCCUCUUUUUAAGCAGUGAGACAUGAAACACUGAGUGAAUGCGAGCCCCCCCUGGCAGUUUAAGCUUGUAAGCUACCUCGCCCACUUUUGCAAUGACUUGGAAGGGUCCAAAGUAUUUGGCAGCCAGCUUCACACUCCUACGUAUAGCUACUAAUUGCUGUCUGUAAGGCUGAAGCUUGAGGAACACCCAGUCUCCUUCUUGAAAGCUCCUCUCAGACCUAUGCUUGUCAGCGAAUAACCUCAUACGACUCUGAGCCUUAGCCAGAUUCUCCUUUAUAAGAGAUAUGACCUGUAGCCUUGACUGAACCAUAUUGCUCGCAGCAGGUACAAUACUAUCAUGGAAAGGCCCCAGAGGAAUGUGAUUUGGCUGGUACCCGUACAACGCUUCAAACGGAGUGAGUUGUAAGCUGGUGUGGAAGUUAGUGUUGUAUCAUAACUCAGCUGUAGCAAGCCAACUACUCCAAUGGGAAGGGUGCUCACUGCACAUACACCUGAGGUAAUUUUCCAAACACUGGUUGACUCUUUCACUCUGACCAUCUGACUGCUAAUGAUAAGAGGAACUGUAGUGUAGAUUGACCCCAACCAAGCUGAACAACUCUUGCCAGAAUUUGCUAAGAAAAAUUCGAUCCCUGUCAGUGAUGAUUGUUUCCGGCAGCCCAUGCAGCUUGUAAAUGUUGUCCAAGAAAAGCUGAGCUAUUUGUUGGGCAGAGUACGGAUGGGAGAGCUUGAUGAAGUGGCUAAACUUAGUGAAGCGAUCCACCACUACCAAAAUAGUGUCAAAGCCAUGAGAGGGUGGUAACUGUUCAAUAAAAUCCAUGGUAAGGUGUGACCAAGCUUGCUGAGGCACUGGAAUAGGUUGCAACAAGCCAGGAUAGGAAACAUUCUCAUGUUUGUUCCUCUGGCAAACAUCACAGGAUCUCACAUACUGGAUAAUUUCGCUCUUCAUCCCUGGCCAAUGAAACAAGGAUUGCACCCUUUUAAGACAACCCCUCUGUCCCGAGUGCCCUCCAAUAGUUGAAUCGUGCAAGGCCUUGAUCAGGUAGGUUCUGACCCCAUUAGCUAUGCCCACAUACAGUUUCCCUUUGAACUUGAGGACUCCAUUUUCAACUUGAUAGUCUGGAUCUGCAUUAGGAUCCAACACUAGCUCAGACAGCUUCUGUUGAGCCUGUGCGUCCCCCAUAUAGCUCUCUAAUAGCUCUUGUACCCACCGAGGUUGAGCAGAGGAUAAGGCACACAUCUGGGAGGUCCCCAUCUCAGUUGCUCCUUGGUCAUCCGUGAUGCCUUCCAUCCUCCGCCUAGAGAGAGCAUCAGCCACACCAUUUUCUACACCUCGCUUAUAUUGUAUCUCAUAGUCUAAACCAAGCAACUUGGUGAGCCACUUGUGUUGCAGUGGUUGAGUGAGUUUUUGCUCUAACAGAUGCUUGAGAGCUUGGUGAUCUGUCCGGAUGAUGAAAUGGUGGCCAACCAGAUAGUGCCUCCAUUUGUUGACAGCCAACACCAAGGCAAGCAGCUCCUUCUCGUAUACUGACAAUCCCGGGUUUUGAGUGGAUAGGGCCUUGCUAAGAAAAGCUAUAGGGUGGCCCUGCUGCAUCAAAACUGCUCCUAUGCCAACCCCACAAGCAUCAGUUUCGAUCACAAAAGGGAGGUCGAAAUUUGGCAUGCUCAGCACGGGGGCUGUGGUCAUAGCCCUUUUUAAGUCUUCAAAUGCCAUCUGAGCAUUAUGGUUCCAUGCAAAGCCCUCUUUUUUUAACAACAAGGUCAGUGGUUUACUGAUCACUUCAUACCCCCUGAUAAACCUCCUAUAAUAACCAGUUAGCCCAAGAAAACCUCUCAACUCUUUGACUGAUUUUGGAGGGGGCCAGGACUGAAUACACUCAAUCUUAGCCAAGUCCAUGCUUACCCCUGAGGCAGAGAUUACAUGCCCCAAAUACUCAAUCGAAGUCUGAGCAAAUGAACACUUUGACCUCUUACAGUACAAUUGGUUCUCUGCUAACACACUGAGCACCGUCUGCAAGUGUUGUGCAUGGGAUUCCAGAGAAGGACUAUAUACUAAAAUAUUAUCAAAGAAGACCAAGACAAACUUUCUUAGGUAUGGCUGAAAAAUUCUGUUCAUCAAUGCCUGAAAUGUGGCCGGCGCAUUUGUCAAUCUGAAAGGCAUGACCAAGAAUUCAAAAUGUCCAUGAUGUGUUUGGAAAGCAGUUUUAAGAGUGUCAGCUGCCUUUACCCUCAACUGAUGAUAACCAGCUCUGAGAUCCAGCUUGGACAUAUAUUUCGUGCCAUGUAACUCAUCUAAUAGCUCGUCUAUGUUAGGAAUAGGAAACUUGUCCUUUAUAGUCAACUUAUUCAACCUUCUAUAAUCUAUGCACAGUCUCCAAGUGUUAUCUUUUUUUUUUCACUAGCAGCACAGGGGAAGCAAAAGGACUGGUGCUAUGGGUAAUAAUUCCAUUGGUCAGCAUCUCAGCAACCUGCCUUUCAAUCUCAGUUUUGUGAGAGUGAGGGUACCUGUAAGGCUUGAGUUUGAAGGGCUCGGCCCCUGGUUUAAGGUUGAUCUGGUGAUCAAGCUCUCUCUCUGGGGGCAAGCCUACUGGAGUUGUGAACACCUGAGAGUGCUGUUGUAAAACCCCUUCUAUAAGCUCAGGCAGUGGUUCCUCCGGCUCCUUUGUUACUUCUGUUCGCCAGGCUGCACAGUACCUCUGUUUCUCCUGUAUGAAGGAUCUGAGGUCCUUGCCCCUCACUACUCCCAUUGCAGGCUGAUUGAUAAAACCUUGUAGAUGCAGCAAACUUCCCUCAGCGCUAAGAGCAAUACUGAGGGAGUGAAAGUCAAAUGUGAUGGGGCUGAACUAGCACAUCCAAUCGACUCCCAAAAUAAUGUCCCACCCUCCUAAUUCCAUGAUUUUCAAGUCAAAUUGGAAUCUGUAUUCCUGGAUCAAUCAAGUGACCUUGGGACUCAUAGCUCCACUAGUAAUGUCAGUGCCAUCAGCCAAGGUCACAAUGAAGGGAUUAACCGUUUGAUAUGGCAGUUGCAACAAAUUGACUACCCUGUGGUUGAUGAAGCUAUCAGAGCUUCCUGUGUCCACCAAAAUUUUAACUGGAAGCCCUCCCAAACUGCCCAUCAACAUGAUAGACUUCCUCUUUAUAGCACCGGAGAGAGCAUUGAGGGAUACUUCUGCCAACUCGCCCGUCCGUCCUGUGAGUUCAUCUUGUUCCCCUUUCGCAUCUUCAAACUCAGUGCCCUCCUCUUCAUCCGUGCCCAGGUAGUUUAGAUUGCCCUUCUUACACUGAUGUCCUAUUCCGAAUUUUUCCCCACAUUUAUAACACAGGUUGUUUUUACGCCUAAACUGCAAUACCUCAGCAGAGAGUUUGUUGAACUCCCUGUGUACAAAAUCUGUCUUCUGAGGACUAGGAAUGACAGCAGGCAACUUGUAGGAGUUUUGACGAGUCUGGUUAUUCGCCGCAUUCUUAUACAUUCCAAAUCUGGAUUCCACCGCAACUCUCCCUGCAAUUUUAUUUUGCUUAGACUGAAUUUCUAGGGAGGAUUCCUGCAGUUCAGCAACCUCAAAGGCCUUCAUCAGGGUCUGAGGCUUAAACAUCUUUACCAUAGGUUUGAUAUCCUCUUUGAGACCACUAAUGAAGCUAGAAACAAAGUAGAGUUCAUCUAGCCUGGGGUUCUUCAUCAACAUUAGUGUCUUCAGCUCCUCAAACUUUUCUUCAUAUUCCUCCAUUGGACCUCUCUGUUGCAACUUGUUGAACUCUUCAACAAUGUCACGUGAACUACCUCCUGAAAACCUCUCACAUAAGAGUUCACUGAACUCUCCCCAUAGUAUCCCAGGCUUCACUAAUUUCACUCCCUGAAACCAGUUGUCAGCCUUUCCCUCCAAAAACAUCUCUGCUACAUCUACCUUAUGAUUCUCGGCGAUCUGAUAAUUCAGAAAGUACUUUUGACAUUUUCGCACCCACUCCCCAGGAUUUCCAGAAUUGAACAUUGGUAAUUCCAAGCGAGGUAUAUUAGGGGUAAACUGCCUACCUCUGUAUUCCUGCGGAAUCCCCGGUCCUUCGGUGGAAGUUGUUAAUCUCAAAUGAGCAGGUGGUGUGGGCAAGAUUGGCUCUGCUACGCUCCCAUCCAUGUCGGUCAAACCUUUCUCCUUCAUCAGUAAUUUCAACACUGAGCUGAAUCUUUGUUCCAUCUUAUUGAACUUCUGAUCCAUGCUCCCCGCUAUCGCUUCCAAUUUCGCAUUGUUUUGCUCUACUUCUGACUGGAAUUUCUGCCGCCACUCCUCAGCGCCGGCACUCCGCACCGCCGCCAUGGAUUCCAUCAAUUCUUGAAGUCGAUGCUCCUGCUUCUUGAGCUGAUCUUCCAAAGUCCUAAAUCUCGUGCUCUCUGCCAUUCUGGAUCUUCGCGGCCAAGGAUCGACCGCUCUGAUACCAAAUGUCAGGCUCGUAGGCUAAUUUGGGGAAGUUUGGGGAAGAAUUAGAGGAAGGGAAGAAAGGAAAAUUGGGAACAGCAAGAAAGAGGGAGAGAUAACAGAAAAGAAAGAGAGAAAGAAAUGAAUCUUGUUGUAAUAACCAAUGUCAGUUCGUAAUUCGGUUACAGGGGCUAUUUAUGCAAUUAGCCCAUUAAUGUGUUCAACUGUAUUUGAAAUUGCAAUCACCGCCCUUAUUUUAAUGCAACGGUGUCGUCUUAUUGCUCUCUACUAAAACGCACAACCUCCUACACCAAAUGACCUGCACUUAGCUUCUUUGGUCCUGACAGACAGCGACUAAUUAAUGCAGCUUGAGUCGAUCCAAGAGGGGCUUCUCGUGAAGUCUGGUCACAUGUUGUACAUUCACGUAUUCCGUGUACUUCAUCGGACCAUAUCCUGCCGGAGCUUCACGCAGCAGCGGCCCGGCUGGGGUGACAAUUGUAUCAGGUGACGGACCAUUCGAUCGGCACCACUAAGGUAAUUCUAAUCUUUUCGUUGUUCACAACCGCUCUGUGCCACACACUCUUGUGCUUCCCGUUGCUCAAUAUCUAGUAAAUUAAGUUCGUGCACCCUUAGUUUUUUCAUAUAUUAGGGUAAUUGUCAAUCAAUCUCAAACAAACAGCUCAGAAAAAUAUCAACCCUGCUCAGUAAAACUCGAAUAGUAUACCUCGAGUUGAUCGGCUGUGUUGACGAAAAUGGGGUUGGGAAGGGCAUUAACGUGGAACCACUGGCCUCUGUAUUGUAUCUCAAGGCCUCCAACUCCAUUUUGCAGAAGAAAGGUCAAGAGGCCAUGAUCUGUGUGAGGUGGUAUGCCUAUUGCCAAUUCAGGUUGAGGACAGGGUGGAUAGUAAUUUGCAGCGAAGAUUUGGGUGCCAUGAUCCAAGUCCAUGGCUUUCUGGAUGUAGUCUUCUUCCAUGCCCAAGCUCCUUGUUAUUCCUUGGAGUAAUUUGCUAGCCAAAUCUCUGGUUCUUUGAGAAUACUCCGAUAUAAGAUCCCUAGAAUAUAAUCAUGGUCAAAGAGAAAGUGAUUGGAACCUUUCAUAAGAAAAGAAAGGAAAAUGUAAGGCUUAAAUUUAUACCAUAUUUACAUUGUGUUGCAAGUGAUUUACAUUGAGCAAAACUAAUCUGGGGAACCAUCUGUGCCCCAAGUGAUUGGAAGCUUUCGUAAAAUAGAUUCACACACGUACAUUGUUAAUUUAUUACUAAACAUAAAAGCUUAUGUAAAAUUUCUCUUUAAUUCUUUGUGAAUGUCUGAAGAGAAUUAGGGGCAAGAACAGUGGUUGUAGGUAACAACCGUCUCUGAAGGUUAAGGACUAAGAUUCAGCAAAAGAAAAAAAAAAGAAAAUGUAAAAUUUAGAUCAUUUGGUAUACAUUAUUUUUAACGUCGUGUGUGAAAUUCACUAAAAUUUAUACUGUAUCUACAUUGUGUCACAAAUGAUUUACAUUCAGUUGAAUUGAGCAAAACUAUUUCGAGAACCAUCCAUGCCCCAAGUUUAUCUGAAGAAUAUGGUUCAAUGGAAUAAACAAAGCAUUCAUGUUUUUAUACUAUUCAAAAACCUGAUUUAUAACUGAUCAUCUAGAAGAUUGGUAUUGCUUUAGUGUUUAAAUAUUGGCUUAUGAUCUAAUUAUUGCAUUUUAAGAAAUUUACAAUGCUUGUUGGCUUCGUUGUCUUUUCAACAAUAGAAAGUUCAUUGAAUCUUUUUUUAUUUUAGGUGGGGUGGGGGAAGUGGGCAGGCAUUGCGUAUAUUUGGAAGUCAAUUACAUGGCCUUGUAAUAACAAACUUCCUAUCCUACCAAAUUGUUUUACCUUUGUGGUAGAACAAGGAAAGAAUUGCAAAAUAUUGUUGACAAUAUAGAUAUUGUCGCUACCUGAGCUCUUGGGGUUUAUCAGGACAGUAAAACUCUGGAUGCACAAAGAACCUUAGAUAAUCUCUCCAGAAGAGGACAGUUUGCUUGGAUUUAUCGUGGAUUGUGCUGCCAAACCUGACCAUGACAGGAUACAGGGGAUUUGUGGUUUCAAACUUGAGCUUCGCCUCCUCCGGCAUAUCGAAAAACUCAUUACACACGUUAAACAAUGCGUACGUUGAUUAGGCUUUCCGGUAUGCCAUGGUUUACCACCUGCAUGCAUGCAUUCGAUAUCAUCCGAUCACAUGCAUAUACUACUGGAGAAGUGAUACACUACGUGAUUAAUUAGUACCAAGUGAAAAACAUGGUGUCUGUAUACUUAAAUUUUUUCAGAUAAUAUUUCUCUUGUAUUAUAAACACAUUUUCCAACCCACCUUUUUAUAUUCUUAACUACCUUUUUAUCUUAUAUAUAUCAUAUCACAAAAAAAGUGAUACAAUAAUUAUUCUAAAUAAUAUUUCAAAUAAUACUCUAUCCAAACAAUUAGUUGCAUUAGUCAAUACAGAUCCUUGUUGGGGUUUUUACAUAUAUUUUGCUCUUAGAAAAGUUUAAGGUGAAGAAGAAUACCGAGUGUGGUUAAAUAGGUAAACAUUAUUUUACUUGCUUCAUAAAUUCAUUUUCUAACCAUCUUUGUAUAUUUUUAUUAUAUUUUUCUAUCACAUACAUCAAAUCACAAAAAAAACUUAUAGUAAUUAUUCUAAUUCAAAGGGUGUACAGUAAUGCACUCCUUUGAUCUAGACGUGGAAUCCUCUCCUUCUAGUCCUCCGUUCACUAAAUUGCAUCCUGGUGAGGAGGAUUGCCAAGAACAUUGAGGAUUGAACCGCUCUCAUUCUAAAGCGAAGAAUAAAACAAAAGAAACUCUUAUACUUAAUUAGUUUGCAUUGGUUAGAUUGUAUAGAUUCAAUUCUUGAGUAGAAUAGCAUGUUUGCUAACUCUACCAGUUCAUCAAGAAAGGACAAAAGAAAACUGUACCAUGAAGAAGCCCCAUUCCUCACAGGCUUUUCCAAGGUCGUCGAUGACUUUGGCACGUUCAUCAGGAUUGGAUGAGCUGAGCAAGGAAAAAUCAAUGACAGGAAGUGCAACUUCAGGGCCUGCUACAAUGGAUUUUUGGCUAUCUUUGAAGUGUGCAUAAUCAGAAGGGAGGGAUUUGAGGUCUUGUGAUUGGACAAGUGCUUUAACUCUUGUCAUUUGGAUGAAUUUGCAAGUAAAUACAUAUUGCUCAAAGUUAAACUCUAAAGCUGAGAAGCCCUAAACUAAGCAAACGAAGCAGUGGAAUGAAUGGUGCUGGUAAAAAACAUGGGCUGUGUCUCAAUUUAUAUAGAGAGGCAAACAAACAAAACUCAGGUCUCAAAAUUGGACAAAAAUAUUCAAAAGGGUUUGAAGCAAAAUCGUUUAAACAAUUUGUUUCUCCCCACUGCCAACCAAUCUUAGCAUCAAGGACGAGACUGCUUUCAUUUCUUUCUUGAUUAAUUAGUUUAUUUAUGCUAAUAGGGAACACUAGAAUUGACUUUUCCUUCCUAAAGCAGAUCAGAGAGUAUCAGAUGGCUAUCUUUUUCUGUUGACUAAAAUCACAACAAUCUUUUUCGAGAUUAAUAUUUAGUAAAAGAUUUGUGUCGUUAGUUGCCACAUUUGUAAUUUUAGAUACGAAAGUGCAUUAUAAUACUAACUUCGCUUUCACAUGGCUUUACUAAAUAGUCCCACCAAUUAUUUUUCUUUUUUGAUAGGUUGUAGGCUGGCACGAGAAUAUAGUAGAACAAACAUCUGUGCUAAUAAUCAAGUGAGAAUUGUAUGUGCUAUUUUAUUGAUAGAAGUGGAAGCCAUGUAAGGAACGUUUUCUUUUAAUCUUUCCUACACUAUCAGCGGUGAAUGAAUGAUAAUUAUGUAAAAUUUAAAGUUCAAAUUCAACUUUUACACACAUAUUAUAAAUUCAAUGAUGAUAAUAUAUGCACUAUCAGUUUAUAUAAGGUAUACUCUUUAAAAAAAAAAAAGGGGGCAGAUCAAAACAUUUUUGAAGGUACACAUGACUCCUGAUAACGAAUAUUUUUAGGAUAUUUUGGAUAUAACACCAAAUGACAAGAUGUUCAAGGAGCAUUCAUUUCUUCACUGAAUCAUUACCAUUUGUCACAUUGUAGCGUACAUCUGCUCAUAUAUCAAAUCUACGUGCUUAUAUUUCAAGUGGCCUAGCUAUUUGGAUCAGGGCUUCUACUGUUACUAAUAGUGAUAGUGUCGUACAAAAUAGAUACAAACUCAAUAAAUAUAUAAUUCCGCCUAGAUUAAUUAUUUUUAGAGGUAUUUUUAAAAUAUUUUACUAUAAUAAUAUAUAUGAAAAAUAUUUUAUUGUAAAUAUUUUUUAUGAUAUUUUUGAAAGUAUUUUGGAAUAUAUAUUUAAAUAUUUUUAAAAUUAAAUUUUUGUGAUACCUUUUAAAAAUUACUAUCACCGCCCAUCACCUCUUCCCUCCUCCCCCUCCCUCUUCCUCCUCCCUUCUCUUUCUUCCUCCUUCUCCGCUCCUCCGUCUCUUUCCUCCUCCCUUCCUCCCUUCCCUUCCCCUCCCUUUCCCUUGAAAGGAGAGCAGUGGGGUGUGGAAGAUAAGGGAGGAGGGGAGAAGGAAGAGGGAGGAAAAGGAAAGAGGAGGAAAGAGGAGGAGGUAGAGGAAGGGAGAGGAAAAAGGAAAAAGAGAUGAUGAUGGCGGUGGGGGGUAGGGAUGGUGAUGGCAGGUGGUGAUAAUAGAUGGAAGAAAAAAAUAGAGUAGAAUUUAUUUUUUUUAUUUCUUUAUAUAUUUGAAAUUAUUUUUGAUAUAUUAUAUGGAUGUGGUGUUUUUGGAGUUAUUUUUCUUUGCAUAUUAUUAUAAUAUUAUAUAUAAUACAACUUGUUUUUCAAAAAAUGAGAAAUCCAAACAGAACCAACACUAAAAUAACAAGUGUAGACACUAAGUGCCUGUUUGAUAACAUAAAAAAGUGCUGAAACUGAAUUCAUUCAGACAUUCAGAUGUUGUGGGUGUUUGAUAAAUAAAAAUUCACCUGCUGAACUUAUUAAGUGGUGCUGAAUUUGUAUGUAUUUUUUUCAGCACAAGAAUCGUAGCUGAAUGCUUAAUUUGAUAAGAGUCAAGAGAUUUACUUCAACUACUUUAUCUUAUCUACCAAAUAUAUCCCUGUUUGUUAAUUACAUUCAAAAUCCUUAUUUAAUUAAACAACCUAAUAUUCCCUAUUCAAAAUCCUUAUUUAAUUAAACAAAACAACCUGAUAUUCUCUAUUCAAAAAUUUUUUUUAACAAUAAUAUUUUUUUGCAGUAAUUUUCAUCCACAAACAUUUAUAUUUUGAUAUUUUUUUGUGCAGAUAAAUAUUAUUUAUGUGAUGCAGCUUAUCCACACACACGUGGCUUUAUGACACCAUAUCGAAAUAUUAGAUAUUGGUUGUCUGAUUUUCGAAAUGCUUCUCGUCCAAGAUCAAAAGAAGAACGCUUUAAACCAAGCACAUGCAAGAUUGAGAAAUGUAAUUGAACGUGCUUUUGGAGUAUUAAAAGCUCGUUUUUCCAUUCUCAAAAUGAUGAAACCAUACCCUUUUCCCACACAAAGAAACAUUGUCAUUGUAUGCAUUGUUCUUCACAAUCAUUGUCAUUUUCAUACCUAACAAUUUUAAAUUAAUUAAAUCAUAAGUUCUAUUUCCUUUUUGGAUUAAAAGAUAGAAGGGCAAAAUUGUACAAUUUACCUUAUUAAGUAUUAAGUUAUGAAUAUUUAUCAAACAGUAUAAAUAGAUUCAGCAUUAAAAUUCAGACAUUCAUAUAUCUCUUUUCAGUGCUUAAAAUUCAGCAAAUUAAUUAUUUCAGUAUUCAGAAUUCAGAGUUCAGAGUUCAGAAUUCAGAUUCAGUGUUAUCAAACAGAGCCUAACACAACAAGAUAAAAUAUAACAAUCUUUUUUAUACACUGAAAUUUGCGAUGUGCGUUCAAUCUCCUCUAUCCAAUUUCACUACUCCUCAUCUACCACCGUCAGCUAUUCUCUGAAGUCACUACUGUGACUACAGAGGAUGUGGAUCCCAAAUUCCCAAUUAAUUGAACCUCAUCGCGCGUGCCAUAACAACACCUUUUGUUUUAAAAUUAAUAACACAAUAAACAGUCAAUUCAAGUUUUAUCCAGCUAGCUUAGGUUAAAAAGAUUGAUCCGACUAUUCUGUCUCACUCUCUACUCCACUAUUUAUCCCACUUUUGAUGAUUAUAUCAUCAUUUUUUCUUUAUAAAUGUCAUAUUUUAAUUCUAUUUUUUUUCUUUUAAGUUCCAACAACUAUUAAUCGGAUAAUACAUGACAUUCAACAAACUAGAAAGUCAAAAUUCACAGGAAAAUAAAUUUUUUUGUGAAUUUUCUACUAUAGUUUUUAUUUUUCUAUUAUAUAUUAUCUUUUUAAACUGUUGUAUUUUAUUUUAUUUUUACUUUGUUAAGAGUUAUUUGAAUUUAAGGAAACAAAAAAGAAUAAAAAAUAUAGUGUUCAUGAAUAAAAAAAAUAUAGUGGUGAAACAGGGAAUGAGACAGAAGAUCUAUUGCGAAAAAAUACCAUAAUUUUAAGUCAGCAAUGAUGUACGAUGGGGCAAUUUGGAACUUAGGAUAGGAAUGAUUGUCAGAUCAACCGUCCCUAAACGAUAUAACACUGUCUGUAUAAAUUAUAACUCCUUGUACAUUAUUAUAAUGAAGGUGUGAUACUCUAUCCAUAGGAAUCCGCAACGGAUCCUCUGUACCACAACCCUGUCUCACACCCUAUCCCACCCCUCAUAAACUUGCCAAGUGUCCUUUUAUUAACCCAAUCCUGAAACAACCCAACUCGAACCAUGUUUAAUUAUUUAACCGAUUAAUCGGGGUGAGAAACUUAAUCACACAAAACCAAAAUCCAUUAAACUAAAAACCCAAAAAACAAAAUUAAAGAUUAAUCAAGGCACAAAAAAAAACCCCACAAGGCCACGAUUCUGGUUUCCCAUCAGAUUUCACUCCUCCUCAAAAGCUUCCGUCAGAUAUCACUCAUCAGCUCAUCAGAGAUCACUCACAAUUCAAAUGCCUGGUGGCAUGAUUUCGGCUGAUAAUCAUAUGCUAUGUCCUUCGUCACGAAGUCGAAGGAAAUCUGAUGGUGGAAUCGUGCGCCGUGUGAAAGCACAAAAAUCGCCGUUCUUGACCGAGACUCAAGUUGUGCUCCAUCUCGGAACCUUGUGGGGUUAGGAGUAAAGCAUCCCAAGGUUAGCGCAUCUCUAAUAGCGUGGAGAAACAUUGGGAACCCCAAUUUCGUGGUCAUUCUCCGGAGCCCUUUCUUCAGGUUAUGAGUGAUCAAUGGGCAAUUGGACGAAGCUCCCCACCUGUUCGAUCAAAUGCCUAGGCGUCAUGAAUCAUUUUUUUCGUAGGUUUUUCUUGCCUUUGUUUUCCCGCAGUUUUCUUUGCCCAUUAUUCUGUCAUUCGGAUUUAUUGUGACUCCUUUCUGAAAUCUGUUCUCAAAUUAUAGCUGUCAUAGCCUUUAACUCUGAUGGUUGGUUGAUAUUCACUUAUAUAAUGAUGUGCAGCAGAUUAGUGAAUUGAGUUGAAUGAUGAAGUUGAUGAUGUGGUCUACUUAGCUGAUCUCUGUGUUGUUUCUAUAAUUCUUACAUGUAGUUAAGUGCGAUCUGCUAUGCCAAAGAGGUUUUAGAGGAAAACGGGACAUGAUUGUUUUGGUGAGGACAUGCUUUAGCCAAGGGAAACUGAUAUACCAGCUUUGUUUCUGGUCUUUGUUGUGCUUCCCCUGGUUACAUAUAUCUUGCUAGGAAAAUGGAGCGAGUCAACGAAAAAAAGUUAAGGUCAACAGGCAGCUGAAGAAAGUUAAGAUCUGAAUUAUAGGAGCAAUUCUAUUAUCAUUUAAACAGAUAGAGCAAAAAUAUUAAAUAGGAGUAAUGCAUCUGUUUGAAACAUUUCAGCAAAGAUUUUGUUUGCCAGUUCUUAAGCUGCUUGAUUGAUGAAUCUAAAUGGUGUAUUCUGGGCCUAGUCAUUCAUGAAAGUUUAUGGAUAAAUUUUUUUCUUUUAUUUUACAGAUGCUAUUUCAGUAUGAAGAUUUUGUGAAGUCCUUUCACUAUGAAGUUUUCAACAUGUCUCCAAGAGGUCUUAUAAAUUGUGGAAACAGGUAUUUCUUCAAAAUUUUUCCUGCUUUUCUUGUGCUUUUACAUAUCAAUAGCUCUAGAAAAAUUUUAUAGAUAUAGGAAAUGUACAGACUCUUAAUGCAAUAAUGUACUGAAACAAAUUUCAUAGGAUUUUUUAUUAUUUGUCAAGUAUAUUCAAGAUUUCUUUCAUUUUACUGUGCAGUUGUUAUGCCAAUGCUGUAUUGCAGUGUCUGACCACAAAGCCUCUCCUUCUGUUUCUGCUUCAGAGAUUGCAUUCUAGAGCUUGUUACGAUUGGUUUGAUUUACAAUGUCUUGCUUUUGCAUUCUAGAGACUUCCGAAGUAAAUUCUGCUUCAGAGAUUGCAUUCUAGGGGUUCAUGUUAUUUCGAUCCACUACUAUUACUGAAUAAGGGGUUGGCAUGCUUCCCUUCAAUGUUCGCGUGUUUUAAGCAUAUAUUGUUGCAGUAUCUUUGAGAGAGACUAGAGCUAUGCAGACUCAAGUUAAUUGUGUGUGAGAUCGUUAGCCUUUUGCUUUGAUUGUAAGAUGAUAAGUGAAAUCCCAAAUAUCUGGGAAGGUGUUGUGGAUAUUCCCCUUGUCUGAUUAAGUGCAGCUAAGAUGUUAUUUCAUGUCAAAGUUGAAAAUUAUUGGCUUUGGUCUCCAUGGAUUGCUUUUGUGGCUUUAAAACAUAACGUUGUGGUUUGAUUCCGCAAUUCUAGUUCAUUAUGUCCUGCACGUCAAUAUAAAUUUUGUAUAGCAAUUUUUUCAUUCUAGUUCAUUUUCUCUACGACUUUUAGCAUUAUUUGAAUUUUGGCAGCAUAAUCAUCAAUUUCAUUGUGCUCAAACCUCAGAAAGAGGAAAACAAAAAAUGGAAUGUGUAUAAAAAUCUAUGAUCCCUCUUCUACAAGGGAACAGAAAGAAAAGAGUGGAUAGAUUCCGAGGUGUAUAAAUGUAUAACUUCACACCAUCCAAGAUUUUUGCCCUGAUCAUUCAUGUUUAGCAACUUGUUGAUCACUAUCAUCAUUAUUUCCCAGUUCUUGUGCCUACAAAAAACAAAUGCUAAGUUAGCAAAUGUAUUGAAUUAUAAGUGUAACUUAUCAAACUAAUAUAUGCAGAAAACUCUUCACAGUGCAUACAGUGCAUUAUUCCUGAUCCCAUAUACAUAUACCAACCCUAAAUACAUCAAAUUUGGAUGAUUUGAUUAUGAAAAGCAGGAAAAGGUUAUUGUCAGUUGUGAUUAAAAUAUCACUAUCAUUGAGUUCACUAUCACAAAAAAAUUCAUCCUUCAUUGAGCUUCAACGUGCAAAAAGUGCAUUAUUCCUGAUCCCAUAUAGAUAUACCGUAUGCACAGAAAAAGGUUAUUGUCAACAGUUUUUUUGUCUAGCUCAAAUAAUUAAAAAUGUCAACGGAAGUGCCAAUAAUAACUCCUAAUUUCAUAUCCAGAAUAAUAACUCCUGAUUAUGAAUGAUGAAUAUAAGAUUAAGUAAUUAAUCAAGAUUUUUUCUUACUUGGACAAAACUCAUUGACGCUGCUGGUGUGCUAUUGAACUUGAAGACAGCAAGUCAUAGCCUUGGUAGAAGUUAGGGUCCAACGUCUGCCCAAAAAUAAGAAAUAGAAGACCACCCUUCAUUAUAAAAAUAGCUAUAUACUUGUAAAAGUAUAAUACUAUAAAAAAUUAAUAUAAAUAAGAAACAACACAAAUUAAAAGCAUAAUAUUUGCUUACUUGCAAUAAUUGUGUCAUGUUUUUAGGAUUUCGCCUAUUGUAAAUGUCUUCUAUUGGAAUUCCAAAUUCCUGAUAUAAUUAAAGAGAGACGACCACAAAUUAAAAAUUUCAUUGAAAAAAUAUAUCGUUAAUGUAGUUUAGUCAUCUAAAGAAUAAAUUAUUCAAAUAAAAAUUUAAAAUAAAUUACAUAUCUACUAUGCUAUACAAGACAAAAAUGACGAAUAACGAUACCUGCUGGGGUGGUAAUUCUCGAACAAAACCUUGAAUUGUAGCAGAAUCCAUACUUGAAUGAACAACAUUAUUUCCAAAUUCCUACAAUCAUUUUUAUCCAAAUUAUAAAUAAAGAUCCUAAUACUAUUUCUAUACUCAUCAUUCAUCAGACAACUAAGGAACCCAAAAAAAAAAGUAAUAGUCAAACAAUCAAAAACCAUUGUUCACAUAAACUAAAUAAAUUGUCUAACCUGUAAUUUUUUCGAUGAAGACUUCUCUUUCACCUUGUACUUGCGUUUCUUAGUAGCCAUUUCCAGUGCACUUCUUGGCCUCUUGCUCGACUUGUAGGUGACUUUUUCUUUCACUUUGAUGCCUUUUAUUUUAUUAUAGGCAACUUCAGAUGGAUUAGUGUCAACAUCUUGAUACGCACUACAAUUUUCUUCAAUACGCACUUCUUUCAUUUUCUUUUUCCCUUGACAACAUGCAUCCAUUUGUUCUGACAUUUUCCAAAAUCCAUCUUUAGCAAUUUGAUAAGCUUCAUCACAUUCAGAAGCUACUUCAGUAUCGAAUUCCAUGUCAAGUUUCGGGACCAAGUCAUCAGGUAUAGCCAAAGGAAGAAAAAUUUGAUUUCCUUGAUUGCCAUCAGUAAUACAAAGAGGUAAGGCAUUAUCAUUUAUCUCCUGCAAGUCAACAUCUUCAAAGUCCAAUUUACGACAUGAUUGGACUUCAUGAGUUGGCAAAUCAUUCUCCAUAUUCCCCCAAAACCCAACAAAUGACCUGUAUCAAAUUACCGAAUACAAAUACAUAAUUUAUUACCCUUUUUGGUGAAAAGCAACAUGGUAGGGAAAAUCAUGCACCUAUUAAACCACAGAAAAGAAUGACUCAGCAAAUAGCACAGAGGAAAAUAUGUGAAAAAUAAGUAUGCAUUCAAGCUAUUCAUACACAAGAGAAGAGGCCCAAAACUAAUGCAUCAAAGUAUUCACAAAGAAAUGGCACAAUUUGCAAAGUCACCAGGAGAAAUAUCACACACACAACAGAAUUUCACUAGAAUAAAAUAACCCAUGCAAAAGUACUCGACCCAUGAAUGAAAAGUAGAUAUCCUCGUAGGGAAUGAUCAAACAAAGAGCAGAUAACUUACUGUAUAAACACCCAAACUAGAAUAUUAAAAAAUAAAUAAUAAACAGAAAAAAUGAAAUACGUUAUUAAGUUCUCAUUUUCCCUCUCAACAGGAAAGACUACUAUGGCCAUGUAAUUAGUAUGUGAAGACUUUGUUUAAUAUUAUGUCUUCGUCAAUGAAAAAUUAUAGGUUUAUAAGCUGGAGUAGAAAUUCUUAGGGAAGCAAAUCGCUAGCACUAGAAAUUCUUAAAUAUUAUUACGGCACAUUGCCCUUAGGAAACCUUUGACAUUGUCAAGUCAUACUAAAUUAGGAUCCCUGUUGACCACCAAAAAGAUUUAACAAAAAAGAAAAAGAAAAAGUCAUACUUAAUCAAUACUAGGCCAGACGCUGGCGUUUCUUGUGGAUUAAUCGCCGAAUAUAACUUUUGCCGAAUCAAUACAUGUUGCUUUUCAUACCACUUUGGUGAUUCUAAAUUUACUAUUCUUCUUAUUAACCAAACUCUUAAUUGUUUUUGUAAUAGUUAAAAGCCUGGAUAGAAGCGGCACAUAAAUAACGCAAUUCGUUGCAUAUGAAGAGUACUUAUUUGAAGGAAAAUUCACCUACGUACCUUGCUCCGUUGAAGACUAGCUUUAGUUUAGGAGAAAAGGCUUCAGUUUAGGAAAAUUCACCUACGUCCCUUGCUCCGUGAAUAUUUCGUCAAAGCUGAAUGGUGAAGAUGAUGAACUCGGACAGCCCUGCUGCGUUGCGAUGAAGGUUUUGAGAAGGAUACCAAUCUGAUGGGAAACCAGAAUCGUGGCCUGCUGCGUUGAAUUGCACUUUGUUGUCCUGCCCGAAUUUUGUGAUGAAGCUUUUGAGGAGGAGUGAAAUCUGAUGGGAAACCAGAAUCGUGGCCUUGUGGGGUUUUUUUUUGUGCCUUGUUUAAUCUUUAAUUUUGUUUUUUGGGUUUUUAGUUUAAUGGAUUUUGGUUUUGUGUGAUUAAGUUUCUCACCCCGAUUAAUCGGUUAAAUAAUUAAACAUGGUUCGAGUUGGGUUGUUUCAGGAUUGGGUUAAUAAAAGGACACUUGGCAAGUUUAUGAGGGGUGGGAUAGGGUGUGAGACAGGGUUGUGGUACAGAGGAUCCGUUGCGAUAUGAAUCUCAUAUAUAAUAAUUACUUAUGUAUUGUGAAGUUAUAUAGGUAAUUCAUGUAGAGUUACAAACUCUUUAAAAAAAGUUACACCCCGAGUCCGGUAAUUUGACUGACUGCUGCAGCCUGCAAAGUCGUGACUUCCUAGAUGAAUCAGAAUUUCCUCCGCAGAAAAAAGGGGCCGUUUGUGCCUUAAGAAAAUUAACGGCAUUCUAUAUAUAAUAUAAUAAUCACCAUUGUUGAAGAAGUGUCAAUGGUCCAAGUCCGCGUGAAUUAUGAGAGACAUGCCAGAGAACUAGUUACCACAUGUGGUUUUUUUUUUGGUUAUAAAUCACAAGUAUACGCGUAUAUUUAUGAUUUGCGACUAAUUCUAUUAAAUAGAAUCAAGCUCCUUACCAAGAAAAAACUUUCUCAAUAUUAUUCUUUCCAUUUUUAUGAAUUUCAAACCCAAAACCUCACGAUCAAAGAUAGAAACCCAGUUCACCGGCACCAACAUCCUUUGGUGUUAGCCCAUGGUUUUCACUUUUACGGUUGGUUGGUAGCUGAUGCUACCAGAUAGAUUCAAUUGGCUUUAGCAUAUGGUUUUAACUUUUAGACUUAGUUGGUAGCAGAUGCUACCGGAUAGAUUUAUGACUGUAGAGCAAUAUUUCGUUUGAUUAAAUAUUUUGAUAUCGCCAAUUUAUAACCAUCCACAUAAAUAGAUUUAAGAACAUACAAAAGCAAAAAAAAAAAAAAAUGUAUCGGAUUGUAAAUUCAGCACUCACCGCCAAUUUUUUUUUAUUUUUAUUUUUUGUCUAUAUUCACCAUCUACAUCUACUCUUACUCCUAUUCUAAUCUAUACUAAAGGAGUGACCCAAUAGAAUCACAAAAAAAUCGAUGAAAACUGAACCACCAUCAAAUCAUACGAGUAUAAGAGGCACCCAUGAGAGAAUUUAAGAGAAACCACGUUAAGUUGCAACUUUUGAUAGAAACAAGGUUUGAAUUCUUGAACUCCCACCUUACAAAGACAUCUGAUAGCCAACAACUUACCACCGCCAAUUCCUCUGAUCAAUUUUAGUUCCAUUGAUUUCCAUCAUGUCUUUAGAGAUGGUAAUGUCCCUGCUGACACUUCAGCAAAAUCAGGAAUUCAAACUACCACUAUUAUUUUGAUGGAGAAAGCUCCAGACUUUGUAAUGCCAGCCAAUUUUGGCUGAUAUAUCAGCUUAUUGAUAAAAUGUUUUAUUAGUUUAAACCCAAAAAAAAAAAAAAAUCUUAGCCACUAGAAAAAGGGCACUAAGUUGUGAGUCUAAUCUAAUUAUAUAUUUCUACCUGUAUUAUCAAGUCUUACCAAAUUGUCAAUCUAAUCUAAAUAUACUAUAUUCGUAGAAUUUUUCCUACCAAGCGUGGGUGCUAGUUAUAAUUUGAACAGUACAGCAUAAUAUUUGAGUAACCUAAAACUUGAGACUGGCAAGAUAGAUUCACGUUAGAGGUCAUACAUCAAGAUACUACUGUUCUCAAAAGAUCAUUCAUAUGCAAAAACAAAGCUCAUACCUUUGGUAUUUCAAUCCCAUUAACAAACCGUCCGGAAACUAUGAAGUGUAAAACAGUUAAAAGAUGAAAGAUGUGAAUAUUCAACAAAAAAUUUAAAUUUCAAAUUCAAAUUUUGCAUAAUUAUCAUUCAUCCAAUACUGACAGAGUGUGUAAGGAAGAUGAAUCCCAAAAUAAAUUCAUAGAAUACCAUUUCAGCUUCCAAUUUGGAAAAGCGAGAAGAAAUCACCAGAAACUGAUGAUAAAUUAGCCCUUUAAUCCCCUCAUCAUCCAUCCUUCUCGCCUCUCAAAACCAAACGACAAGGCUGGAUUUUCUUCUCAAGUUCAGCAGACGGUUGGCACUGCACCACAUCAUCCACUGUGGUUUCACUGCUUAUUCAGACAAAUUACUCUUAUCUAUCACCUCCACAUUAGUUGCUACAUAUGACUGCUCUCUUUUUAAAUCUUGGAAAGAAUGUGCAAUGAGUAAAAACUCCUAAUCGCAGUUCCCUGUAAUAUAGAGUAGACACUAAGCCAUGGUACCGAAACUACUAGUAGUCCCUUGCACUCUAUAUAUUCUGAAAAAGCACAUUUAAGUUGGCCAUGCAGAAAAUAGACCAUUCACAUACAGGAGGCCAAACAAAGUAAUCUGCACCAAGUUGGACAUAAAUCUUCUAGAAAUCUACCUUCAAUGAGUACUAGAAUGCCUUCCCAUGAGUGCGAUGAAGCCUCUGAGAGAAGUCAAUCCAUCCAUAGACAAGAUACAAUCCCAUCAGAGGGAAAGUAUGACUGUUAAUUAUCAAAGAGGUUAUGGCGAACAGAUAAGGUUUCCAUAACUAGAUAUAUCAGAAAGGACGCAUACAACCAAAAAAAUCAAGUUGUCAUAGAGUCAUAAUAACAAGUAUAAGAAGCAGAGGCACCUAGUCAAGAAUUCAUGAAGUAUCUCCCCGUAAAACUGAGCGGCUGUCAUACAACUAGGAACACUAACUAGAGUAUUGCCUACCAGAAAUUGGAGAACAACUGCAGUAUUGGGAGAGCGAGUUCUAUCUUCCUUUGGUCAUUCUAGUAUCUUCAUUCCAAGCCACCAGUAGAAGUGACACGCGUUGCAUGGGAAUGCUCAUGUGCUAUGAAUACCUUUAUCCAAUUGCUCAACCCAUUUCAUUCUUUUUACCUUAAAGUGAGCUAUCAAAGCUGCAACAGGGACAACGAGUCCCAUGUAGCAUAGCGACUUAGAUUACACCAUGACAGAUAGGUUAAAAAAGGUAAAAACCCAAAUGACCUUGAAUUUAGAUUGUUCUCCAGGAGUAAAGGUCAUCCAGGAUGCAUAAGAGCUAAGAAUAGUUAGCAGGCCACCUCAUCCAGAAAUUCAAGGGAAUACUAACGCAAUUUUGAUUUCUUUUGUGAAAAUGACUUUCUUGUUGAAUAAGGAAAAAUUAUCUCAUAUAAAUUGUGGAGGAAGCCUUCAUCAUAAAUGUUAUUUUGAACAACCUCCACCUCUUCUAGACGAGAUCUACUGAAUAUGGCCUUCCAUUUGCUCUGCGGAAGCUUCUUAUCAAGGCUCAGUUCAACUAAACUUUCUUUAAGGGCUGCCUCACUUGCCUUUGCCUCAAGCAGCUUCCUCUGCCAGCUUAAAUACUCUUUCCACUUGAAUGUCUGCAAUUCAUAUUGACCAGCAAAAGAAUACAAGUUUUACAAUCUAUGCAGCAGCAAUAUCACAUCAGGAGCUACCAAGACAGAUAAUAUUGUACCCGUCUCUAACAGAAAAGCUAAAACUUUGAGGUUGUUUAGCAGCAACAAACUGUAUUCCCUGUUUGGACGUCUCAUUUCUAUGGUUAAAACAUUUAAUUUUAUUUCUCUUGCAUGAAAACUGUUUUAACUAAUUAAUAUCGUUCAGGGGCUAUACUUAGCAAUGCCUCAAUUAAUUUGUAUAACAAUGUCAAAUUGUGGGCCAAAUGAACAAAACGAAAUUGUUAGUAUAUAACCCCAAUGAAAAGAAGCCAGACCUCAUUUGUUGUGGUGUUUGUGAUGCAUAAUUUAGCAUGGUAUCCAAAGAAACCACAUAGUAGUAGAGAAACAAUGGCUAGAAACGCCAUGAUAAGUAUUUGUGUAUUGUAGGAGCUGAGCAACCACUGCAUGAAGACAAUAAAGAAACACCAUCUUAGAGCAUUUUAGUGAGAAGAAAUGCUUGCUUAAACACAAAUCAUAUACCAGAAAACGUAGUAAAAGAAGAUGAAAUACAUUAAAGACCGUGAGAACAACAACCAAGCAAAAAUCACAAGACUGAUUUCAGAAACACAGUAUUUUCUUAACUAGUGCCACAGAAAGGAAAGCAAGACCAGACCCAGUUGUAUCUGGCCUGGACAAGAAUGGCAGUUUCUAUCUUUUCUUGCAUAAUACUUAGCACUCAAAAUAUGAAAAUUACUACUACCAUUAGAGACUUAACUUUCAGACACCCAAUAGCAAAACCUGAAAUGCAACUAAACAGCAGGGAUAACACAACUAUAUUUUCACUCAAUCACCAGCCAAUCAGAAUCAGCUCAAACUUUAAAACUUAUAAGAACAAAGUUUGCAGAACCAGUUUUAAAGCAAAUGCAAAGGUGAACCACUCUAAAAAAGCAUAAAGCCACACAUUAAUUUGUUGUUUUAUCUUUUUUAGUAGAACCAAGAUGAGAUAAGAAACCACCCACUGUGUGUGUGUGCGCGCGUGCAUGCGCAAAAAGAUACCCCUUUCUAAUAGAAGCAAGUAAAUUUAAGAAUAUCUAGAGCCAAGAACACAUGGCUUUUGCAGCAAGGAAUUACGAUUGCUAGUAAAUCAGAUUUAAAAGAAAACAAUUCACAGGAAGUUUCUCAUUUACUAGUUGUAACCACCCUCCUUGGUAAAAAAGUCGAAACACUACUAGAAGUCCUAUUUCCUAUAUCAAUACAUUCAGUUAUUGAGUUCAUAACCAUAUCAUCCAGCCAAAAAUCCAGAAUAGUGAAAGGCAUUUCUCAUCUUACACACACUAGCAGGAGAUAAACAAUUUUAUUCAUUAUUCUGCAUCUCUUUCACACAAUAGCUUUAAACAAAGAUCAAUUUCACACAAUAGCUUUAAACAAAGAUCAAUUUCAGACCUCUAUCACUAAGUUUCCAAAGAUGAGCAUGAAUUAUCUGGCUAUGAAAGAGGAAAGCCAAAUUGAGAGGUUCUGUAUUUGGCCUUACCUUAAAGUUCAUAGACUAAAUUAUGUAUCCAAAUUCGAUGAAAUUGAAAAACAAACCAACUCUUGCUUGAUCCAACUUAAAACAUGCAGAACUAUAAAUAAUUGAUAUUUUCACAAACUUAUAAUCCACCAAGCAUCCUUUGAGUCAAAUGUAAUCCACCAAAAUAUCUUUCUCAAAGAAAAGCUUCUGCUCAUUCAUUUUUUGAAGCUACAACUUCUCCAUAAAAGUUCCAACUUUGAGAGCCUUUUACCUUUUUGUACCCCACUUAUUAUCUCAAAAGAAGCAUUUAAAUUGUAGUUCUUAAAUGAAAAUCAUCAAUCCCACAUUCUCAAUCCACCAGAACUAAAUGGGGCUUGUUCAGAGGUCAAGUCAAUUACAGAUGGACUCAUCAUUCCUGAAAAUCUAUCGUUCUGCUCUCAUGAAAAAACCAUCUUCAUUGCUUUUUCGCUUGGCUUUCUCAGAAUCUAGACAAACAGAGGAAGAAUACUACACCAACAACCACAAUUUCAGUACAGAAUUGUUGCAAGCAUUCUUGUUACAGCAUUGCAUAACCUAUCCCCAUGUCUCCAACUACUUCUUCAUUCCAUUGGUAAAGUUACAAGAGCAGAUUCUGUUAUUUUGAAGCCAAAAUGGUCAACUAAGAUCAACAGCACCAGAUUAUUUCAUUCUUUUAGACCAUUAACAGGUACAUGGAAACCAUAUGCACAACUCAAAUGUUGCCAUCAACUUAUAUUAUUUAACAAAAUGAUCAGAAAUAGGAUUCGUUUCAGCUUUUUCUGGUAACAUUAGAUACAUGCUACAUGUUCAUUAAGUUAUCAUCAAGAAAACCAUUUGCUAGACUUAAGUGAUGUCUCACUGCGUAAGCAUGAAAAAUUAAAUGAGCAGGACCAACCUAUAAAUCCAGCAAAACUGGCAAGUAUUGAGAUUUAGAUUAAUCAGAGAGGAGAAAAAUUAGUAAAGUUAUAAGGAGCUUACCUGUACCACAUGUGGAGCCAAGCUUCUGAAUGAAUUUUCAAUCCCAUAAUACACUACAGCAAGAAAAGACAGAUUAGGUUUGUUGUACUUUGAUAUGCAAAUCAACACAAUGAGAAACAGAAAGGAAACACAUCCAGUUAACCUGUCAAUAUAUGUAUCACUCGUAGUUCUUUCAACCGACCAGCAAGAAGAAAUAAAAUUGCAAUCACUCCAUAAACACAAAGAAGAAAGUGCCUGCAAAAGCUCUGAAUAAACAUUACAAAAGAAUUUAUUGAAGAAAAGCAUUACCUACAAACCAUUGAAAACCAUAUGGGAACCCCUAUCGUGUAUGCAUUACCAUAUAGUCCAACUUUCAUAUCUUCCCAGAAUUCAUUUUACAAAUAAUUAAAUAUUCCUAAUCGACACAGGGAACAAACCCAAAUUAGAUUUUUUUGACAACAAACUGGUCCGGAGAAGAACGAGGAAAGCUACUGACUGUGUGAUAGGUUCUUUAUGAGAAUAUGUUUACUCACCAAAGAAGAAAAGCCAUGAAAUAUCUGGUGUUCUUCUCGCCAAUGCAAUUGUUCUGCGGUAGUAGGAAAUAUAGCAUAAAACUUCAACAACUAAUGUAAUUGAGUAAUUAUGAGGAAAGCCCACAAUUCAUUUAUUACAAGGAAAAGAAAGAAGUUAUGAUUAACAAACCAUCCAUCCACAAUGAUGGUCAAAUCGAGCAACACAACGAUUGCACACACUGCAAUGCUUGGACCUUGCAGGUCUGAAAAAGAAAGAAUUUAUCCAAUCAGUUUGAUAAUAAAAAAGGACUCAAAGCUCCAACAACCAAACAAAGACAUAACCUUGGAAUCUUGCAAGUUGAACAAUCUUUUUCAAAAAAUAUAAUGUUGUCAUAGGGAUAGGCAGCAAGAUACUGAGAUACAUUCUCAAUAUUCACAGUUCCUGGAUCAGAAAAGCUUGUCACAAGAAAAAGUAGGAUACCCACGGCUACAGCCAAAAUGCUUGUGUAUCUGCAAUAACAUGUAUAUUACAAGUUAUGCGCCUAGUUUAUGUCAUAAAUUAAGGACAACAAUGAGGUUUACUACGCUACCUGUGGACUUCACCAAGGUAAUAUCCUGGAAUAUAGCUGAAAGAUGACUUCACAAGGAUGUAAUACGUACCUCCGAUUAUUCCAAGAUAUAUUAUCUGCACAACAGAAAAGAUGCUAACUAUAUUUCUUUGACGUAAAGAUGAGACCGUUUUCACAAUUAAACAAAGUUAUUAUCGUAGGAUACUGUAAAGAAUACAUCUUUAUAGCUUCACCAUCACAUUUUUUACGUAACAUGGACUAUCAACUGACUUUUAUACCAGUCAAUAUCAUCACUUUAGUUUUCAUUUAGAACCCAAAAAAAAAACCCAAAAUUCUUCUCCAAAAUCCAAAAAUAAUAUAAAUACACAAUCAAAUACCAAGAAUGUAAUAAAUAUAUAAAUAACCAUAACCAAGAAUGUAAACCACUGCAAACUGCAAAGUAUGGUAGUCCCCAGAGCUACAAUCACUAGUGCAGUAUCUACCUACAUCAGAUUUUACUAGGGUAUUGACUGAACUAUCAUCUUAAUCUACUUCCAAUUGCAUUCAAGAAAAAGAAAAACAAAAAGGGUUCUUCAAGUCUGUAGAAACAGGUCAAAAAAACCUGUAAAAUUGGGUUAGGGCGAUCACAACAAUAGUAUUCCACUGAUGCCAGCGCUCCAGUUCCUUUAGGCCCAAACACAAGCACGACAAAUCGCCUGUGUAACAUUGAACUGUUAAUUAAAGCAUCACAGUCUAUUGAAACCCACAAAGAUAGAAUUUGGUAAAAACAACGCCCCCCAAGAAAAGAAAAGAAAAGAAAAAUGGGUACCUGAAAUAAUCAUAAGCUCCAAAGGUAAGAAAAAUAUGGAUACGUUGAAUGAAGGUGCCCUGAAAAAUUGGCCAAUUGCCGCAGAGGAAGGAUACAAUCACCAGCAGUGUGACCAGACCGUGGCACACCAGAAGCCACUGUACUUCCAUCAGGAAUGGCUCAAUGACUAGAGCCAGAGGGAAAAGAGAAUAUUGGUUAAGAACCCAUUUAAUGGUAUAUGCAGCAAUAAAAAGUUCUUCGUUGUGGAGAAAUAUCUAGCGGAGGUUGCAAAUAUUCUUAUUCUGUUUGUCUUACUUGCACUGGAAUAAUGGGUUUGAGGCGACAGGGUUUGAUUGGAAAAAGUAAAUCCAUUUGAAUUUUGACCCCUUUUGGGGUUGCGAGGUGAUUUUGGUAAAAAAAAAAAAAAAAAUACUUUUGAAUGUUAAAAGCACUUUUGAAGUAUUUGGUUAAUAUCAUUACAUAAAAUUAAGUGUAAAAUUUUUUGUGUUAAAAGUACUUUUAUCAAAAGGUUAAAUUUGAUACUUUUAGAAUAGUUUUGGUGUUUUAAAAAAUAAAAUAAAAUAUUUAAUUAUUUUAUCUUAUAUUAUAAACUAAAUAUACAGAUAAAUAUGUUUAAAAAAUUUUAAAUUACACAUUAUCCAAUAUAAUAAGUACUUAUUAAACUAUGUAUUCAAACAACAUAUUUAAAAGUAUUUGAAAACUCAAUAAGUGAUUUUAUUAAAAACUCUAUUAGGUAAAGUACUUUUCAAUCACAACCCAAAACAGGUCCAGAGAUGAACAAUAAAAAAAUUAGCGUAUCUUAUCUAUUUUAUUUAACUAGCAAAGAUGAAUGGCAAAAAAUUAGCAUAUCUUUUUUUUUAAGGUUUCACUUUGGCUUCUUUCUUUCCCUUUUGCAUGCUAAGUUACUAUGGGUUUGUGUCCAUAAUUAUCUACAACCGUAAAUUUGAAUCUAAUAAGUGAAGUACAAUAAAAGUGUCAAAUACUUGGCACCAAUUACAAUAAUAGUAUUAGUAUUUGUAAUUUAGGUCUGGACUUAUAAAAAAACACUUAUGAUUUAGGCUGAUUUGGCAUUAUGUUACCAAACCCCUCCCCCCUUGGCGCUCAAAAGGGUUUUUUUUUUUUUGCAACCACACUGCAAUUUCAAACAGGACUUUUGUAGUUUAUAAUAUUAACUUUUACCCGUUAGUUUAAUCCAAACAAGAACACUUGUGGAGACUUAUGUACAAAAUAUACAGUUUAUUACAUAAACCUAACAAUAUAGUUUGCACACAAGUUAGUACAAAUGGUUUAAUGAUUAAUCAUCUCGCAAAUGACAAAAACCAUCAAAGAGGCUUCUUUAUCCACUUCUAAACAUACUCCCUCCCUUUUUUUAUAACUGACGUUUAAGAAAUUUGCUCUUAAGUACUUUUAUCUGUCGUUGUAUUAUCCCCAUGCAGCAUUAAUUAUUUUUUCACAAUUUUACCCUUUUAUCUCUCUUUUCAUAAUUGAUGAGAGUUGGUUUGCAUUGCUUUUGGCCUAGUAAAACAGCACCAUUUAAUACUCUAGUGAGAGAAAACAUGGGUGAAUUGAAUAAUUAAUGAGGGUACAAAAGAAAAGUAGUGUAUAGAUUUAAACAAUGAAAAACUUUUCUUAAUUGGUGUGCAAAACCUUAAACGUCAGUUAUAAAAAAAAAAGGGAGGGAGUAAUAAAUAAAUUAGUAAGUACACUAUGCCUAAUUUCAUUGGAGAUCUCUCUCUCUCCCUCUCUUUUGUGAGAGUUUCAAAAUUUUCUUUCUUUUGAAAUUUGUGCCUUGUCUUCUUCCUUUGGGAGUUUGAAGCUUCUAUUUGAAAAUCAAACAAACUUCCAAAGCAAUAAACACUUCUAAAACCCAAACAUAUCCAAAUUAAAUACAUUGAAGUACGAUAAUCCUAACUCAAUAAAUGGCGCUCUUAAAGGCAAAGACAAAAAUUCUACCAACUCCAAUCCUGAUUCGCGGAAAGAGGGUGUAAUAAACCAGCUAAGAAUUCAUUUUUGCUCCACUUUAUCUUGGCUUUAGUCUGGACAAGUAUUUCGAAGCAUAUCACCUAACAGAUCCAGUCUUGAACUUGUAGUACUCAUUUCAGCUAGCUUUUUCUAACUUUUUCAGAUACAAAAAAAAAAGUAGUAUGAAUAUCUAAAAAAGUGAAAAAGAAAAUAGCAUCAGUUUUUCUGGAAACUAAAGAGGUCAAAAUACCUCAGGGAGGAGGAAACAAAGAUAGGCAUAUCAAAUUACUGGUAAUGGUGAAUAUUUCUAAGCCAUUAAGGGAAGGUGAAAUGGAUAAGUUUUAAGUAUGAGAGAUGUCUUGACUUCUUUUAUAAAUGUGGAAGAAUAAGACAUAGUGAAAAAAAGUCAACUAGAAAACCAGUUCGGUCCAUGGCUUAGUGCAGGUAGUGGUAAAGAAUCACUCCAGAAAGAAUUGAGAGAACAAGGUAUCUCACAUGUUUCCCCAAACAAACAAAGAUGAGGAUUCAAAGAUGGGGAAUUGAUUCAAAAAUCAAGUGGAAAGGAGCUGACAAAGGUAGGAAAAACUAGCAAAAACGAGAUAGAAAUCAGAGCUCCAGAAAGAAGCUCCUCAAGCAGACAUGAAGAAAUUGUCAAGAUGGACAAAGGAAAAACAAAUGAGGAAGAGGCAAAUACGUACAGACUAGAUCACAGAGGAAAAGAUGAACAGAGAACAAAUGCUAUGGGAAAGCAAUGUUUAGAGGAGUUCAAGAAUGCACAAAAAGGAAUUUGAAACAAAAAAGGCAAGGUAAUAGAGGGUGAGGAAAUGCAAGUGGAUGGAAAGUUGGAGGCCCGAGGGGUGAAGAGUAAUCGGAAAACCACAAGAAGGACCAGAAAGCCAUUGAAAUGACCAACCAUCAUUAAACAACCAUUGAGAGAUAUACAAAACAAUGUGAAUACUUCAGAAAACUCAGGCAAAAGGAAGUUCCAAUUAGGGGUGCAAUCAAGUCAAGCCGCUCGCGAGUAGCUUGCGAACGGCUUGGUCAAAAGCUUGGACCGAGCUCGAGCUCGAGUUUGAGCUACUCGUUACAUUUAACGAGUCGAGUUCGAGCUCCAAAAAUAAACACUCGAGUGCUCGACGAGUUUAAUCGAGUUUUCAUACCAUAUUUAUAUUAUAUAUAUUAUAUUUAUAUUAUAUAUUUUGAGAAAAUAUUAUAGGUUUAGUUCAAAACUCGAGCUCGAGCUCGCGUAGAUCGGGUUUGAUAUUUACUCAAACUCAAAUGAGUCAAGCUCGAAUUUAAUUUUAUUUUAUUGAGUCGAACUCGAGCUCGAGUACUACUGAUUGUGAUCGAGUUCGAGCUCGACUCGGCUCGAUAGCACACCUAGUUCCAGUUAGUGGAUAAAGGUAUGGUUGAUGCAAAGGUGGGAGACAUGAUAGAUAAAAAGGUGAGAGUGGAGACAGUUCAAGAAAACUAAGCAAUUGUAGGAGAGGGGGUGGAGACCAGCCUAUACAGAUCUCCAAAGAACAAAUGAGGUUAUUGGCGUGGAAUUGUCAAGGUGCAAAGAGCCCCUUGACAAUUCCUCAGUUGAAGGAGGCUUGCAACCUCCUCUCCCCAAAUCUGAUUUUUUUUCUGUGAGACUAAAAAUAGACAACCUUUUAUGAAAAAAGUAAAAAGAUAGCUUAUACUAGAUGGAUGAUUGCAGUAGACUUUAAUGACAUCACUUCGAAUGAGGAAAAAUGGAAUGGAAGAAGAAGGGAAGCAGGAAGUUUCAAGAGUUUAAUGCUUUCAUAGAAAGGAAUGAGCUCAUUGAUCUAGGCUUUGAUGGUAAUCCCUGGACUUGGAGUAAUCAUUGGUCUACUAAAGGAGGGAUCAAACAAAGGUUGGAUAGAGCUUUUGGAAACAGUGCCAGGACCCAAAUGUUUGAUAGAGCUAGAGUCAAGCAUAUAGAGAAUCUUGGCUUAGCUCAUAGUAUGAUUUUUCUGGACUCCACUCCCCAACCUAAAAAGAGGAAAAAAAAAAAAAAAGAAUUCUGUUUGACAAAAGAUGGUUAAAAAAGGAAGGCAUUGAGCAGGUAAUCAGAAAUGCUUGAAAAAAAGAUCAGGAGGGGUCAAACAUGUACAGAGUAACAAGAAAAGUAGCAAAUUGCAAAGUGACUCUUCUAAAGUGGAAAAAUAAUUUCCAAGAAAAUGUUAGGCAAAGAAUAGAAAGAAUAAAAAAAUAGCCGGAGGACAUCAAAAAGUUUGAUUGCCAGGACAAAAAAGAUAGGAUACAAGAACUGAAAAUUCAAUUAAAAGAAUCUUGCAUGAGGAAGAACUUUUCUAGUUCCAGAUAUCAAUGAUGCAAUGGUUGAAGAAGGGUGAUAAGAGCACACACUUCUUCCAUUCCAAUGUAAAGGAUAGAAAAAGGAGAAAUAAACUGCAAAGAAUCCAAAAGGAGGACAAAUCAUGGGCUAACACAAAUAAAGAAAUAGGCGAGGAGGUGGGAAACUACUUCAAAGCUCUGUUCAGCAGUAGGGGAGUGGGUCACUUGGAUGUGAUUCUUGAAAGAAUACCACAUAUCAUCACAAACUAGAUAAACACUGACUCACCAAACCUGUAGAUAAGAAAGAAAUCAAAGAAGCAUUAUUUGCCAUGAAUUCAAACAAAUCACCUGGCUUUGAUGGAAUGACACCAAUGUUUUUUCAAAAUUUUUGGCACAUUGUUAAAACUAAAAUCAUCAAAGCCAUUAGAAGCUUCUUUCACUCUGGUAUCAUGUUGAGAGUUGUCAAUCACACCAUUAUCACCUUGAUCCCUAAGAUAGAAAGCCCCAUACAGGUCAAACAGUUUAGGCCAAAAAGCCUUUGCAACGUUUUCUACAAGAUUAUUUCUAAAAUACUUGCAAACAGACUCAAAAAUGUCUUAGAUAAUUGCAUUCACAAAAAUCAGGCAGCCUUUGCACCUGGAAGACAAAUUUUGGAUAAUGUUAUUUUGUCUCAUAAGUACAUGCACUAUCUCAAAAACAAAAGGCAAGGAUCUCAAGGUUUCAUGGUUUUGAAACUAGAUAUGUCAAAGGCUUAUGAUAAGGUGGAAUGGAGUUUCUUGAAAGCAAUCAUGGCAAAGAUGGUUUCUGUGAUAAAUGGAUUAACUGGAUUACGACUUGCAUCUCAACAACUUCUUAAGGUACAUUUGAUAAAAUUGAAAUUUCCAAACUGUAAUCUGAAAUUUGAAUUCAUUAAGAUAUUGAUUGUUAAGUACUAAAUCAGAUACAUUUGAAUGUAUAUUAUAUUAAGUGAUAAGUGAAUAACUCAUCACUUAUUUUAGAGAGCAAGUUUUGGCUAAAAAAUUCAGUACUACAUAAUUAAUUCAGAUAUUCAAUUUUUGGUCAUCAAACGAGUUUAAACAAGUUAAGAUCUGAAUUCAUUAAAUUUAAGUACUGAAUUGUGAUAUCAAAUGGGGCCUUGCUCUUUUAACAUAAAUGGAGAACCAAAAAGAUAUGUCAUUCCUUCUAGGGGUUUCAGGCAAGAUGAACCAUUGUCACCUUACUUAUUCCUCCUAGUCUCCGAAGUCUUCUCAAAUCUAUUGGCUCAAGCAAAGAAGAACAAACGACUGAUUAGAAUGAAAUUAAGCAGGAAUGGAGCCUCAAUCACUCAUCUUUUCUUUGCUAACCACUCACUAAUUUUUUUGCAAGGUAGAGACCAACCAAGCAGAAGAAGUAAUGAGAAUUCUAAAGAUGUAUGAACAAGGCUCAGGUCAUAUGAUCAAUUUGGACAAAUCAUUAGUGAUCUUCAGCAAGAACAUGGACAAGGAAAAGCAAAGAGAAAUCUGCAGAGGAUUGGGCAACAUACAAGUGGUGAAGCAAGGAAAGUAAUUAGGAUUGCCCAUGGUAAUUUCAAGAACUAAGGAACAGGUGUUUGGGUUCAUCAAAGAGAACUACCAAAGAACUGUGAAGAGUUGGAGGAAUAAAAUGCUAAGUCAAGUAGGAAGAGAGAUCCUCUUAAAAGCUAUCACUAUGGCAAUGCAAAUGUAUGCAAUGUCACAUUUCAAGCUUCCAGUAAAAUUGUGCAAAGAAAUAAAUGGAAUGAUGGCGAAUUUUUGGUGAAGGGAAGAGAAUGGAAAAAGAAAAAUUCAUUGGUGCUCCUGGAAAAAGCUCACAGGUGUGAAGGAUAAUGGUGGACUAGAAUUUAGAGAUCUUCGAAAAUUCAGUAAAGCACUGCUUGGUAAACAGAUAUGGAGGUUACUAACAUGCCCAAAUUUGCUGGUAAGUAAAUUCAUGAAAGCAAAGUACCCUCUCAAGGGCUCAAUACUGAAUUGCAAGGUGAAGAAUAAUGCAUCUUGGAUAUGGCAAAGUUUAAUGGGAGCAAGAAAAGAGGUAAAUAAGGGUGUUAAAAAGAAAAAUGAAAAUGGGAGAAGCACCAGAAUCUGGGAUGAUGCAUGGAUACAGGAUUAUAGGGGUGGAAAAUUAACUUCACUGAAGGCUCAUGAUUACAAGCUUGACAAAGUGGAAGAACUGAUCUCAAACUUUAGAUGGAAUACAACACUCAUUUUCAGGACCGUAAAAUACUUAAAAUACCUAUAAGCCUAGGAAGGCCAAACAUUUACUUUUGGAGUCACAGCAGCACAUGAUAGUAUAUAGUUAGAACUGCAUAUGAAGCAAUGACAAUCGAGGAAAAACAACAAGAAAAAAGGGCCAACAAAGAGGGAGAGACAAGCCUUGCAAGAGAGAGAGAAAGGGCAUGGAAACAGUUAUGAAAAACGAAAAUCAAGCACAAACAGAAAUUGUUCAUCUGAAAAUGCCUGAAUCAAGCACUGCCAGUUAGAGAAACAAUUUUCAGAAGGACUAGAAAAGGAGAACUAAUUUGCAAGAACUGUGGUGAGGAAGCUAAGACAUUGGAACACCUUUUCUUUCAUUGUAGAAAAGCCACAGAUAUAUGGAAAAUGGUCGCCCUCCAAUGGGAUGGAUUAUAUGAACAUAUAGGAAACUUCAACAGCUAGUGGAUAAGAUUGCUGGAAGCAAGGAGAAGGAAGAAUGGCAAGAAACACAUUGCUUUGACAGUGGACAUACCGUGGUAGAUAUGGAAGGUUAGAAAUGAAAGGGAGUUCAAUGACAAAGAGAGACACCCUAUGCAAAUAAUACGAAAAGCAGUGAAUGACUGAGAGGAGUAUAGACAAGCUCAAUACAGAUGAGCAUUUCAGAAACUGAAGUAGCCAAUGAACAAGAGCAAAGGUAUGCAGGAGAAGAAAGUACAUUGAAAAUAUGCGUGGAAGUAGAACAACACAAGAAAGGUCAAAACAUGGGGACUGGGAUAUCUACUGAAAACGACCAAAACCAGUUGCAGGCAGCAUGGAAACUAAGGGAAAGAAGUACUGGUUCUAUGAUUCUAGACAACCUGCAGGCCAUUAACUUGGCCCUGUAGGAACAAGGAUGGUAGUGUGUUAAAGUCCACGUAUCCUGUCUUCAAAUCCUAAACCUAAUAAAAAAAAACCAUCCUCAUGCAACAUCAGAAUUGCUACACACCUGGAGGACAUCAAGAACUUCAGCUCAAUAUUUAGGAAGUACUCAUUUGAUCGUCCAAAUGUUGAACAGAAUAGACUAAGUGAAAAAUUGAGCAAACUUGCUCAAAACAUAGCUUUUGAUAAGGAAUUCUUAGAUCCUCAGCCUCUUAGUACACUUUUGUAUUGCUCAUUUUGAGCCCUUGCUCAUUAAGUGUAUUAUACUUUUGCCAUUAAUGAUAUCUACUAUCGUUUCAGGAAAAAAGGAAGUACACUAUGCCUAAUCCUAGACCUUUAGGUGAGUGAUUUGCUUCAUGGACAUAUCAAUGGGAAAGCAACAGAAAAAGGGCGACUCAGAACACAAAAUUGGUCCUUGUCAUAAAAAUUUCACGAACAGUUUGUACAAAGAGGAAGGAAAAAUUACUAGUUCAGGGAGAUUGAUUGAAGGGGCGGUCAGAUUAUUGACAUAACUAGAUAUCGUCAUCAUCUAUGGUCUCUUCUAUGAUGUUAAUGCAACCUCCUACGGAUUUUCCCUCAGACAUAGCCUGUGCGAGUUUUGAUCUUGCAUCUUCAUGGCGACGCAGAA